This 94432-nucleotide long non-coding RNA is filed under the name Capsicum annuum. Lineage: Eukaryota; Viridiplantae; Streptophyta; Magnoliopsida; Solanales; Solanaceae. The record is from RNAcentral.
UUUUUUUUUUUCGGUGCGAAUUUGACACAACAUAGGGAAAGCCGCCCUUUAUCAAAAAUUAUAUUAUUAUAUUUAUAUUAUUUUUAAUAAUAAAAGGGGGUUCCGACAUAUUAAUAUAUAGUGAAGUGUUCCCCCAGAUUUAGAAUUUUUAACUUUUUUUCAAUACUCACUAAUAAUCCUACUAAUAAUCCUAGUGAUUGGAUUUCUAUGCUUAGUCUGAUAGGAAAUAAGAUAUUCAAAUAAAUAAUUUUAUAGCGAAUGACUAUUCAUCUAUUGUAUUUUCAUGUAAAUAGGGGACAAGAAAACUCUAUGGAAAGAUAGUGGUUUAAUUCGAUGUUGUUUAAGGAGUUCGAAUGCAGGUGUGGGCUAAAUAAAUCAAUGGGCAGUCUUGGUCCUAUUGAAAAUACCAGUGAAGAUCCAAAUCGAAAGAUGAAAAACAUUCCUAGUUGCAGUAAUGUUGAUUAUUUAUUCGGCGUUAAAGACAUUCGGAAUUUCAUCUCUGAUGACACUUUUGUAGUUAGUGAUAGGAAUGGAGACAGUUAUUCCAUCUAUUUUGAUAUUGAAAAUCAGAUUUUUGAGAUUGACAACGAUCAUUCUUUUCUGAGUGAACUAGAAAGUUCUUUUUAUAGUUAUCGAAACUCGAGUUAUCUGAAUAAUGGAUUUAGGGGCGAAGAUCCCUACUAUAAUUCUUACAUGUAUGAUACUCAAUAUAGUUGGAAUAAUCACAUUAAUAGUUGCAUUGAUAAUUAUCUUCAGUCUCAAAUCUGUAUAGAUACUUCCAUUAUAAGUGGUAGUGAGAAUUACAGUGACAGUUACAUUUAUAGGGCCGUUUGUGGUGGUGAAAGUAAAAAUAGUAGUGAAAACGAGGGUUCCAGUAUACAAACUCGCACAAAGGGCAGUGAUUUAACUAUAAGAGAAAGUUCUAAUGGCAGUGAUUUAACUAUUGGCAGUGAUUUAACUAUUGGCAGUGAUUUAACUAUUGGCAGUGAUUUAACUAUUGGCAGUGAUUUAACUAUUGGCAGUGAUUUAACUAUUGGCAGUGAUUUAACUAUUGGCAGUGAUUUAACUAUUGGCAGUGAUUUAACUAUUGGCAGUGAUUUAACUAUUGGCAGUGAUUUAACUAAUGGCAGUGAUUUAACUAUAAGAGAAAGUUCUAAUGAUCUCGAGGUAACUCAAAAAUACAGGCAUUUGUGGGUUCAAUGCGAGAAUUGUUAUGGAUUAAAUUAUAAGAAAUUUUUUAAAUCAAAAAUGAAUAUUUGUGAACAAUGUGGAUAUCAUUUGAAAAUGAGUAGUUCGGAUAGAAUUGAACUUUUGGUCGAUCCGGGUACUUGGGAUCCUAUGGAUGAAGACAUGGUCUCUCUGGAUCCCAUUGAAUUUCAUUCGGAAGAGGAGCCUUAUAAAGAUCGUAUUGAUUCUUAUCAAAGAAAGACAGGAUUAACCGAGGCUGUUCAAACAGGCAUAGGCCAAAUAAACGGCAUUCCCGUAGCAAUUGGGGUUAUGGAUUUUCAGUUUAUGGGGGGUAGUAUGGGAUCCGUAGUCGGAGAGAAAAUCACCCGUUUGAUUGAACACGCUGCCAAUCAAAUUUUACCUCUUAUUAUAGUGUGUGCUUCUGGGGGGGCGCGCAUGCAGGAAGGAAGUUUGAGCUUGAUGCAAAUGGCUAAAAUAUCGUCUGCUUUAUAUGAUUAUCAAUUAAAUAAAAAAUUAUUUUAUGUAUCAAUCCUUACAUCUCCGACAACUGGUGGAGUGACAGCUAGUUUUGGUAUGUUGGGGGAUAUCAUUAUUGCCGAACCCAAUGCCUACAUUGCAUUUGCAGGUAAAAGAGUAAUUGAACAAACAUUGAAUAAAACAGUACCCGAAGGUUCACAAGUAGCUGAAUACUUAUUCCAGAAGGGUUUAUUCGACCUAAUUGUACCACGUAAUCUUUUAAAAAGCGUUCUGAGUGAGUUAUUUAAGCUCCACGCCUUUUUUCCUUUGAAUCAAAAGUCAAGCAAAAUCAAGUAGAGCACUAAGGCCAUUAUUUUAUUUUAUUUGUGUUUGUAGCAAAAAAGUAGUUAGUUUAUCGGAAUCAAAGUAAAUAAGAUAAAGUAAAUAAGAUAAUAAUGGCCCUUUCUUUGGUGAUAGAAGAUCUAAUUGUAGAAAGAAUCAAAACUAAAGUUGAGGAUAACUCUUUUUUGACCUAUAUUCCUGAUUACGAAUCAAGAAGCCUUUAUCACCAAGAGUGAGUUCUUCCUUUCGUGAAAUUAGGAAAAUAAAACGAAUUUCUUCUUGUCUUAGGUAUAUAAUUUGAAAUUAAAAUAUAGAUAAUAGAGUUUUGUAUCUUUCUCUAUCUCCCUAAAAACCAUUUUAGCUAAAAAUUCAUGUUGGGUCGGAUUCGAACGAAUCUUUCGAUAAUCUCUUUAUCUAUUUUUAGAAAAUUAGAAGACAAGAACAAAAGACAAAGAAAUGAAUAAUAAAGUUUAUUAUGAUACAUAUCUUUCUCAUGUAAGAGAUGAAUAAGUCCAUUUAUUUAGUUCUACAUUCUUUGCACUUAUUCUUAUUAUACGUACUCAGUUAGAUUUAGAUAUAUAGAUACUUAGAUCUAUACUAAGAAUUUCAAAUUCUUCAAAUUCUAUUAAUAAUAAAUAUUAUCUAAUUAGAAUUCAAAUUCUUAAUUUAAUUAUAAUUAUUUAAUUAUUACAAGAUAUCUUUAUUUAUAUAAUAACAUAAUAACAGAUACAAUAUAGUAAAUCGAGGUACCCCUUCUAUGACAAAUUUGAACCUUCCAUCUAUUUUUGUGCCGUUAGUAGGCCUAGUCUUUCCGGCAAUUGCAAUGGCUUCUUUAUUUAUUCAUGUUCAAAAAAACAAGAUUGUUUAGAUACGCUGGGACCCAAUCUCAUCCAUUUUUUUUUGAAAACGUGGACUUGUAUCAUAACACGGAUAUCUAUUUAUUGGAAUAGAGUAUAACAUGUGAUUUCUACCGAACAUAAAGGAAAAAACUCUUAUGCCUGCAGAAACAUGAUAUAUGGAUAUAUCCAUUCUAGUAAUUUUCAAAUAGAUCAGGAUCACUGGAUGGCUGAAAUGUAGUCGGUUAAUCUCUAUAUAUAUCGAUAUGUAUAGUGGGAUCGUAUUAAAUAAAGAGUAUGUUAUUAUUUUAGAUUUAACCAAUUUGAUGAAUUACUCCUAAAGGUUGACAUCAAACUAGUGCUAGUUCACCUCAAACUAGUGCUAGUUGAUGAGAGUUACUUCGGAAACAAAAAAGUAGUCAAAUUUCUAAGGGAUUAUUAUCUCAAUUCCAAUAAAAUGCAAUUGGGUAAAGUAUGACUUGGCGAUCAAAACAUAUAUGGAUAGAACUUAUAACGGUGUCUCGAAAAAUAAGUAAUUUCUGCUGAGCCUUUAUCCUUUUUUUAGGUUCAUUAGGCUUCUUAUUAGUUGGAACUUCCAGUUAUCUUGGUAGAAAUUUGAUAUCUUUUUUUCCGCCUCAGCAAAUCAUUUUUUUUUCCAUAAGGAAUCGUGAUUUCUUUCUACGGAACUGCGGGUCUCUUUAUUAGCUCUUAUUUGUGGUGCACAAUUUCCUGGAAUGUAGGUAUGGUUAUGAUCGAUUCGAUAUAAAGGAAGGAAUAGUCUGUAUUUUUCAUUGGGGAUUUCCGAAAAAAAAUCAUCGCAUAUUCCUCCGAUUCCUUAUAAAGAUAUUCAGUCCGUUAGAAUAGAAAUUAAAGAGGGUAUUUAUGCUCGUCAUGUUCUUUAUAUGGACAUACGAGGCCAGGGGUCCAUUCCCUUAACCCGUACUGAUGAGAAUUUAACUCCACGAGAAAUUGAACAAAAGGCUGCUGAAUUAGCCUAUUUCUUGUGUGUACCAAUUGAAGUAUUUUGAGAAAUUGAGAAUAAGAACGUUCAUUCAAUUAAAGAAAACGUAUAUGAAAGAACCAUAAAACAGAACUCUUUUUAUGGUCUUUAUGCGUAUGUAAACCUACGCAAUUCAAUAACAAAUAACAAAUCAAAAUAAUAGAUUCAUCUCAGAUGGUAAACCAUUUUGAAAUCAAGAAAUUUUUUUUAGUUCAAUAUUUGUUGGAAUUGACACUUUAGAUCCAGAUAGAUCAUUUCUUGUAAAUUGAAAAUUCUUUCUUUUGUAUUCUUUAAUGACCAACAAUUGGAUGUCUUAAUUAAAUAAUGAGAACUAGCCAAUUUAUCUUUUGCCAGUCAUUUUUUUUUUAUCAUCGUAAUAUCUUUUCCUCAAUUAUUCUAUUCCUGACUAUGGGUAAUUAGUGAAAUUUUUUCGAAAUAUUGGAUAUUUUGAUAGCAAGGGAGUUCUUUCUUCUCAAAAUCUGAUAAAUAUUCAUUACUUAAAGUGGUUCUUACAACUAUAAAUGAAGAAGAUAAUGAGAUAAAUUUAUAGUAUUCAUCUUUAAGUAAUGAAUACUAGGUAUGGCCUUAAAAUUAAAAAAGAGGGGUCAAAGUCGGCUAGUGAGAUGAUGGGGGAUAAGCUUCAUCGUCGAGAGGGAAACAACCCGAAUCACCAGCUAAGGCCCUUAAAUGGCCGCUCAGUGAUAAAGGAGGUAGGGGUAUGGAGACAGCCAGGAGGUUUACCUAGAGCCAGCCACCCUUAAAAGAGUUCGUAAUAGCUCACUGAUUGAGCUCUCUUGCGCUGAAGAUGAACGGGGCUAAGUGAUUUGCCAAAGUUGUGGGGUGUAAAAAUACAUCGGUAAGGGAGCGUUCCGCCUUAGAGGGAAUCCUCCGCGUGAGCGGUGGUGGACGAAGCAGAAGCGAGAAUGUCGGAUUGAGUAACGUAAACAUUGGUGAGAAUCUAAUGCCCCGAAAACCUAAGGGUUCCUCCGCAAAGUUCGUCCAUGGAGGGUGAAUACUAGGUUUACCUACAACUAUGAACCCUUUAAGUUGCCUGACGUAAGAACCACAGACCACAACACAUACAAGAACCUUUCAUACCUACUUCAUUUAGUUAGGAAUUUUUGUAGUUUCCCUAUUUAAUAGUUCAAUUACAACUAUGAAUACUAGGUUUGCCUGUUAUUGCCUCUUCGUUUUAACUACUAUUCCCUGGGAUUGGAUUUGGGCCUUUCCUGCGCAGCUUAGGUGGAAGGCAUAGAAGCCCUCCUUCCGGGGGGCCUGGGCUAUCAGUGAGAUACCACUCUGGAAGGGCUAGAAUUCUAACCUUGUGUCAGGACGUACGGGCCAAAGGACAGUCUCAGGUAGAUAGUUUCUAUGGGGAAUAGGCCUCCCAAAAGGUAACGGAGGCGUGAAAAGGUUUCCUCGGGCCAGACGGAGAUUAGCCCUCAAGUGCAAAGGCAAAAGGGAGCUUAACUGCAAGACCCACCCAUCGAGCAGGGAUGAAAGUCCGCCUUAGUUAUCCGACAGUGCCGAGUGGAAGGGCCGUCGCUCAACGUAUAAAAGUUACUCUAGGGAUAACAGGCUGAUCUUCCCUAAGAGCUCACAUCGACGGGAAGGUUUGGAACCUCGAUGUCGGCUCUUUGCCACCUGGGGCUGUAGUAUGUUCCAAGGGUUGGGCUGUUCGCCCAUUAAAGCGGUACGUGAGCUGGGUUUAGAAUGUCGUGAGACAGUUUGGUCCAUAUCUGGUGUGGGCGUUAGAGCAUUGAGAGGACCUUUCCCUAGACGAGAGGACCGGGAAGGACGCACCUCUGGUGUACCAGUUAUCGUGCCCACGGUAAACGCUGGGUAGCCAAGUGCGGAGCGAAUAACUGCUAAAAGCAUCUAAGUACUAAGACCACCCCAAGAUGAGUGCUCUCCUAUUACGACUAGCCCAGAGCUUUCGGUAGCAUAACCGAGACAGUGACGGGUUCUCUGCCCCUGCGGGGAUGGAGCGACAAAAGUUUUUUUGAGAAUUCAAGAGAAGGUCACGGCGAGACGAGCCGUUUAUCAUUACGAUAGGUAUCAAGUGGAAGUGCAGUGAUGUAUGCAGCUGAGGCAUCCUAACAGACCGGUAGACUUGAACCUUGUUCCUACAUGACCUGAUCAAUUCGAUUAGGCACUCGCCAUCUAUUUUCAUUGUUCAAAUCUUUGACAAUAUGAAAAAACCAAAAGCUCUGUCCCCCUCUCUAUCUAUCCAAGGGAUGGAAGGGCAGAGGUCUUUGGUGUCCCCUCCAGUCAAGAAUUAGGGCCUCACAAUCACUAGCCAAUAUGCUUUUCUCUCAUGCCUUUCUUCGUUCAUGGUUCGAUAUUCUGGUGUCCUAGGCGUAGAGGAACCACACCAAUCCAUCCCGAACUUAGUGGUUAAACUCUACUGCGGUGACGAUACUGUAGGGGAGGUCCUACAAAAAAAUAGUUCGACACCAUGAUGAUAAAAAGCUUAAUACCUCUCAUUCUUAUUCAAUAUGAAAAUGAAAAAAAAAUGAAAAAUCAAAAGAAAAAUCAAAAGGUCGUUUUAUUCAAAACCCCAAUUGUGACAUCCCUUCUCUCCCACUUUACACCUCAGAACGCACCCUUCUUAUAGAGAUAAAUGCAUUUUCACAUCUUCUUAACCCGAAAUGGCUUGGGAGAGGAAAGGUUUCUUUUUUUAGGGUACUCCUGGGAACAGAUCCAGUGGAGACAGGGUGAGGCCUAUAGCUCAGAGGCUUAGAGCACGUGGCUGCGAACCUCGGUUUCAGGGGUUCAAAUCCCUCCUCGCCCACAACCGGCCCAAAAGAGAAGUACCUUUCCCUCUGGGGCUAGGAAAAUCAUGAUCAGGAUAGCGAACCAAAAGCUAUGGAACUUGGGCGUGGGUAUUUUUUCGAAAUGGAAUGGCUUUUCUUUUUCUCUUUUUAUUUAUCGUGAAUGGGGGAAUCAUUACACAUAGUAUGCCCGAUCGGCAUAUUUUUUUGUUUUACACCCCGUAACUCUUCCUCAUCCAGGCUUGGGCAGAAUAGCAGAGCAAGUAUUAGUAGCAUAACAGAAAAGCCUUUCCUCGUCAAUUAUGACUAAUCUAUUGCAACAGAUGACCCAUAUUUGGAUUCAUGUUACAAUACUAUAAUACAAAUCCAACAAAUGAGUAAUCUAUUGCAACAGAUUAGUCAUAUAUGUUGCAACAGAUUACUCAUAUUUUGCAACAGAUUAGUCAAUAUGUUGCAACAGAUUAGUCAAUAUGUUGCAACAGAUUACACAUCUGUGCAACAGAUUACUCAUCUGUUGGAUUCACGUUACAUGUUUUAUCUACUGUUGAAAAAACAGCAGUAGCAAAUAUACCCAGAUGAGAAAUUCAACUAAAAAUUAUAAUUUUACUUACUAAAAUCACCUAUAAGUAAUUCCCAAGUGAUAUACGAAUAAAAUUUGACCUAAAAAAAUUUGAUCAAGUAGCAAUAGUAGCGGUAACAACAAUGUUCAACAACAAGAAGAUGAUGAUGAUGAACAAAAAAAGAUGAUGAUAAUGAAGAACAAGAUGAUGAAUAAAACAACAACAAUAAUGAACAACAAAAAUCGCGAAGAGAGAGAAAACUCCAAUAAAUGAGAAGAGAGAAAAACGUGCCUUUUUUCCCUCCAUUUUUAGUUAUAUUAGGUUUUACAUUGGAUCAAAGUGUAAAUUUAAAACUUGUGGGUUAUUUUCAAACUUUUCUUACUUUCUUAAUCCUUAAUAAAGUAAUUGUCACAUCCACUCAAUUAUUAAGACUUGUGUCACCCACACUUCAUUUUAAAAUUUUUUUGUCACCGAGAGCCCAAAGCACCUUGUUUCUACCCUGACUUAUAAACGAAAUUGCUGAGACACACUCCAACUUAAAGGGUGUCCUAUUACCCUGGACUAAUUAAAACCAUAUUUUUGACAACCUUAGUGCUGACAUGGUACAUACGUGGCACACUGCGUGAAUUAACACACUGAAGGUCCACAUAGGCACACAUAUGUGCCACGUAGGAACUAAGAUUGCCAAAAAUACAAUUUUAAUUAGUCCAGAGGUAAUAGGACCUUCUUUAAGUUCGGGUGUGUCUCCGCAAUUUCUUUUAUAGUUCAUGAUGAAAACAGUGCAUUUACUCAUUUUUUUUAAGAAAAAAAAUUUACUCCAAAAAUUUAAGGCCCUUCGUACCUUGAAAUUCAGAUGUUUUCAUCAAAGAAAAUAUUUUCCACCAAAGGCCAAAAACCAUAUUGAAAACUUUUAAUUUACCAAAGAUCACCAAAAUAUUAUCAUCAUAGUUUUUUCAACUCCAUAAGGUCACACAUCCAUUUUACAUAACAAGGAUUCAAGUUCUAAUAACUGGAUUCUAAAUUUAAAAUUUGUACAUAUAAAUACAAGAUUUAGGACGGACAAACUAUUGGGUUCUACUGAACUCGUAAGUUGCCUUCUAGCUCCUCCCCAGGUCAAGCACAUUGUUAAAGCAAAUAUGAUACUCAUGUACUAGCGUAGACGCAUUGAUCAUUGCUACAUGGAGAACUCACCCUCUGGCGUAGCCGCGUUGAUCAAAAUGGUUUGGAUUGAGCAUUCUUUCUUUAAAAUCUUUACGACUGCAGACAUGGUUGGUCUGAAUGGCGGUGAAUCUAUGCAUACCAUUGCUAAUCGUAGAAUCAUCUGUGCUUCUUCCCAGUCAUAACUCAGCUUAGGAUCGACUAGUUCCAUUAGAGUUCCCCUCCGAUCCAUUUUUUCGGCCUAUAGUUGUCGAUAAGAUUAACCAAAUAACUUUGUCAAGUUAAGGUACAUAACUAUUGUAGCAAGUUGAGUUUUACUCACCUCAUCCACGAGGUAGUCAGUUUCACCACCUGCCCUCGGGGUCUUGAUUUUCCUUCCGCUGACAAGUAUAAGUGUGACAACUCCAAAGCUAUACACAUCUGCGCUAGCUUCUAAGGGGCGAUCUUUAACUUCUGGCGCUGUGUAUGACCUGCAAAAGGUUUCCAUUAGUGAGAAAUACAAUUGUGGAAGCUAAUGUAUAAGGUAUUACUCCCUCCGUUUAAUUUGUUUUUCUGGUUUUGACUUGACACGAAGUUUAAGAAAGUAACGAAUACUUUUGUAUCUUGCAGUCUUAACCUAAUGAUAUGAAGAAUGUACAAUGCAGUUUAGUCUUGUGGUUUUAAACAUGUCACGUGGAAAGUAAAGAUAAAAGAGUUGUUCUUACAUUGAUCCUUCUGAUUUUUGCUUGUGAUAGAGCUUCGCAAAUCCGAAAUCAUGUAUCUUCGGAUUCAGAUCAUCAUCAAGAAUAAUGUUUGCUGGUUUAAUGUCCCCGUGUAUAGUUUCCUGUUUGGACCCCUCGUGCAGAAAAGAUAAACCUUCCGCUAGACCAAGACAAAUUCUAUAUCUUGUUGGCCAAUCGAGUCUUGCUCUAAGUUCAUCGUCUGAACCUGUACGUAAUCAAAGCUGUAAGUUCUUUACUACAAGUGUGGAGGCUUAACAAAGAAAUCAUUCAUAAAUGGAAGUCGUUACCAAAUAAUGCAUCUUCAAGAGUAUUAGUUCCAAUGAACUCGUAGAUAAGCAGAAGUUGGUUGUUUCCUGCACAGCAUGCCAUUAGUGUUACAAGAUUUGGAUGUAUUAUGCCAGUAAUUGCUCGACUCUUUUCCGCAAACUCCCACAUUCCUUCUUUUGUUGCCGAAAACUUUUUAACUGCGACGGCAGUCCCAUUCGAAAGAGUGCCCUGAACAUUCCGUUAAGUGUUUCAGAUGAUGAAAUUGUGUAGCAGAAAAACAAAAUAAGUUAAGUUGCGUGGACUCUUCACUUUUGAUGCCGCAUCCGUGUCGGGUUCUCUAAAUACACAUUAUUUUUGAAGAAUCCGACACGCACCCGUUGACAUUUUUGAAGAGUCCGAGUAACAUAGAAAAUAAGUACUCCCUCCGUUUAAAUUUGUUUGUCUUACUUUCAUUUUUUAUCCAUUUCAAAAGAAUGUGUCUUUCCUUUUCUAGUAACUCUCUAAUUCUAAUUGACCACAUGACAUGUUUAAGACCACGAGAUUGAAGGACAUUUUGGUACAAUCAAUCUAUUAUUAAUUCAAGAGCACACGUGUCAAAAGUUCUUAACGUUCGUGCCAAAUCAAUACCAGAAAAAACAAAUUGAAACGGGGGAGUAUAUAUCUAGAUCGGAGGUCAUCCAGCAAGAUCGGAGGUCAUCCAGCAAGCAAAAGAAAAAAGGUUGUGCAUAGAAGGGAGCGGCGUCACGAAAACACAUACUAGUACUGCAACUACUGUCAUGAGAGAGUAUCUUCUCCGAAAGAAAAUGAAGAAUACGGAGACAGAAAAUGAACAAAAUUUAUUUAACGGAAGAAAACUGUAAAAGAUAUCAAAAAAAAUCAUAAUCUAUAAUGAGAAGAUUCUAGCAAACCUUAUAGAUUGUCCAGAAACCUCCCUCGCCAAGCCGGUUCUUAAUAUCAAAAUCCUUCGUGGCAGCUUUAAUUUUCCGGUAGUUGUAAAGCCCUCCAGGGUACAAUUCAACACGUUCUUGCUCUAUAUUUACACAUUAGUAAAUAUAUAUCAGAGGAAUUUGAAACAUAUAUAAAGUAAAGACCUAUGAUUAAAACCGAUAACUACAAGAAAUGUAUCUUAGGUUUAACUCAAUCCCAAAGGCUAAUGACCAAUAUCUUGGGAUAGGUUUGGUACUGAUACCAUUAUAAGAAAUGGAUCUUGCGUCUAACUCAAUCCCAAAAACGAGAUCACGUGGUUAGGGAUUGCCGAAUACUAUAUAAGAAGACCAAUUCCACAUCCCACAAUCAACGCGUGACUACUUGUAAAGACAAAACUACAACUUUGAUUAUAGAGUGGCAAACAUAUAUAGUGUUACCUUCCUGAUGUAAUUUGUCUUGGACUUUCCAGGAAAUACCUAUGAACAAUAUUAGAAGAAGUAAUGCAAAUCCGGAAAUUCCAGCAAGCACUCCAUCGGGCAGUUCUGAUGCACGAGCUGGUUCAUAAAUUGUUAUCGUGAAAUAUCAAUAACAAAAUAGGGACCAAAACCAUGUAAGAUGGUAAAUAGUUGGGGGUAGCCCAGUGCACAAAGCAUCUCACAGUCACGCAGGGUCCGGAGAAGGGACACACCUUAAGAGGUGUAAUGUAGAUAGCCGACCCUAAUGCAAGCAUUAGCUAGUGUCUGCUUCUAUGGCUCGAACCCGUGACUUAUAGGUCACAAAUAACUUUAUCGUUGUUCCAAGGCUCCCCUUUGUAAAAUGCUGAAUAGUCAGACAGAAUGAAUACCUGGAGUUACUGUAAUUGCAGAUAUAAGUGGCCCAUAGUUCUCUGAUGGGUAUAAGACCGAUCCUUUUCCCGACCAGUAUAAGUGAAUCUCCAGUCGACCGUCGUUAUUCACAGGAACAGUAAAUUCCUUUGUUUUAUCCAUAUUCACACCUCCCGCGUCUUCUUCUAUGUUGUAGUUUUUCAGCUUGUUAUCUCCCUGCAUAAAUAUUAUCUAAAAUUCUUUGAUAUGUUUGCAUAUGGAUCGACAACUUGAUGGUUUUGGUACCUUACCUGGAUAUCUACAUCAAAGAGUCGCCCUGCUUUGCUAUGAGAAUCUUUAUUGUCGUUACUAGAUAUUUCAGCAAAGUGAAGCUUCACGUCGUACAUACCACUUUGCAAACAAAAUCCAUAAUAUUUCAAGGAGAUUGGGGAUAAACGUGCUGAGCGAUACAAUUGGGCAGCACCAGCAUGAAUUUCGCAGGUUUCAUUUAGAAUGUACUUAUUACGACUUGCCCAUAAGAAGCUUCCCAUACUACUGUAGCCCCAAUUUGAUCUAUUACUCUUGAAGAAAGUUGAUUCACCACUUGGAUGUGCAUCAGCUUCAUAGUUACUUCCGUUAACUUUUACAGACGCACCACCGCAGUUUAUAUACAAAUGGUCAUCUACAAACGGAGAUACUAUUUUUAGUACAUGGUGCAUUUAAAAUGCGAGCAACUCAACAUUGUGAAAAGACAAACUAGCAAAUUGGAAUUGAGGGAGUAUCUAUGAAGCUAGUCAUAAGAAACAUAACAAAAGACGUAUACUAAUAUCACUUCACGUCUGAAGUUGUUAGUACUUACAAAACUGAGUUCCAUUCGUACAAUCGAAAUCAACUUGGUCCCGCUUUGCAACCCUAUAUUCAAAUUUACUCACAAAGUAUAGAAGUCAGAACAAUUUUCUUACAAGACCAAAUUAUUUCUUUUGAGAUACAGGUGGAAGAGCUUACUCAUCCGUUUCAUUAGAGCAGCACUUGAACAGAUUCCUGCGAAAGGGAAAUAUCAUCGGAUUCAGAAACAGAAAAGCUACUAAGAAGCUGUGUUGCUCGGACUCUUCAAAAAUGUCAAUGUGUGUGUGUCAGAUACUCCAAAGUUAGUGCAUUUUGAAGAAUCUAACACGGGUGCCGUAAAAAUUUUGGAGAGUCCAAGAAACAUAGCUAAGAAGUACCCGAAUAAGAUUUUUCAAGAUAUGUGCAAAUCGCCCUUACAAGUCAGGGUUUAGUGUCUUUCCAGGGCUAAUGUUCACAUUUCUGAAAAAGUUUUCAGAAACAUCCCUGCACGUUGAUUUGGACGAGUAAGUGGAAGAAUAUGUUGUAAAAAUUGAUGAAAAGAGAAAGUCGGCACAGAAAAUCUCUUCAAUUUAUUUGGCACUUGCUUUUUCUUUCCCAUUAUCACUUCGAUUUAGUUUCAUUCUGUUACUCUCUUCCUCAGCGUAACAAGAUAAAUUUCCUAGGAGCUGCUAGUAAUGUCUGAACUUAGAACCGAAAAGUAAUAUAUUAAUGCAAAAGGAACUUACACGUAUGGAGUAGCAUUCAUCCAAGCUGGAAUUGUCUCAUUGAGAUUAUUUUUUCUUAGAAAUCUGGAAACAACAUACCGGAUCAUGACAGUUUAUACCACGCAGGAAAAGAAAAGAAUGUGAUAAAAAUCAAUGUUUCGACUUCACGUUAGGAAUUAACAACAACAACAUACCCAAUGUAAUCCUACAAGUGGGGUUUGGAGAGGGUAGAGUGUACGCCGACCUUACCUCUAAACAAAGGCGGAGCCAGACUUUAAAGUCUGUGGUUCGGAACACUAUUCACUAUUUCACUUCACCUACAUCUUGAAACAUCGACGAUGAACACUAUUGACUUCGCCCACAUGUUUUUAAGCCUUUCUAUGCCUUUGUUCCAACUUCGAAAACCUUCCGUUGUGAAGGAUUUACUCACUUUUUUUUCCAUAUCCUCCGAGCUCAUUUUUAAACAAGUAACAACAUAAGCAAAAUGCUGCAUCUUCUUUAAUGCUAAUAUGCUAUAUUCUAACCACAAAAUUUUCUACAAAACUAUUCUACUGUCUUGCAAAGUGCAAUCACAAAAUACGAAAACUAUAUGUUGCAAUAGAAUUACAGAUACAAUUACUAAAGCACUUUAACCCAAAAUCAAAAGCAAAAUUUAAAAUUUAAUCACAAUCUAUCGAUCGCGACUCAUGAAUGCCGAUGCAAAACUCUGAGACAUUGAGACUAACAAUUAGCAUAUGCGAAAACUGAAAGUGAAAUGGAAUUAUGAUCUAUGGAAAUCACUGCACAAGUGCACAUUACAUACCUUGACAGAGCAGCAGAAGUUCGGUUCUGGUCGUUGGGGGGUGGGGUUGUUGAUAAACCUUUUGACUUUCUUUAAUUACUUUUGACUUUCUUUAAUUAUUAUUAGUUUAUAUAUAUUUUAUUUUUUUAAAAUAGAAGUGCACCAAUGGAAAUGCAAAUUAAAAAGCCUUCAAUGGGGUUCGAACCCCAUCUCCAUCUCAUGGAUGGAAGGCUCUUCGUCUACCACUGGACUAAUAGGCUAUGUUUGUCUAUGGGUUCGGCCUUAUAUAAUUAUAUACGUUUUCCAAUAUAUAUAUAUAUUUAUAGGGUCUACGGAAAAGUUAGGGGGUUCGACCGAACCCCCGUACAACACACUAGCUCCACCCCUGCCUGUAAAUCGUAGAGAUAGAGAAGCUCCUAUAGACCCUCGACUUAAAAAAUGCAUUUCAAAGUAGUUUGACAAAGGGAAUACAAAAAUAAAAGCAGUAAGAACAAUGAAAUAAUGCGUAAUGGAAAGCAGUACACAACAACAUACGGAAGAAAGAACAGUAACAACGAUAAAAUACUGAUAUAAUCGAAGCACAAACAAACACGUGUGAUAACCAAAACUAAAGAAGAAGAAACUACGAGAAUAUUGCUAAUACUACUGGUAAGAAACUAUUAGUGGCUUCGAGAAGGAAUGCGUAUAAGAAGGAUAUAGCCUAAUGGAAAGAGGUACAAAGAAUCGUCCCCAGGAAGACCACACAACAUGAAAACCGGUCUUUCUCCGACCUCUACAGCAAAGCAUAUGAAUUUUCUUGCAAUGAUGAACUUUGUAUCCACAUCUCGCUACAAACGUAAGAACACUUUUUAUAUUUAACGAUUAGUUAGAGAAGCAAGAUGACGUACAUAUAACUCAGCGAGUUGUUAACAGCUUCUGGAAUUCCACCAAACAAACUAUUGAAACUCAAGUCCCUGCAUCAGGAGAAAAGAACGUAGAAUUACUUUAUAAAUUUGUUCAGGAAACAUGUAGUAGCCUGUAUAAUGACAGGUUUACACUCAAUUAAAUCGUUUUCGCUUUGUUCCACACGCUUCAACUGUUUUUUUUUUUGGUAUUAUGUAUGAUGUCAAACAGAACGGGAGCAAGACAAAGAUAGCACACUUUAAGAGUUUAGCUUGGCGGACCUCUUCUAUCCAUAAACGACUUAUUUUCUCAUAAACCUCAGAAUAUUAGACUUUUUUUUUUCAAUUUGGAGGUAGGGAAGGGGAUUACAAGAUGGGAAAUUGAGCCCUCAACAACAGCAUUAAAGUUCAGUUAGCCACGAUAGUCAAUGAAUUGAGCUAUUAAGAUUGCCCUCAUAAUAUUAGAUGUUGAAUCACGGUAUUGAGGAGACUUUAAUAGGAAGGAUUUGAUCAUGAAGAGUUACAUAUGAAAAAGGCACAGUCAGAGAAGAGAGCAUUUAGAUCAUCGACUUUCCCAUACCAAAAGCAUGCCUUCAUCUUCGUAAAAUAAAGAGCUAAUGGUUGAUAGAUCAGGUAGGAAAAUCACACACUCGAUAGUUUAGGUAUGAAACUCGGAAAACCAGGGUACCUUAGAUAUGUUUUUGACCCUUAACUCUAAGGUAAAAGAAUACGGAGAUAUCUAUUGCAGAAGCUGUCUUACAGAUACUGCAGGUCAGGUAAAUUCCAUAUCUCAACAGGGAUGCGGUCAGCUAUUAAGCAAUUCCUCAAUGUCCUAGAUAAACAGAAAAAUCAGAAAAUAGAAUUCUAUUUCAGGAGAAGAGCAAAAGAAAAACUAUUAAUCCAAUAAACAUGAAACUUUGGGUGCCAAGGGACUCACAAAACUCUCAAAAGUUUCGCUCCGGAUAAAUCUGGAAACGAGGAGUUUCUUCUAAUUAAGUUACUGAUAUGCCUGAAAUAGAUAUUAUAAAAUACGUAAUAAUUCAAAGUUUGGGAGAACUCCUUUCAAGAAUGAGUACAUCGAAAAGCUACAGGAUUUUACAGAUCCGUUAGACUCUUCAGCUUCGAGAAUUGGCCAUGCAAAGGUGCAGAAAAACUAUUCCCCAUCAGAUUCCUUCUCAACAGGUGAAGAGAAGAAUCAAUAGUCUUGAAAAAAACAUGCAUAGAUUGUAUAAAAGUAUACAGUUACUUGCUGAGUUUUACAUGAUACGAAGAUCUUGCCACUGCUCGAAAAUAUCUGGGAUCUCUCCAUCGAGGUUGUUCCCUUGCACAUUACUAUAGAGAAACAAGAUUAAUCAAUUGAUUUAAAAGUCAUGAAGUGGCCGUAGCCACAUGUAGUGAAGGGUGGCGGCCACCCUUUGUCGAAAAGUUAUACGAGUAUAUAGGUAAAAAAAUAAUUUCUUCCGUCCAUAUUAAAUCUUGAAUACCCUCACCGAAAUUUCUGGCUUCACCAUUGCAGCAGCAUCCUCUCUUUUCUUGUUUAAUCAUAUGCUAAAUGAGAACGAAAUAUAAGAGAAUAGAUACUUACAAGUAUGUCAGUUUAUUCAAACUCUUGAAGCUUGGCGGCAAGGGACCAAUAAAUUCGUUGUUCUGAAAGUUCCUGCAAUCAUUUACUACAUAAGUAACCUUGUCUUCUUUGUUAACCUUGAAUGAAACUCAAUCCAGCACGAUGAGGUUCAUAGUUAGUAGUACAUCGUAGGAAUAAUCAACAAAAAUAUACUUACAACACUUCAAGAUUCACAAGAUUUCCAAGCUGGUCCGGGAUUACAUCCGAGAGUUGAUUAUCAACGAGGUGCCUAAUUGUGAAGGCAAAUAGAUGGGGAUUCAGUUUGCACUAAACCAAAUGGAAAGUGACAUAAUAUAGAAGUAUGGAUCUUAUCAAGGAUUUUACAAUUCAAUCAGGCUCUUAAUAUUUCCGAGCUGAUCCGGAAUUUUCUCUGAUAAAAAGUUAUUGCCCAAAUCUCUGAAAGGACAAGAAGAAAAAAAUAUAUAUAUUAUGUAUUAAGACAACAAGAUAAUCAUAAUUUAUUUUGGAAUAGAAAGAACAAUAUGAGAUCGCAGGUUUAGACUUACAAAUAUUCCAAAGAUGGGAGAGAACCUAAUCCUGGAGGAAUUGUUUGGUUGAAGAAGUUUUUGCACAAAUAUCUGUAAUGGUAACCAAGGUUAGAUCUUCUUGUUACAACAACUACUAUUAGGAUGUCAUAACAUUGUUACAACGGCGAACAUUCAAACUCAGACGAGAACCAUUUCUUUAUGAUUAUUCUGUCGCCAAAAAAGAAUUUCCGGUUCUGUAAGCAGUCAAAUAGAAGUUAUUCCAUUUUCUUUGCUUGAUGGAGAUGAGUGGAAGCAAUAGAUUUCCCUCUUUUUGAUUCACAAUUUGCAGGAAAUCAGUUCAUUAAGUUCGACAAAGUUGUUAAUCAAACAAGUAGAUAGUAAUUGUGCGUGGGUUGAGUCGUAAAGCUGAUACGAAAAGGUAAACCAAUGACUUACAUUCUUUUUAAAGACGUCAUCUGACCAAGGAAAGGUGGAAUGCGUCCUUCCAAUGAGUUAUCACAGAGAGAACUGUCAGAUAAAACAUCAUAAUCAUCACAGCAAAUUCAUGAAAAACUUUAAAAAAAAAAAAAACAGAUAAAUUAAAUAAGUUUCUAAUGGAAACAGUAAUUGAUCCAAAGUUAUGAAACUACUCACAACUCCUCUAGUCUUGUCAGAUUUUGAAAUGAUUCAGGAAUUGAUCCACGCAACUUGUUUCCAUUCAAAGAGCUGCGAUCAACCAAAAUAGAUUAUCGAAUCUUGGAUAUGAUUUAGUUUAGUUUGGACUUUAUAACAUCGAGAUCCUUUUUGAGUAUAAAGAGACUUAUGUGUAUCUCUUGGAGCAUGCAUUCCAUUAUUUCGACUCCUGCCUCAAAAUAUAAAUGCCUACGGCGCAUAGUAUUGUAAGAGGAAAAUGAAAUCUAUCGGUAACAAUCUCUCUACCUCUCAAGGUAACAGUAGGGUCUGAGUAUACACUACCCUUCCCAAAACCCACUUAUGGGAUUACUGGGUAUGUUGCUGUAAUUAUCCUUCAUUAUUUUUUCUAUAAUAUUUAUUAAUUUCUGCACCCAACGGUGUCGCCUAGCGGUCAACGAUGUGGGCGAGAACCAUGCGUUCUCGGGUUCAAAUCCUAGCAGAGACAAAAACACUAGUGAUUUUUUCCCAUCUAUCCUUAGCUUUGGUGGAUGGAGUAACCUGGAAUCUAUUGCUGGUGGGAGGUGGCAGGUAUCUAGUAAAAUUAGUCGGGGUGACCCAAAAGCUGGCCUGGACCGCGGUUAUCAAACAAACUAAUAACAAUAAUAUUUAUUCCAUUCACAUACAAAAUGCAAGUGGAAUCUAGAAAAAUGGAAUGAUAUUAAAUGCAAAAUAUAUAAGUAUGCUUAUGAUGUAAUGCGAUUUAAACUGAGCAGAAAUUGUUUAGGUAUACUUACAAGCUUUUUAAAUAUUGAAGGUCUCCGAAGUUCUCAGGGAACUUAACAUCUAAUCCUCUAUUGGAGAAAUCACUGCAGUUCAUUAUGUUGCAAAAAAAUCAAUCAGAAAUCUCAACGUUGCAUAGUUAAAAAUAACGCGACAAUUUUUAUCUCCCUUGAGAUCACAACUUAAAACUAAAACAAUGAACAUAAAACAAGGAUGACCUGCACAUAUUUGAUCAGGCGUUGUGGUACUAAUCUCUAGUUAUGCGCGGGGUCUGAGGAAGAAUCAAACCAUAAGUGUCAAUUGUAUGCAACCUUACAAUGCAUUUCUGCAAUAGGCUGCUUCUACGGCUCGAACCGUGACCUUCUGGUCACAUGGCAACAACUUUACGAGUUACACCAACGCUCAAUGACGGUGCUAGGAUUUUCACUAAAGGGAUUCACAAAAUGAAGUAAGCACAAGAAGCAAAAGGGGAUUCAACAACUACUAUAAGUAUACACAAAAUAAUUUUAUAUAAAUAAUUUAAUUUUUCUCCAAAAGAGGUUCGGAUGAAUCUCAUCGGUCCAACCUGGCUCCGCCCUGAUAUUUCUCCCGCAAACAAAUCAUCCAAACUCCAAAAAAAAAUGAUGGCACAACGGUUCACUAAUUAUAUCAGUGCAAAUUACAAAUAGUAAAACAGAUGAAUGCAAUCCAAUCAAUGUCUACAGAUCAUGCUAUCAAAGGAAUUGUAAUAAUAACAGUAAAUAACUUGGAUUAGAAGCGAUACAUGUGCUCCACUCGACAUCUUUUCUGGUUCUCAUGAUAACAAUUGCAAGUGACGGCAUUUGAAAAUCCAAUAAAACAACUUGGAGGUAAUAUUCCCUUAGAACAACCAAGCAGAUCAUUGAUGACAUUCUCUGGCAUCCACAUGAAGAAAAUUGCAUCAGCACAGAAAAUCCCUGCAUAACUUGUUUUUAAGCCAAACAAACUCCUCAAGAUUGCAACACCAAACGUUAGCUAUGAGCAUGUGUAAUAAGUUUAGGAGGGAAAGUGUAAUUUCCUUAAUACCGUCAGCCAAGUUUAUACUUUAUUGAGAUAAGCACCUAGUACGCCGGCUCCCCGAACUAUGGUCAAAGUUGCUACGACACACUCCAGCUUCAUAGGGUCCUAUUCUCCACUCCCAAAAACUCAAUUUUAGUGUAUUUUUGUCACAUUUUUGUGUUGACGUGGCACCUUUAUUACAUAAAAUGAAGCCCAUGUCAAAGGUGUCACGUCAGCUAAAAAGGUUGACAAAAAGGCUCAAAUAUGUCACUGAACUAUCACAAAUGGCUCAUUUAUGCCGUCCGUUAAAAGUUGGACUCAUUCAUGUCGUCAUAACAAAACUGGCCCAUCCAUGCCAUUACUUAUAACAACCGGUUUUUAGAAAACAGCUGUGCCACAUGGCGGCAUAUUAGAGGUCCAUGUCAUUUUUUAAUUAUAUUUUUUAAUUUUUUUUUCUCCAUUAAAAAGAAUCCACCCAACUUUUUGAUCCAUUAAAAAUUAAUUUGAUCUAUGAUGAUUAGGUUAAUAGUAGAGUCAAAAUUUUCAUUAAAAGAUUUUAAAAUAAUAUAAAAAUAUAUAUGGAGAAAUCAAUGAACACACACACACACACAUAUAUAUAUAUAAAAUAUACAUUAAUUUAUUUUAUACUCCCACACAAAUAUAUACUUCCAUGUUAUCUAACUUAUCAAAAAUAUAUUGGAUUUACUUUUGUUUUUAUAUAUGCCAACUGGCCUUAGAUUAUAUUAUACAAAUUCUAUGUCAUCUUCAUUUUAUUCUUUCUUCUUAGAUAUUUUAUUUCAUUAAAGAGAAAAGAACAAUAAAAUUUUAGAAUUAAUCAAUUCAUUGAAUUAAGUAUAUAAUGAAAUGAUAAAGACUAUACAUACAUAAUACUUAUGAGUUGUAACUUGCAUGCAUGGCUUAUAUAUUGUUUUUAUUCAAUUUCUAAUUAGGAUUGAACCACUUAAAAUUAAUUAUAUAAGGAUAUAAAACUAUGACGUCUCACCAAUUUUUAUGUAACUAUAUCAUUAAAUCAAAUUGUAAUUUAAGAAAAACAUAAUUGUAAUUUAGACAAAUAUUCUACCUCCAAUGAUUAAUGUUGAUUGUCAAAUGAUUAUCUUAAUAUAUGAUUGUGUCAAAACAUUAAACGAAAUAUUAAAAAAGAUGAAAGGGAGCAGUAUAAUGAGUGUUUGAGAGAAUAAUGUCCCACGUGAAAAGUAAAAAAGAAAUGAAAUUAUUUAUAAAAUGUCGGAUAUUUAAGAUUUCUUGAAAAAGAAUGUCAAUUUGGUUCAAAGUGAAUGAUAUCAUACAAUAUUAAAAGUAUUUUAUGGUAAUUAAUUAGCACAAUAAUUGUAUUAACACCAUUGUACUAAAAUUUUUGCAGGCUGGGUAUGAGGAUGAUAGAGUGACGGCAUGAGACGUAUUGUUUUAUUGUCUUUGCUUGUCUAUGAAUCAAUUUGCUAUAUUUGACCACAAUUUUAAGCCACAUACAACAAAAAAAAAAAAGUCGAUGAGCUUGGUAACAAUAAAUACUCGGAUGAUAUGAGGCGAUACACAAAUAAUCUCAAAAUUAACUCAUUAAUAGUAAUUAAUCAAGUAAAACUUAGUUUAAAGGGAGAUGAUCAUAUUAUUGAUCCGUAUUGUGAACAGAGUCACACGUGAAAGUCAGAAAAGGGAAAAAAAAAAACUAUUGAUAUGGUGCAAUAUAUAAAUAAUCUCAAAUUUUAAAAGCAUAGAUCAAACUAAUUUUUAAUGGAUCAAAAAGUUGGGUGGAUUUUUUUCAAUGCAUAAAUUUUUAUUUUUAUUUUAAAUUUAAUUUAAAAAAAAAUUAAAAAAUUUAAUUCGGAGGUAGUAGGGCUCCCGUGAAGUUGGAGUGUGCUGUAGCAAAUAUGGUUAAUAGUCGGGGGGUGCUAGAUGCUUUACUCUACUUUAUUCGUCUAACGAAAAUUCAAUCUCAUCCCUGAUCAAAUGGAGGAAACUAAAAAAUAUAGAAUCUCCUCGCACACUACAAAUUUGUUUCUAUAUUACGUCGUUACUAUUCGUCAACAAAAUAACCCGUAAAGGUUCACCUUUAAACAUUUUGAAGCUGUUUCUUGAAAAUUCUCUCCAUACAACAACAUACCCGGUGUAGUCGCACCAAGUGGCCCUUACCCUACCUCGGGUAUGUAGUGGCACAAAGUGGCCCUUACCCUACCUCGGAAGUAGAGAGGUUGUUUCUGAUAGUUAAUAAGUUUACAGGACUAACUUGUGUUCAAUAUCUCAAUGGUCACAAUCUUACCAUCUUCUUCGGCAAGAGGAGGAGGAGGUAUGUUUGUUGAACUGCUGUGAAACAAAGUUGUUGUACAGAUUUUGCGUAGAAGGCCUUGCGUAGCUUGUUCCAAAGUCAACUCACAAAGGACUAAAAGCAGCAAAAGAGGAAUGAAGACCCUGUAAACUUGCAUGAACAUUGUGAUAUUAGCUAAACAAGAAAAGCUUUAUUUUUAUUUUUUAUUUAGCUUUAACUAUACAGUGUCGAAAAUACGUGCCCAUAAUACCAUUAUAUAUAAUAGCAUUUUUUCUUCGAGUAUACCCAAUAAUAUUGUGUCUCGCAGAGGCGAAUCCAGGGUUUUAAGCCUCAAACUAAUAUAUAAUCCUAACCGGGUUCGUAAUCAAAUAACAUCAACUACAUACCGAGUGAAGCCCACAAGUGGGGUCCAAGAAGAGUAGGAUGUAUGCAAUCUAUUAACUAAUAUUUUUUUUUUGGAUAAAAUCGCCCCUAAUCAAUGGAAUAAAUUACAUAAAUGAUCCUUAUAAUGAAUAACAACUCUAUAUUUAUAUCUUUCAACUUUUAUUUUUUUUCCUCUUUUUAAUUUUACUUUAAUUUUUAUUUUUUAUUUUCCCUUUUUAUUUUUAAUUAUUCUUAACCCUUAUUUUUUUCCUCUCAACUUUUUUUUUAUAUUAUUUUGAUUUUUUUAUUUUUUCUUUCCUCUUUUUUUUAAUUAUUCUACUUUUAUAAAAAAAAAAUAUUUUUUUUUUGUUUGAUUUUUAUUUUUUCUUUUCUUUUUAAAUUUUUCGCUACCUUUAUUUUUAUUUAAUCUUUUUUAUUUUAUCAACCUUUAUUUUCUUUCCUAUUCUCUUUCAACUUCUACAUUUUUUUAUUUUUAUUUUUUAAUAGUUUUCUUCUUUUUCUGCAAUUUAUAUUACUUUUGUUCUUUUCUUUGAUUUCUUCCAUUCAAGUUACAUUUCAUUAGCAAGAGUUGACACUAUCGCAUUUUAAAGGCAAGACUUAUGACUUUCGAACAAGAAGUUACAUUUCCUAGGCACGAGUUGACACUACUACAUAUGUAUAUGCGAGACUUAGCUCAAGGACUUUCAAACAACAAAUUAUGCCUCACGGGCAAGAGUUGACUCUACCACGUUAUGAUUUCACUCGUGAGAUGUUCUACAACUAUGGCCUCAGAGGCAAGACUUGACUCAAGGACUUUUAAACAACAAAUUAUGCCCCACGGGCAAGAGUUGACUCUACCACGUUAUGUUUUCACUCGUGAGAUAUUCUACAACUAUUGCCUCAGAGGCAAGACUUGACUCAAGGACUUUUAAACAACAAAUUAUGCCCCACGGGCAAGAGUUGACUCUACCACGUUAUGUUUUCACUCGUGAGAUAUUCUACAACUAUUGCCUCAGAGGCAAGACUUGACUCAAGGACUUUCGAACAACAAAUUAUGCCCCACGGGCAAGAGUUAACUCUACCACGUUAUGUUUUCAUUUGUGAGAUGUUCUACAACUAUUGCCUCAGAGGCAAGACUUGACUCAAGGACUUUCGAACAACAAAUUAUGCCCCAGGGGCAAGAGUUGACUUUAUCACAUUAUGUUUUUAUUUAUGAGGUGUUCUACAACCAUCGCCUUAAAGGCAAGACUUAGCUCAAGGACUUUCAAACAACAAAUUAUGCCCAACGGGCAAAAGUUGACUCUACCGCGUUAUGUUUUCAUUUAUGAGAUGUUCUUAAACUAUUGCAUCAGAGGCAAAACUUAGACCAAGGACUUUCAAACUAUAAAUAUGCCCCACUCUACCACGUUAUGUUUUCAUUUGUGAAAUAUUCUAUAACUAUUGUCUCAGAGGCAUGAUUGACUCAAGGACUUUCAAACUACUAAUUAUGGCCCACGGGUAAGAGUUGACUUUAUCACGUUAUAUUUUCAUUAAUGAGAUGUUCUACAACUAUCGCCUUAGAGGCAAGACUUAAUUCAAGAACUUUCAAACAACAAAUUAUGCCCCAGGGGCAAGAGUUGACUCUACCACGUUAUGUUUUCAUGUCCUUAAAUUUGUUUUGAUGCCAAAAAAAAAAAGAUCCCUUUGUGGAUUAUCUAAUUUUGUAUUUAUUAACAAAAUAAAAUAGAAGUUGAGAAAAAAAAAAAGACGAUCAAACAAAAUAGAGAAAUAAAAAAAAUGAGGAAAAAAGGUAAGAAAAAAAUAAGAUUAAGAAAAAAGCGAAGAAUUAAAAAAAUUGAGAAAAAUAAAAAUGAGAGGAAAAAAAUAAAGUUUGAAAAAAUGAGGAAAAAAAGAGAAAUGAUAAAAUAAAAAAUAAAAUAAAAAUAAAGGUUGAGAUAAAUAAAUUAAAAAAAAAUGAAGAAAUAGUUAAUGUUUGAGAAAAAAUAAAAUAAAGGUUGAGAUAAAUAAAUUAAAACAUGAAAAUAAAAUUAAAAAAAAGUGAAAAUAAUAAAAAUAAAAAUAAAAUUUGCGAGACAAAUAAGUAUGAAAAUAACAAAAAAUAAAACACGAGAGACAAAUGGUAAAUUUCCUAAAAUGAGGGUAUGCAGAAAUUGGGUACGUAGAAUCCUUAGUAAAAGAAAAAGGGAUUCAGGUGCAUUAACAGAAAAACAAAAGAAUAAAAAGAAGAAAAGAAAAAAAAAAGAGAAAAAAUCAUAGGAAAAAAAGAUAUAAUUUGUUGUGAAAAUAAAAUCGUUGGGGUCCAUAAGGAACUGAAUAUAUAAAAGAAGAAAAUAAUAAAAAAUAUAACAUGAAGAAAUAGAUAAUACUUGAGAAAAAAAAGAUAAAAAAAUAAAAGUUCAGAUUAAUGAAUUAAAAUAUGAAAAUAAAAUAAAAAAAGUAAAAAAAAUAUAAUUUAAGAGACAAAUGAGUAUGAAAAGUGUAAAAAUAUAUUUAAGGUGUAGAGGGCAAAAUUGUACUUGUACUAUACUUAAAAAGUAAGGAAGAUUAUUCUUCAAAGACAUUUUUAUUUGGGAUCAAAUAUCUAAAGCCACCCAUAUUUGGGUCUAUGGCAUGCAAUUUACCGGAGUUAUUAAAAGCGCAAAAAAGCUCGAAAAUUUGUUGGGGCUUUAAGCACAAAUCGCAAAUAAAGUGUGUGGUUUAAUGAAAAAUAGAUAUACAUUUAUAUAUGUGUGUGUAUAUAUAUAUACACUAAUAAUUAUAAGCAUGAUAACAAAUAUAUGAACAGAGAAAUGGAAGAUAAAUUACGACAAAGUGAAAUAUCAAUUGUCAUUGAAGUGCUUAGCAGGUUUUGAGUCUCGCUUAGGCUUAAACGCACCAUCAACAACAGUGCACAUACCUCAUCCCUACCUUUGUGGGUAGAGAUAGUUUCUGAUAGACCCUCGCAUCAAAUAUUUAUAAAUAUUUAGCGAAUUUCUUAAAACAUAUACAUGCCAAAAAUUGACUUGGGCAUGUCAAGGAAGUUGGGGGAAAUUGGGGAUCAUCCCAAUAUGAUCCGUUUAAUUUUUCGGAUAAAAGCCACAAGAUUCAGCGUAAAUCCACAAACAACAUUGUGUGGUUUAUAAAAAGAGAACAAUCUUUUCUUCACUUUUUCAUGUUGUUUCCACUUCUGGGCCCUUACAGCAUAGCAUUGCUUAUCUUUUCCAAAAAAGUAAAGAUACAACAUUUUCAUGUCACUUUGAGCUUCGGAAAUUCUACUUUAUAAAGAUGAAAUAUCCAAUAAUGCUGUGCAGAUUCCUUGACUCUUUUUCUUUUUUCGAUAAUCGUGUUGUCUAUCUCAUUAUGUCUUUUUCUAGAGUGUUUCUGUCUUGAGCCGGGAGUCUAUCCGAAACAUCAUAUCUAUCUCACCUAUAACCCACAAGUCAGCGUACAAUCUCCCCUCCCCAUACCCCACUUUGUGAAACUACAUUGGUUAUGUUCAAUGUUUUUGUUCUUGUUGAUAAUCAUAGUGCAUGAGUCAACUUGCGUACACUCUACCCUCGCCAUACCCCACAAGUCGGCGUACGCUCUACCCUCUCCAUAUGCCACAAGUCGGCGUACACUUAUGGACCAGCUUAUGCACACCUCGAUUUCACGAGAUACCUACUACCUCCCACCAAUAACAAAUACCUUAUAACUCUGUCUCCCAAAGCUAAGACAUAGUACCACGUUCAUCUGAACCUGAUAUUUUCGAUGUCGGAGCAUAAAUUUACGUUCUAAAGUCCAUUAAAAUUACAAGAUAUUGACUCGAAACUUUAGGAAUACACAACCAUAAAAUUGAACACAUAGGAGUUUAAAUCGUGAAUCGGCGUAUUAAAUCCACUAACAAAAAGGUCAUACUCUUAUGUGAAAUUAAAGCUAACAUACCCCACAGGUCAGCGUACACUCUAUCCUCCUCAUAUCCCACUUUGUGGAACUACACUGGAUAUAAUCAUGUUGUUAUUUUUUUUGAUAAUUGUGGUGUCUGAAUCAGCUUGCACGCACCUCAAUAAAUUUCGUAGGAUACCUGCUACCUCUCAUCAAUAACAAGUAUAGGUAACCCAGUAUUUUUGAUAGCAAAUCCACUAACAAAAAGGGCAUAUUCUUAUGUGAAAAUUAAAGUAACUCGUGAUUUGUAUAGAAAGUGUUUGAUGAAAUGACUGAAAGAAAAUUCUAUUUAAAAAGGACUCAGAAAAGGGAUAUUACCUUUAUUUUUUCUCAAUAAACAAAGACCAUAACAAUUUGGACCCCAAGGGUGUGGCCGAGUGCUUAAUAACGUAGAUAAUUUCUUCUCAUCUAUUUUAACUUCAGUGAACAGAGUUCUCAUAUUUGCUGUUAGUGGGAGCUAGCAGGUACUUUGUGAAAUUAAUCGAGGUGCGAAAAAGACAUGUAAAAUGAGCAUUGUUGGUUGAGAACUCGAGGUCUCAGGUUCAAAUAAGUGAUUCUUUUCAUUUGUUUUAACCUUAGUGGACAAAAUUACCUGAUAUAUUGGGGGUGACAGAUAUUUCAUAAAUUUAGUUGAGUUGUAUGAAAGAUGGCUCGAACACUACAAUUAUUAAAAAAAACAUGUAAAUCUUCUUUUGAGAACAUUUACCCGUUUACAUUAAUUAGCAGCCCGCACAAUAAUGUUUCUCACUGUUUUUUUGCUUUUUCAAAAUUAUUGCAGCUCGGUUCACUAAAGCUCCUGCUAUGCACAGGGUCCACGAAAGAGCCUGACCACAAGGGUCUAUCGUACGCAGUCUUACCAUGCAUUUCUGGCAGAAGCUGUUUCCACGACCUUCUGAUCACAUGACAACUUUACCAGUUACUCCAAGGCUCCCGCUCAAUACUCGAACUCAGCCGGUAAUUAAGAACUUCAACUUCGAUAUUGCACAUCGUACACGUGUCAACUCGAUUUCAGUAGUGCACGUUGUACACAUGUCAACUCGACUUCAACUGGUAGCUAAACAGUCUAAAUUUUUUCAUUGUCUUGUAGACACCUUACACCGACGUCACACAUAAAUUUUGAAGACAUGUUUUUCUUGUGUUUCAUCAUAUCUUAUCAUCUUCUUUAAUAGAUGCAACAAGAUUUUAACUCAAUAAGGCAACACGAUCAUGUAUUUUACAUAACCUGGCAAGCCAAUCAAAUAUCAAAUCCUGGCACACUAGUCGAAGCACAGAAGCGUAUCUAGGAUUUGAAUUUUAUGACUUCUGAAUUUACCGUAACAACAUCAACUGCUAAUAACCAGAUUCUAAAUUUAACAUAUGUACAUAUUCAGGUAAUCUCAUAACACAAAUACAAGAUUUAGGACAAACAUACUACUUGGGUUCUAGCUCCGCCCCUGGUCAAGCGCAUUGCUAACUCAAAUAUGAUACUCCUUUACUUCUCGCUUAGUAAAGACACGAUUUCUAACCUUCUUUGCCGAGAUGCUGUAGUGGUCAUGAGAAGCCAAUAGGAGCAAGUUGUUUCCCACAUUUGAGUCUGCUACAUGGAGAAAUUAAACACCCUCUGGUUUGAUCAAAAUGGUCUCGAUUGAGUCUUCUUUCUUUAAAAUCUUCACGAUUGUAGACAUGGUUGGUCUGACUGACGGUGAAUCGAUGCAUUGGAUUGCUAAUCUUAGAAUCAUCUGUGCUUCUUCCCAAUCAUAUCUCAGAUUACGAUCAAUGAGUUCCAUUAAAGUUCCCCUCUGAUCCUUUUUUUGUGCCUAUAGUAAUCGAUUAAAGCCAAUAACUUUCUCUAGUUUCCUAAAGUAAUGUACAUAACUAUUCGAGUUAGUUGAGUUUCACUCACCUCAUCCACGAGGUAUUCAGUCUCACCACCUGGCCUCGGGUUCUUGAUUUUCAUUCCGCUGACAAUUAUAAGUGUGACAACCCCAAAGCUAUACACAUCCGCGCUCGCUUCUAAGGGGCGAUCUUUAACUUCUGGCGCUGUGUAUGACCUGCAAAAGGCUUCUAUCAGUGAGAAGUGCAAUUGUGAUAGCCACCGUAUGCAAAAUUUUAACCAAUUUGAAAGAAAAAUCAGUCUCCCAACGUUUCAGUUAGGGCGUUUCCUUACAUUGUUCCUUCUGGCCUUUGCUUGUGAUAGAGCCUUGCAAAUCCAAAAUCGUAUAUCUUCGGAUUUAGAUCAUCAUCAAGAAGAAUGUUCGCUGGUUUAAUAUCCCCAUGUAUAAUUUCCUGUUUGGAACCCUCGUGAAGAAAAGCUAAACCUUCUGCUAGACCAAGACAAAUUCUAUAUCUCGUUGGCCAAUCUAGUCUAGCUCUAAGUUCAUCGUUUGAACCUGUAAGUAACCAAAGCUCAACUUAUCCUUAGUACAGCUAAAUUCUCUUUUUCCUCUUCUUUACUACAACUAUGGAGACUUAACGAAGAAAUCUUUCAUAAACGGAAGGUGUUACCAAAUAAUGCAUCUUCAAGAGUGUUGGUUCCAAUGUACUCAUAGAUAAGCAGAAGUUGGUUGUUUCCCACACAGCAUCCUAUUAGCGUUACAAUAUUUGAAUGCUUCAUGCCAGCAAUUGCACGACUCUUUUCCGCAAACUCCCACAUUCCUUCUUUUGUUCUUGAAAGCUUUUUAACUGCGACGGCUGUCCCAUUUGAGUGUUCCCUGAACAUUCGUUAAGUAUUUCAGAUGAUGAAAUUGUGUAUCAGAAAAAAUCAUAACCUAUAAUGAGUUAAGAUUCUAGCUAACCUUAUAGACUGUCCCAAAACCUCCCUCACCAAUCCGGUUCGCAAUAUCAAAUUUCUUUGUGGCAGCUUUAAUUUUCCGGUAGUCGUAAAGCCCUCCAGGGUACAAUUCAACAAGUUCUAACUCUAUACCAACACAUUAGUAAAUAUAUGUCAGAGGAAUCGAAAACAUAAAUAAAGUAAAGAAGCUUACAACAAAUAAAAAGACCUAUGAUAAACAUGGUGGUGAUUAAAACCGAUAACUAUAAAUCCCAAUGGAAACCAAAUAAAAUAUAUAAUAAAGUAGUGUUACCUCCCCGCCAUAUGUCUUUGAAUCUCCAGGUAAAACCUAUGAACAAUACAGUUAGAAGAAGUAAUGCAAAUACUGAAAUUCCCGCAAGCGCUCCAGUGGACAGAUUUGAUCGACGAGCUGGUUCAUAAAUUGUUGCGGUGAAAUAUCAGUCACAAAAUAGGAACCAAAGCCAUAUAAAAUGGUAAAUGGUCGGGUGUAUCCUGGUGCACAAAGCAUCUUGCGUUCAUGCAGGGCCGGGACACACCCCAAGGGGGGUAAUAUAGAUAGCCUACCCUAAUGCAAGCAUUAGCCAGUGUCUUCUUCUGCGGUCGAACCGGUGACCUGUAGGUCACACGGAGACAACUUUAUCGUUGCUCCAAUUCCCCCCUUCAUAAAAUAGUGAACAAUCCGGCAUAAAAUUAAUACCUGGAGUUACCGUAAUUGCGGAUAUAAGGGGCCCAUAGUACUUUGAUGGAUAUAAGACUGACCCUUUUCCAGACCAGUAUAAAUGAAUCUCCAGACUGUUAUUCAGCACACGAGUAAAUUCCUUUGUUAUAGCCUUAUUCACACCUCCCGCGUCUUUUUCUAUGUUGAAGUUUCUCAGCACAUUUUCCCCCUGCAUAAAUAUUAUCUAAAAAUCUUCUUUAUGUUUGCGUAUGGAUGAAAAACUUGAUGGUUUUGGUACCUUACCUGGAUAUCUACAUCAAAGAGACGCCCCACUUUGCUAUGCGAAACUUUAUUCUCGCUACUAGAUAUUUCAGCAAAGUGAAGCUUCACGUUGUACACACCACUUUUCAAACAAAAUCCAUAAUAUUUCAAGGAGAUUAGGGAUAAACGUGCCGAGCUAUACAAUUGGGCCUCACCAACAUGAAUUUGGCUAUCAUUUAGAAUGUACUUAUAACGACUUGCCCAUAAGAAGUUUCCCAUACUACUAUAGCCCCAAUUUGAUCUAUUGAAGAAAGUUGAUUCACCACGUGGAUUUACAUCAGCUUCAUAAACUCUUCCGUCAACUGAUACAGACUCUCCACCGCAGUUUAUAUACAACCAAUCAUCUACAGAAGGAGAUGCUAUUUAGUACAUGAUGCAUUUAUAAUCUCAAAAGGCAGACAGAAUUUAAUCUGGAAUGGAAACACUCUAGAAACACAACAUUUUGACGACAAACUAGAAAAUAUAAAUCUUAUCAUGAGUCAUGAAACAAACACUUUUCACUAUAGAAAUAAUUAGUCUGUCAUAAUAUUUUAUGCAGUGUCACAUUCAAUCCCAAAAGAUGUACUCCGUCCGUUUUACUUUGUUUAUCUUACUUUCCUUUAGUUUAGAACCACAAGACUCAAAAGAGUUCUCUCUACUUUCUUACACUCUCAAGCUAAAACAGACAAACAAAUGGAAACAGAGAGACUAUCGAUGAAGCUAGUCAUAAGGAAUAUAACAUAAGAUGUAUACAAAUAUCACUUCACGUCUGAAGUUAUUAGUACUUACAAAACUGAGUUCCAUUCUUACAAUCGAAAUCAAUUUGGUCCCGCUUUGCAACCCUAUAUUCAAAUUUACUCACAAAUUUAAGCAUAGAACUCAGACCAAUUUGCUUAGAAGACCAAAUUAUUUCUUUUUUUUUUUUCCUCUUUGUGGAGAUACUCGUGGAAGAGCUUACUUAUCCUUUUCGUUGGGGCAGCACUCGAACAGAUUCCUGGAAAAGGGUAAUAUCAUUGGAUUCAGAAAUAGAAAAGCAACUAAGAAGCUAUGUUGCUCGGACUCUUCAAAAAUGUCAAUGGGUGUAUGUAAAAAUUUUGGAGAGUCCAAGAAACAUAGCUAAGAAGUACAUACAUAAGAUUUUUCAAGAUAUGUGAAAAUCACCCUUACAAGUCAGGGUUUAGCGUCUGUCCGUGGUUAAUGCCCACAUUUCUGAAAAGGUUUUCAGAAACAUCCCUGCACUUUGACUUGGAUGGGUGAGUGGCAGAAUACGUUGUAGAAAUUAAUGAAAAGACAAAGUCAGCACAGAAAAUCAUGCUAAAUCAAACUUCAGUUGGAAGAAAUUAAAUUCCAUGAUGUUUUACGACAAUAUAAUUAUAAUAUAAAUUCUGAACAAAUAUUAUACCCUAGUAAUAGAUAGAAGAGUAAAAAAAAAAGAACAUAGAUAAAAGAAAUGUUUGCUCUAAGUAUAAACCGUAGCUUAAUUGAAAGCAAUAAUGACCAAAACAACACAAACACAAUUGUAUUCGUUAACAGAAGGGAUUAGCAAAAAAACAGAAAGCGAGUUUUAAAUGGUUAAACAUAACAGCUGCAACUUGCAACUUUACAGUUAAACAUAAUUUGCAAAGGCUAAAGUAACAGAUGCAAUUUGGCGCUUUCUUUUACUUUCCUGUCAUCACCUCAAUGUAGUUUCAUUCUGUUACUCUCUUCCCCGGCUUUACAAAGUAAAUUUCCUAGUAGCUGCUAGUAAUGUCUGAACUUAAAACCAAAAAAGUAAUAUAUUAACGCAAAAAAACACUUACACGUAUUGAGUAGCAUUCAUCCAAGCUGGAAUUGUCUCAUUGAGAUUAUUUUUUCUUAGAAAUCUGAAAACAACGCACCAAGUCAUGACAGUUGAUACCAAGACAGAAAAAGAAAACAUUGUGAAAAAAAAAUCAAUGUUCCGGCAUCACAGUGCACAAAAUUCAUCAAAAGUGAGCUAUCAAACAAUGCCUGAUAUUCAAACAACAUCAACAACAUACCCAAUGGAAACCAAAGUAGUUUGAAAAAGGGAAUGCAAAAUGAAAAAUAGUACGUAAUGGAAAACAGUACACGACAUCAUAAGGAAGAAAGAACAGUAACAUCAAUGAAAUAAUGAAUAUAAUCAAGCACAAUCAAACACAUGUGAUAACCAAAACAAAAGAACAUGAAAAUACGAGAAUAUUGCUAAUACUACUGGUAAGAAACUAUUACUGGCUUCAAGAAGAAAUGCAUAGUAUCGCCUUUUAUAUUUAGCGAUUAGUUAGAGAAGCAAGAUCGCUUACAUAUAAUUCAGCGAGUUGUUAACAGCUUCCGGAAUUGCACCAAACUAACUAUUGAAACUCAAGUCCCUGCAUCAGGAGAAAAUAAAGUAGAAUUACUUUAUAUAUUUGUUCAUGAAACAUGUAAAGCCUAUUUAGUGACAGGUUUACACUCAAUUAAUUUGUUUUUCCACUUUGUUCCAAGCACUUCAAGUAUUUUUUUUUUAUAUACUACUGUAAGACCCCGCAAAAUCACAUGUCAAAUUCAGCCCGUAAAGCUCCAUGAGAGGUCCCAACACUUAGAAAAUGUAGCAAAGUGUUAAGGACUUAGUCUCAUUUUAAGCCUUCGAACUUUGGGGAUUUAUUUGACGACCUUCCCAACCUUUAAUUUCCAAUUUUCAAGUUGUGUUGCGAUGGGGAAAGUCAUUAGUACGUCCUUGGUGCAUUCCGGCGCAUCUUGGGCACAUUUCAGGUGCAAAACUCACUGGUUUGAAAUGCUCCCGCAUUCUGGGCGCAUUUCAGGCCCCAAUUUCAGGGUCAACUUCCAACUAUCAUAAGUCUCUGUAUAUAAUGAACUGGGAGAGCUGCUAUAUAUCAAAUUAAAUAUCUUUGAGUCUUCUUUCUAAUGCAAUUGAUUACAUCCAAAUCCAACAUCGGAGUAAAAAGUUAUGACUAAUUUACUUCAGCAUGUCAAGCCUGUCAACUGAGGAACAACUGUGAUUUUGUUUGUUUUCUUAGGGUUAGUUUAGUCUUUUUACCACCCUAUAUAUACCCACAAACACGGGAUUAAGGCUGAUUUACACCAAAAUAUAGCCUCUUUUCUCAAAAAUUCUUCAAGAACAAGGAUAGGGUUUUCAUAGGAACUUCAAGAAUCAAGAAAUUUCACCAUUAGUUUCACAGAUCUUCCAUCUAAGGUAUGUGUAAUGUUGAUUUAUGGAUUCCUUUCAUCCAUAAAGCUCAAGAACCCUAUUUUAAAUUAUAAAUCAUGAUGUCUAUGUUGUGGGAUGAAUACGUUUAUGUGAUUUUUGCUGUAUGAUUCCCAAGUUGGAAUCUUUAUGUGUAUUUAUGAAACUAUGUUAGCAUAUGAGUUAAAAUCCAUGAAUUUGGUGGUUAAAGAUUGUUAAAUUGAUAGUUUUACCUAUGCCUUAAGUAGUGCAUGUAAGGUGUUUGAUACAAUGCCUAAAAGGAUAUAAAUUAUGCCUUAUAGCUAAAUUGUGAUCCAAAUGACAAAUGCAUGCUUUACCUUUAUUAUCAAAAUGACUUUUAUGAUAUUGUUGUGCAUUAUGAGUGUUUGAAGGAUUUGAAGGAUUACUUAUGGGACUAGUUGAUGAAAUAUUGAUAUGUUGAGAUGUAUUCUUAUUCAUGUACAAGAUUAUGAUAACCAUGUACUUCAUGAAAUCCCCAACUUAUUGUAUUAUGGAUUGUUGAUGUUGGUUAUGUAUUCAAAAAGUGUCAUGCCUUGUCAGUUUCCUUCCAUCGAGUCCUGGGGUACUUGUACCCAAAAAAUAUAGUUGUGUGCCUAGAGCUAGUGUCAUGUUUUCACGAUAAUCUCAUUCAAGCCAUGUUCAGUAGAAUUCAGUCAGUGUCAUGACUCAGGAAAACUCAGAAAUCUCAGUUAUUCAGUAGUUUCAGAAAUCCCAUGAACUCAGUCAGUUAACAGAUUCAGAAAUAUUCCGUCAGUCAACGGAACUCAGUAACUCGGUCCAGUACAGUUCAGUUAAUCAUGUUCAGUGUCUAUUCAGAUGGGAGUAGGAUUCAGCACCGAGUGAACCCAAGGAUGGGAACUUACUUGCCAGUAGAGGGUGUGAUUCUUAGAAGCAAUCCUUGCGUUCCAGAACUACGUAGCCAGCGUAGGUUGAGACAUCAAUACCUGUCAAUUGAGGGUAGAUGAGGUGGCCUAACCUGUCAGAUGAGGAUUCCCACCGUUCUCAUUUCAGUACCUGCCAAAUAAGGGUUACUCACAGCUUGUCCUUACCAGUGGCACGGUAUUGACACCCUUCCAAUUGGGGUUACAGAUUGGACCCUAACUCAGCUAUAUUGCUAUAUUUGGGGCAUGUCGGUUAGAUGACUACUUUCCACAGUUUCAAUUACAGGUUUCAGGACUGUCAGAUACAGUCACUCAGUUUCAGUAAAAGAACUCAGAUAGUUCUUCAGAAUUGAGGACUGUCAGAUACAGUCAACUCAGAACAUUACGAAACUCAGUUAGUUCCAUCAGUAUCAGGGCUGUCAGAUACAUUCACUUAUGUUAUCAUUACUCAGACUUAGUAAUCAUGUUAUCACGAACUCAGUUAACAAUAUAUCAAUUAUACGAAACUCAUGUUAUCAGUAUUCAGAUUCAGGACUAUCAGAUAUAGUAAAUCAGACCAGUUCUUCAUAAUCAGAACUGUCAGAAACAGUCACCCCUUUUAUUUGUAAUAUAAUAUUAGUCCCUCAAUAUUUAUUAGCCCAAUAUCAAUAUCAGUAAACUCAGAUGUCAGUAAAUCAGUACUCAGAACUCAGAACUUAGUAUCAGUAUGAUCUUAGUUACAGUUACGUAUGUCAUGCAUGUAUUCUCACGUUCAUGUUAGUUAGUCAGUUAGUAUUGUUCAUGCAUAUGAACCCCAUGCAUUCAACCUACCUCACUUGCAUACCAGGACAUUCAAAGUACUGGCGCAUUCGAGCUAUAGUGUCUUAUACCAUAGGUUUAGAAGCAUGAGAUCCAGAGCGUCAGUAGCAUUCCAGAUUCCUGCAGCAGUAGAUUAGCAGUGAGUCCUCAUCAUUUGAGGAUGCCUUAUCAUUUCAGCUUUUAGUACUUAUUUUGUUUUAGUAGUUGGAGUUAGUUGGGGACAUGUCCCAUCAACUCUUUAUUCAGACAGUUUAGAGGCUUUCAGACUAGAUGUUCAGACUUCAGUAUUUUGAGUACUUAUAUUCCGUUUUGGGUAUUGAUAUACCCCACUACAGACAUUGCUUUAUAUUCAGUAUUAGUUCAGAUUUGAACCUUAUGGCCUUACAACUUUUAUUCCGCAUUUUUACAGUGUAUGUUCAUAUACAGUAUAUUAUGCAGUGUACAGGUACAGAUAUCAGUCAUGGGUAGGUUAGCUUGUGGUCCUUCGGGGUCAUAAGCACCAUGUAGCGUUCCGGGUACCAGAUGCGGGGCGUUACAACUGUAUACCCUGAACAUCCUACCAACCAAAGUUUAAAUAAUAUCAUGACUAAUGCAUGUAUUAGAUUUUUUAAUACAUCCUACCAAACAACCCCAAAGAGUUUCAUAAGAUAAAGGCACAGUCAGAGACGAGAACAUUUGACGCAUCGACUUCCCCUAUCAAAUAAUCAUACGCCUUUUUAAAGUAAAUGAAAUGGAGAUAUUGACUGCAGAAGCUGUCUUACAGAUACUUUAGGCCAGAUAAAUUCCAUAUCUGAAUAGGGAUGCGGUCAGCUAUUGAACAAUUCCUCAAUGUCCUGGAUAAACAACAAAUCAGAAAAUAGAACUGUAUAUUAGGAGAAGAGCAAAAAAAAAACUACUAAUCCAAUAACCAUGAAACUUUGGGUGCCAGGGACUCACAAAACUCUCAAAAUUUUCGUUCCGGAUAAAUCUGGAAACGACGAGCUUCCUCCAAUUAAGUGACUGAUAUGCCUGAAAUAGAUAUUAUAAAAUACAUAAUAAUUCAAAGUUUGGGAGAACUCCUUUCAAGAAUGAGUACAUCGAAAAGCUACAGGAUUUUACAGAUCCGUUAGACUCUUCAGCUUCGAGAAUUGGCCAUGCAAAGGUGCAGAAAAACUAUUCCCCAUCAGAUUCCUUCUCAACAGGUGAAGAGAAGAAUCAAUAGUCUUGAAAAAAACAUGCAUAGAUUGUAUAAAAGUAUACAGUUACUUGCUGAGUUUUACAUGAUACGAAGAUCUUGCCACUGCUCGAAAAUAUCUGGGAUUGCUCCAUUGAGGUUGUUCCCUCGCACAUUGCUACACCCGAAAGAGGAUCAACUGAUUUAAAAGUAAUCUGAAGAUGUAUAUUAACCCCCCACCCCCUCUUUCAUCCUACGAAUGAAAAAUAAGAGAAUAGGUACUUACAAGUAUGUCAGUUUAUUCAAAUUCUUGAAGCUCAGCGGCAAGGGACCAAUAAAUUCAUUGUUCUGCAAGUGCCUGCAAUCAUUUAUUACAUAAUAAUAAGUACCCCUAUAUUCUUUGUUAACCUUGGAUGAAACUCUAUCCAGUAAAUGUGGUUCAAAUUUAGCAGCUUCUGCGUCCGUAUGAUUACAGCCAGCUAUAAAAGAAAAUACAAGGAAUGAGUACAAUUGUUUUGCUUUGGAUAUAUUGUUGCUUCGACAGAAAGCUGUGGGUUGGGAAUGUUGCCAGAACCAUGGCAUAGACCAAAAAAACAUCUUUAUCCCAUUGUACGGAGCUAAGUACACGCACGAGAAUUCACUAAAAGUCAGUCUAAAUGUAGGUGGAUCAGCUACAUUCCCUAAACAUAUACGAUCAAACAUGUGAUCAUCUCUGUAUGUAAUUCUUUACAAGCUUGUAAGCUAUCAUCACAUUUGGAGAUUAGACAAAAGGUUUUAUCAUCACCUGUAUACUUGGUCACAAAUUUUUGGAGUAGAAUGUGAUCAAAUAAAAGACUUUAAUACAAGUGAACGUUUGUUGAAUUUUUUAAUAUAAGCACAUUUUUCGGACCAAAAAAAGAAGAAGACUAAUACAGUGAUACGUUUGCAUGAUAGUUCUCUGAGUUGUUUUAGUUAAACUGCAAAUAAUGCAUCAGUUUAUCUUACAAACCAAAUACGGCUUAAAACUUAUUCAAGAAAUUGUACUCAAUCCAUAGAAAAAAAAUGUUAGGAAUAACCAACAAAAAUAUACUUACAACUCCUCAAGAUUCACAAGAUCUCCAAGCCGGUCCGGGAGUACAUCCGAGAGUUGAUUAUCAACGAGGUACCUAAUUGUGAAGGCAAAUAUAUGGGGAUUCAAGUUUGCACUAAAACAUACGGAAAGUAGGAUAAUGUAGAAGUAUGGAUCUUAUCAAGGAUUUUACAAUCCAAUGAGGCUCUUAAUAUUUCCCAGCUCAUCCGGAAUUUUCCCUGAUAAAAGGUUAUUGUCCAAGUCUCUGAAACGACAAAAAGAAAAAAAAUAUAUUGUGAACUAAGAGAACUAGAUAAUGAUAAUUUAUUCUGGAAUAGAAAUGACAAUGACAUGCAGCUUUAGACUUACAAAUAUUCUAACGAUGGGAGAAAACCCAAUUGCGGAGGAAUUGUUUGGUUGAAGAAGUUUUUGCACAAAUAUCUGUAAUGGAAACCAAGAUUAGAUUUUAAUGAUUAAAUAUGAUAUCAAGAUAGAAGUUUGAGUGAAUUUUACUGAUUUUUUUUCUGUGUGUCACUUAAUAACCCACUGCACGCCCAAGCCUUCCAACUAGAGCGUGGACAAAAUAAUAUGGACACCCUACAUUGCAGCACACAACGAAAGGGUUGAGUCUGGCUUUGACCAUGGGCCUAACUCAAUCUUGAAAGUUAGCUCAUGGGUUGAGGAUUGAUCAAGAUCAUAUAAGGACACAAACAACCCAUCCGUCACCCGAUGGGGCACAUUAAACACUUCCUAAGUGCCAACUUCCAAGUGUUUUCUUGAAGGAGUGAUGCACAAUUGAGCAAGUGCCAAACAAGUAAAGCAUCAAAUGCCACAGUUUUGUCACAAAUUUGCAAUGAACAAAGGGAUUAUCAACAUCCUUCACAUUUCCCUCUCCACCAAAAUCGAUGAAGAUUUGACUUUGGUAAGCAUCAUGCUAUCACACAGCACCCGAUAACACUUCUGCAUUUCAAGUUUCAAUCAUCUAUCAUUUAAUUCUCUUGAUAUUUGAAUUGCUUGCAACAGUAUAUUCGCGUCAUCAACUACUAUUAGGAUGUCAUAACAUUGUUAGAACAGCUAGCAUUCAAACUCAGACGAGAACCAUUACUUUAUGAUUGUUUUGUCUCCACAAAAGAAUUUCUGGUUUUAUAAAGCAGUCGAAUUGAAGUUAUUCCAUUUAUUUUCCUUGAUGGAAAUGAGUGGGAACGAUAGUUUCCUCUUUUUGAUUUAAAAAUUUGCAGGCAAUAAAAUAAGUGCAUAGAAAUUGCUCGUAGGUUGAGUCGUAAAGCUGAUACAAAAAGGUAAGGCAAUGACUUACAUGCUUUUUAAAGACUUCAUCUGACCAAAGAAAGGUGGAAUGGGUCCUUCCAAUAAGUUAUCACAGAGAGAACUGUCAGAUCAAACAUCAUAACUAUCACAGGUAAUUCAAGAUAAACAUUAUCGUAUGCAUGGUAAUGGACUUUAAAAACAGAUAAAUAAGUUUCUAAUAUAAUGAUAAGUUUUGCAGCCGAAGUUCUGAAACUACUCACAGUUCCAACAGAUUAUCCAGAUUUUUGAAUGAUUCAGGAAUGUAUCCUCGCAAAUUGUUUCCAUUCAAAUAUCUGUUAUCAACCAAAAUAGAUAGAUACAUAAAGGAUAGUACAAGAGAUAAGAUUACUUUUUCAAAAUGAGUGUUAAGACAUUAAAUUUUUAGCCGUGAGCUCCCCUGCUAUUAUUCAAGUACGGAUGCAAAAACCAAAAUCAGCAGAGUGCUAAUUUCUUGUUUAUUUGAUAUAAAUCUAGUGUUGUUUUUUAUAUGCAACUAGUUGUGGCAGAGGCAUGAUUUUAUGUAAGGGGGUUCGAAAUAGAUUCUCAAGUUGUAUCAAGGGGGUUCAGUAUGCAAUAUAAACACAUAAAUAUCAGAUUUGACCUUAAAUAUAAAGUAUACUUUCCAGAAGAAGGGGGUCUGAGUAUACACUACUCUCCCUAAACCCCACGUGUGGGAUUACACUGAGUAUGUUGUUGUUGUAGCUACCGCAUUCUUUUUUCUAUAAUAUUUAUUACAUUCACGUACAAAAUGCAACUGGAAUCUAACAAAUGGAAUGAUACUUAAAUGCAAAAUCUUCAAGUAUGCUUAUGAUCUGUAAUGCGAAUUUAAACUGCAAAGCAAUUGUUUAGGUAUCCUUACAGCCUUUUUAAAUAUAGAAGGUUUCCAAUCUUCCCAGGGAUCACACCUUGUAAUUGUCUAUUGGAGAAAUCUCUGCAGUUCAUUAUGUUGCAAAAACAUCAAUUAGAAAUCUCGAAGUUGAAAAGUUAAAAACAAAUGCAACAAAAUGUAACGCCCAUGAGACCACAAUUUCAGACAUGAAUGCAUAUAAAACAAGGAUGACCUGCACAUUUGGUCGAGUAGGCAAAGAUGUCUCUUAAUUUGCUCUACACUUUAGCAGUGAAAUUAUCAGUGAAGUUAUGGAUACGUUGCUAUUAUUAUAGUGAAAUUAUUCUAAAUCAUUUUUGGCCGAGUAGGCAACGAUGAAUAUUCCUGCUUCACCGAAAACCUUAUAGUACAAACAUACACAAUUAAUCAACAUAAUAUAGAAAUGUAAAGAGGCAUAGGGCAGCCUAGUGUACUAAGUGUGCAUUAUGCGGAGGGGUCGACAUCACGCUGCAUUUUUGCAAAAUGCUAUUUUCAUCGCUCUAACUCGUGACCUCCUGGUCACAUGGAAGAAACUUCACAUGUUACGCUAAGGCUCCCUUCCAAGUGUAAAGAGGCAUAAUUUUAGAUACUUGUGAUCUAUCGUAAAAAUUCAAGUAGCAAAGUAGUUGGUUCAAAUCCCAGCUGAGACAAAAACACUAGGUGAUUUUUUUACAUUUGUUCUAGCCUUAAUGGACAGAGUUACCUAAUACCUAUUGUCGGUGGGAGGUGGCAGGUAUCACGUGGAAUUAGUCAAGGGGCACGCAAACUGACCCGGACACCAUGGUUAUCGAAAACCAAAAAGCACAAUGAGAACUGCAUAUUUUCAUUCUACUCAAACAACGACCACAAAUAACAUUAGAAUGGCAAAGUGCCCAAGCGCACAAGCAUAUAUUGCCCAAUGGCAGAACUAGGAUUUUCUUCAAAAAAUGAAGAAGUAAACACACUAGAAGCCAAAGAGGGUUCAACAUCUACUAUAUAUACAUGCAAAAUAAUUUUAACCAUGUAUAGAUAGUGUAAUUUUUCACCGAAAGGGGUUCGGGUGAACUCCAUCCUCCUACUUGGCUCCGCCCCUGAUAUUAUUCCUGUUAACAAAUCACCCAAACUCCCAAAAAAUGAUGGCACAAUAGUUUACUAGUUAUAUCAGUGCAAAUUACAAUUAGAAAUAUAGAUGAAUGUAAUCCAAUCAAUGUCUCCAGAUCAUGCUAUCUAAGGACUUGUAAUAUUUCGAAAUGACGUUUUGCUCAGCAGAUCAAUUAACAAGAAGAGCAGUUAAAAAAAAUACUAAAAAGUAAACCAUAAUAAUAGAAAAUAACUUGGAAUAGAAGCAAUACAUGUGCACUACUCGACAUCUUUUCUGGUUCUCAGGAUAACAAUCGCAAGUAACAGAAUUUGAUUCAAUAGAACAACUUGGAGAUAAUAUUUCCCCAGAACACCCAAGCAGAUCAUUGAUGACAUCCUCUGACAUCCAAAUGCAGAAAAUUGCAUCAGCGCAGAGAUAAAAAUUAGAAUGGAUAACCUGUGAUGUCAUGAAGAUAUAACAGCAAAUAACAAGCUCAUCUAGACUCUAGAUAAAAAAUAAUUCCCUCGUUACAAUUCCUGCAUUAGUAAUCGUUACAUUUAUCCCUGUAUAAAAUCCCUGCAUAACUUGUUUUUAAACCAAAUGAACUCCUCAGGAUUGCAAUGCCAAUUGCUAGCUAUGAGUAUGUGAAUAAGUUAAGGAGGGAAAGUGUAAUUUCUUUAUACCGUCAACCAAGUUUAUACAUUAUUUGGAUCUUCUCGCACAGCGCAAUUUUCUUUCUAUAUUCCGUUCAUAUCUGUGUUACCAUUCAUGUACAAAAUAACACAUAAAGGUUCAUCUUUCAUUUCAGUAUUAAAAGUUGUUACAGGAAGAGAUGUCUUUACCAUAAACAAAGCAAGCUAUAACUUUUUUGGUGAUGUCUAUAAAAACUUCAAAAAAUUGAAGGGGAAGUCAGAAUGGAAAAAUUAAAAAAUAAAAAAGGGGGGGGCAGCUCGGUGCACUUAACUCCCGCUAUGCGGAGGGUCCAGGGAAGGGCCCCACUACAAGGGUGUAUUGUACGCAGCCUUACCUUGCAUUUCUUUCAGAGGCUGUUUCCAAGGCUUGAACCCGUGACCUCCUGGUCAUAUGACAAUAACUUUACCAGUUACUUCAAGACUCCCCUUCUCAGGAUGGAAAAAUAAUUUGAAAAUAUAACAAGGCAAGUUAAAAGUAAUUUGACUAUGAAUUCAGACAACAAUGGACUAUUAUGAUUUAGACGGAAACAUUUUUUGGUAGACAAAUACCAUGUUUUCAGUCAGAGCGUCAACAAACUUGUGUAGAACAUAGCGCUAAGUGGAGGUUGAGAACUUCCAUUGAUGAAAUUUGCAUUUAUCCGAACAACAACAGCAUAACCCUUUGUAGUCCGACAAGGUGGGGUCUAGGGAGUGUAGAGUGUACGUGGACCUUACCCCAACCUCAGAGGUUGAGAGGUUGUUUCAGAUACACCCUUGGCUCAAUCAAGGCAGUCCCACACAAGAAAUAACGGAAGUACAAAAGAAAAUUAUUUCUCCAUAACGACAGUAACAUUGAAAGCAAAAUAAGAUUGGAACAUGUUUGAAUCAUUUAGUAUAAGAAAACAAAGCAGCAAAAAUGUUGACACAAAUAACUGAGUUCAGUAUAUGUCAAUGGCCGAGAAGCCUUAACGACUUAAGACAGUCAAAAUCUUACCAUCUUCUUUUGCAAGAGGAGGUAUAUUUGGCAAUUUUUCAUCAUAUAAAGUUAUUGUACAGAUUUUGCGUAGAGGGCCUUGCGUAGCUUGUUCCACAGUCACCUCUAAAAUGACUAUAAGCAGCAAAAGAGAAAUACAAACCCUGUAAACAUACAUGACCAUUGUCAUAUUAGCUCAACAAGGAAUGCUUAUGUCUUUCUUUAGCUUUAACCACAAAGCUUCUCACAUAUGUGCCCAUAAUACCUUUAUAAUAGCAUUAUUUCUUCAACUAUACCCAAUAAUAUUGGGUGUCUUAGAGAUGGAUCCAGGAUUUUAAGUUAAUCGUUUCCUACAACAACCUUAAACUAAUAUAUAAUCCUAACUGGGUUCAUAAUCAAAUAACAACAAAAAAAAAAAAAUACCUAAUGUAAUCCCACUAGCGGGGUCUAGGCAGAGUAGGAUGUAUGCGAACCUGGGUCCCGGUGUUAUCAAAAGCAACAAGCGCAGAAAAGCUCUAACGUCUGUUGGGGCUUUAAGCACAAAAUGCAAAUAAAGCAUGUGCUUUAGUGAAUAUGUUUAGUCCAACACUAAUAGUUAAUAAGCAUGAACGACAAAUAUAUGAACAAAGAAAUUGAAGAAAAAAUUACGAUAAAGUGAAAUAUCAAUUGUUUAAUGUCGCCUCUUCAAAAGGCUCAUUGGCAAGGAAAAGUACGUCUUAGAAUCCUGGUGACGACAUUGAAGCCCAAAUCAAGCGACGCAAAGCACUUAAGCACGCCUCUGACAACACAGCACGGACCUUACCCAUACCUUUGUGAGGUAGAGAGGUUGUUUCCGAUUAACCCUCAGCUCAAACAUUUAUAAAUAUUUAGUGAAUUUCUUAAAACAUAUACAUGAUUUAGGCAAAAGCUACUAGGUUCACGUAAAUCCACAAACAACAAUAAUGUGGUUUAUGAAAAAGAACAAUCUUUUCUUCACUUUUUCAUGUUGUUCCCACUUCUGGGCCCUUAUACCAUAGCACAGCUUAUCUUUUCCAAAAAAAAAAUAAAUUAAAGAUACACCAUUUUCUUGUCACUUUCCUCUUUGGAAUUCAACUUUAUAAAGAUGAAACUUUUACAGUACUCAUUUUACAUGUCCUUUUACAGCAAAAAGAUGAAAUUUUUCCACAAUCCAUUGCUAAUGGUCUUUGUUUAUUGAGAAAGAAAAAAAGGUAACAUCCUUACACUGUUGCUAUGGUCUUUUUUAAUUGAAUUCUCUUUCAGUCAUUUCAUCGAACACCUUCCAUGCAAAUCACGAGUUGCUUUAAUUUUCACAUAGAAUUUGCCUUUUUUGUUAGCGGAUUUGAACUGAUUGCCUGUAAAGGGUAUUGAGUUAAGUAUUAAAUGGAGCAUUAUUGGAAGUUCCAGCUUUAUUAAAGUAUAAAUUUUCAACAAAGUGACAAAGAAAAUGGUGUAUCUUUUUUAAGUACCUCUUUAUGAAAAGAUAAUUUAUGUUAUGUUUUAAGGGCCCUAAAGCGGAAACAACAUGAAAUAAUGAAGAAAAGAUUGUUAUAACAAAUCCACGCAAUACCUGUCACCAUCUGUCAGUAAUAGAUAUUAGAUAACUCUGUCCAUAUCUUUUUUCGAUGCUGGACCUCCGACUCUCAACCCACUUCAUAUACCACAAGGCCACACCCUUGGAUGCGAAAAGAUUGUUCUUUUUUUAUAUUAUGUUAACAAAAAUCAUGUUCAUACUACAUAAUCAUACCUUUUAAUUUGGCCUCAGCUCGGGCGGAUCUAAGGGCUCAGGUGCGAAUUUAGUAUUUAUACAGAGAAAACUAGUAAAUAUAUAAGAAUUAUAAGUUAGAAAUUCACAAACAAAGUGUAUUGUUGGUCUAAUAGAUUAGAAGAACUUGUAAAAGUUUUACUGCAUCUUAGUUACUAUUUGAUUUUAUUUUUAUAUGAAAUGGGGAAACCACAAAGUUGGAGCGCCCAAAUGCCACCUCAGGUCAAGUUAAAGAGAAUAUUUAAUAAAUGCUCUUGAAAACUGAACACUAUACAAAAUCCUUUGUUAAAUGGUCUUUUCAAGUUUCUUUUUAAUUAAAUAGACUACAAGUUUUUUGGUGGGAAAUGACCCAUUUUUUUAGAUAAAUAUAUUAUUUAUCCGAUCGAUAUAUAGACAGAUUGAUUAUCAAACCGACAAAUUGAUUAUCGAUCCGAUCUAUAUAUGGACGGAUCGAUUAUCAAUCCGACAGAUCGAUUAUCGACCCUACCUAUAAAUGGAAAGAUCAAUUAUCAAUCCGAUAAAUGAGAAAAUAUAAGUAGGUCAUUUUGCUAACUGAAAACUUGAAGAGGUUUAAUAGUUAAAUUUUCUCAAUAGGCUAUUUUGCUAAUUGAAGCUUGAAGAGACUUUUAAGAAAUUUUACAAGUCUUUUUUUUUUUUGAUAACUGUAGUCUUCGGGUUAGCUUUCGUGCACCUCAACUAAAUUUACGAGACACCUACCAACUCCUCAGUUAACUCUGUCCACAAUUGUUAGUGCAAUCAUAUAAAGAUCAUUUUAAAUGUCAUGUUUUUUUUAUAACCAUGAUCUUCAGGUUGGUUGUUGCACACUUCGACUAAAUUUACGGAAUACCUGACACCUCCAAAUAUAUAAGUUAACUAUAUAUAUCCAUCAAUGUAAGAACAGAUGGCUAGCUUUAUGCUCUUUUUUAAUUUAAUUUUCUUUCAGUAAUUUCAUCAAACACCUUCCAGGCAAAUCAUGAGUUGCUUUAAUUUUUACAUAAGAAUAUGCCUUUUUUGUUAGUGGAUUUGUGGCAGUGAACUGAUUCCCUGUAAAGGGUAUUGAGUCAAUUACUCUAUGAAGCAUUACUGGGUACCUCUGUCUAUCUAGGUUCAUCUUUAUAAAAUAGAAAAAAUGAAGAAAAGAUUAUUUUGUUUUAUAUAAUCCCGUCCUAAAAUAAGUGUUACCUUAGCAAAGAUCACAUCGAUAGUACAUAAUCAUUCCUUUUAACUUGACCUUAACUGACAUAUACGUCCUCCAACUUUAGGUGUGUACAAGUAGACACAUAAACUUGUAUAAAGUUAGAACAAGUAGACACACACCCUUCAUGGCAUCUAUAUGGGAAUCUCACGUGAAUUGUCACGUAGGACACGUGUGUCUACUUGUUUAACUUUAUACAAGUUUAAGUGUCUAUUUGUGCACAUCCAAAGUUGUAGGACAUACAUGUUCGCUGAGGCCAAGUUAAAAGACAUGGUUAUGUAUAAAGUUGAAUAAGUACAAACAUGCAGCCUCCGUGCCAUCUACAUGGCAAUCUCGCGUGAUUUUUCACAUAGGACGCGUGGAUCUACUUGCUCAACUUUAUACAAGAUUAAGUGCCUAUUUAUACACACCCAAAAUUAGAGGACAUAAAUGCCACACGAGACCAAGUUAAAGGGCAUAUUUAUGUAUUAUGACUUGACUUAACUAUCCCUGUUUAAUAAAUGUUUAUUGAAAAUUGAAUACUAUUAAGAAGAUAGGGUAUAAGGGUAUAGUUGGAAGAAAAACAAACUAUUUUUUUUUUUUAAUUCCUAAGAUGACACUUAUUCCGUGAGCUAAGGUGACACAUAUUUUGGAAUGGAGCAACUCACAAUAAAGGGAUCCUUGUAUCCCUAUUAUUUUCCUAUUUUAUUGUACUUAUUAUUCCUUUUAAGUUUGAAGUAGUUUUAGAAACUCGUAGAAUUAAAAUCCUGGAUUCUCCUUUGCGGCAUACAACAUUACUAGGUAAACUUGAAGAAAGGAUGGUAUUUACGAGGUUUAUCGAAAAUAACCUCUCUAUCUCUACGAGGUAGAGGUAAGGUCUACAUAAACUCUACGUCCCUAGACCCAACUCGUGAAAUUACAUUGGGUUUAUUGUUGUUGUUGUAAACUUGAAAAAAGGAUGGUAUUUACAAGGUUUAUCGAAAACAACCUCUCUAUCUCUACGAGGUAGAGAUAAGGUCUGCAUAAACUCUACGACCCCGGACCCCACUCAUGGAAUUACACUGGGUUUGUUAUUGUUGUUAUAAACUUGAAGAAAGGAUGGUAUGUACGAGGUUUAUCGGAAACAACCUCUCUAUCUCUACGAGGUAGAGGUAAGGUCUGCAUAAACUCUACGUUCCCCAGACCCCACUUGUGGAAUUACAUUGGGUUAGUUGUUGUUUCUAUAAACUUGACAAAAGGAUGGUAUCUACGAGGUUUAUCGGAAACAACCUCUCUAUCUCUACGAGGUAGAGAUAAGGUCUGCAUAAACUCUACGACCCCGGACCUCACUCGUGGAAUUACACUGGAUUUGUUAUUGUUGUUAUAAACUUUAAGAAAGGAUGGUAUGUACAAGGUUUAUCGAAAACAACCUCUCUAUCUCUACGAGGUAAUGGUAAGGUCUGCAUAAACUCUACGUUCCCCAGACUCCACUUGCGGAAUUACAUUGGGUUAGUUAUUGUUGCUAUAAACUUGACGAAAGGAUGGUAUGUACGAGGUUUAUUAGAAACAACCUCCCUAUCUCUACGAGGUAGAGGUAAGGUCUGCAUAAACUCUACGUUCCGGGACCCCACUCGUUGAAUUACACUGGGUUUGUUAUUGUUGUUAUAAACUUGAAGAAAGGAUGGUAUGUACAAGGUUUAUCGGAAACAACUUCUCUAUCUCUACGAGGUAAUGGUAAGGUUUGCAUAAAAUCUACGUUCCCCAGACCCCACUUGUGCAAUUACAUUGUGUUAGUUGUUGUUGCUGGCAUAGGCACGGUUUUAAUGCAAGAAUUGAAGCCUAUUGCCUACUUUAGCGAAAAGCUCAAAGAAGCAACUCUAAACUACUCUACGUACGAUUUAGAGUUGUAUGCCUUGAUUAGAGCCUUGGCCACUAGGCAACAUUAUUUGUGGCCUAAAGAAUUCGUGAUCCGAAUGGAUCAUGAAUCCUUGAAGCAUCUACGGGCACAAGACAAGCUUAACCGGCGGCAUGCAAAAUGGAUUGAAUUUCUUGAAACUUUCCCUUAUGUUAUUCAAUACAAGAAGGCUAAAGACAAUGUGGUUGCCGAUGCUUUGUCCCGACAACAUGUGCUUGUGUCUAUUUUUUCAUCUAAGUUGAUGGGGUUUGAAAUCCUCAAGUCUUUAUAUCCCGAGGACCCCCUCACUUCGCUCCUAUCUAUAGGGAAAGUGAAAAGUUGGAUAGGGAUAGGUGGGUUACGGAUAGGUGUUCCCAUCCCUAUACCAAAUUUGAUGGAUACUUGGUUAAAGGUAGACGAUUGUGUGUUCCCUCAAGUUCGUGGAGAGAAUUAUUUGUGAGGGAAGCACACAAUGGCGGUCUAAUGGGNNNNNNNNNNNNNNNNNNNNNNNNNNNNNNNNNNNNNNNNNNNNNNNNNNNNNNNNNNNNNNNNNNNNNNNNNNNNNNNNNNNNNNNNNNNNNNNNNNNNNNNNNNNNNNNNNNCCUUGAAGCAUCUAUGGGCACAAGACAAGCUUAACCGGCGGCAUGCAAAAUGGAUUGAAUUUCUUGAAACUUUCCCUUAUGUUAUUCAAUACAAGAAGGCUAAAGACAAUGUGGUUGCCGAUGCUUUGUCCCGACAACAUGUGCUUGUGUCUAUUUUUUCAUCUAAGUUGAUGGGGUUUGAAAUCCUCAAGUCUUUAUAUCCCGAGGACCCCCUCACUUCGCUCCUAUCUAUAGGGAAAGUGAAAAGUUGGAUAGGGAUAGGUGGGUUACGGAUAGGUGUUCCCAUCCCUAUACCAAAUUUGAUGGAUACUUAUUUAAGGGUAGACGAUUGUGUGUUCCCUCAAGUUCGUGGAGAGAAUUAUUUGUGAGGGAAGCACACAAUGGCGGUCUAAUAGGACAUUUUAGGGUCUAGAAGACCCUCGGAAUUUUGGAAGAACAAUUUUAUUGGCCUAGAAUGCACAAGGAUGUGGCCCGGAUUUGCGGCCAAAGUGUUGAGUGCAAAGGAGCCAAGUCACGGCUCCAACCUCACGGGUUGUACACUCCAUUGUCCACCCCUUUGCGUUCUUGGCUUGACAUAUCAAUGGACUUCAUAUUGGGAUUGCUGAGAACUAGAAGGGGGCGGGAUAGUAUUUUUGUCGUGGUGGAUUGGUUUUCCAAGAUGGCUCAUUUUAUUCCUUGUUCUAAAUGUGAUGAUGCACCUAGUGUAGCCUCUUUGUUUGUUGAUAAUAUUAUAAAACUUCAUGGUGUUCCGAAGACCAUAGUGAGUGAUAGGGAUUCUAAAUUCUUAAGCCACUUUUGGAAGUCCAUGUGGGGUAGACUCGGUACUAAGUUGUUGUUUUCGACUUCGUGUCACCCAAAAACCGAUGGCCAAAUGGAAGUAGUAAAUAGGACCUUAGGAUCUAUGCUACGGUCCAUGGUUAAAGGAAAAAUGACUUCUUGGGAGGAGCAAUUACCGUUGAUUGAGUUUGCUUAUAAUCUGGUUAUACACUCGAGCACGGGGAUAACACCCUUUGAGUGUGUAUAUGGCAUCAACCCCCUCAUCCCUUUGGAUUUAACCCCUUUGCCAAGUGAUCUUGUGAUAAGCUUAGAUGGAAGCAAACGAGUCGAGGCCAUGAAAAAGCUACAUGAGAAGGUGAGGUUGCGGUUGGAGAAGAAAAACCAAGAAGUUGCGAGGCGAGCAAACAAAGGAAGAAGAAAGCUCAUUCUUGAACCGGGAGAUAGGGUGUGGGUGCACCCAAGGAAGGAUAGAUUCCCAUCUCAAAGGAAUGCUAAGUUGAUGCCACGGGGUGAUGGACCGUUCCAAGUAUUAGAAAGGAUCAAAGACAAUGCCUACAAGAUUGAUCUACCCCCGGAAUAUCAAGUGCACAACACUUUUAACGUGUGUGAUCUCUCUCGGGUCGAAACAGUAGAGGAUGACAAUGAUCCAAAUUUGAGGACAAACUCCCUUCAAAAUGAAGAGGAUGAUACGGGAAUUCCUAGCUCGAGACCUUUCACACGAAGCCAAGCACAUGAGUUGCAAUGACUCCAAGCCUUGUUCACAUCCUUGGCCUCGAGGCCCUUGUGAGCCCAUCUAAGGCCCUAUAUUUAAUAAAAUGUGAAGAGGCCCACCAAGACACCCCAAACCCACCAACUUAAAUGCCAAAGGUAUUUUGGUCUUUGUCCUUCCUUUUCUAAGUGACUUUAUAAGCCAUGUAAUAGGGCUAGUCUUGCUUUAGUUGAUUCCUAUUAUUCAAGAAACAAAAGACUUGUAAUUUUUUUGACUUCUCUUUCUCAUUUGGAGAGGCCAAAACCAAAUUCUCACUAGUAGAGUGAUACUAGUGUUAUAUGUUGGCUAGAAACUAGGUUCUUUGAGUUCCUCUUGGUCCAAGUAAGAACUUGGUAUUGAUAUUUAUCAGUCUUGGGGUUGUUUCUCGUGUUAGGGUUCUUAGAUUAAUGAAUAUUGUGUGUCAAGUUUCUAUCUCUUUCUUUGUAAAUCUUGUUAACAUUGUGUUGUUGAAUAUAAAAGUCUAGUGAAGCCGUAUGGGGCUCUUUUGAUUCACUAGCAAUAUUGUCUUUGUUGUUAUUGUUGUUAAACUCACUUUUCUAGUUCAAACAAGUGUUGCAAGCCUAGUGAAGCUGUGUGUGACCAUUUUCGAUUCACUAGCACUUUGUUGUUCAUCUUUUUGUUCUUGUGUUGGUUGGAAUCUCUUGAUACACACUUAGCAUUGUAUCAGAAAUGGCCCUCUGACAUAUGAGGUAGAGGUAAUGUCUGCAUACAUCUACCCUCUCCAGACCUCGAAACUAUACUGGAUAUGUUAUUGUUGUUGAUAAUUGUGAUGUCUGAACCAUCUUGCUCGAACCUCAACUAAUUUCAGUGGAUAACUUCCACCUCCAACCCGCAACACUGAUACUAGGUAACCUUGUCCAUCAAAGCAAAAACAUAGUACCAGGUUCAUCUGAACCCGGUAUUUUUGAUUGCGGUCCACGAAGCAUAAAUUUAUGUGCAAAGGUUUAUUAAAAUUACAAGAUAUGAACUUAUAACUUUAGAAAUACCAAACCUUAAUGAUUGAACUCAUAAAAUUGAGCAAGAAGAUUCUAACUCAAUAAGGCAACACACCCAUGAAUUUUACAUAAACCUGUCAAGCCCCUUAAAUAUCAAAUCCUAGCACACUGGUCAAACACAGAGGCGUAUCUAGGAUUUGAAAUUUACGACUUCUGAAUUUACAAUAACUGGAUUCUAAAUUGAAAAUAUGUACAUAUUCGGUGAAUCUUAUCGAACAAAUAUACAAGAUUUAGGACAAACAUACGACUUGGUUCAUCCAAACCAGUAAGUCACCUCCUAGCUCCGCCCCUGGUCAAGCACACUGUUAAAGCAAAUACGAUACUUCUUUACUUCUCUCUCAGCUAAGACAUGAUUUUGUAACCUUGUUCACCGAGAUGGCGAAGUUGGUCACAAGCAGCCAAUAGGAGCAAAUCGUUUCCCACAUUUGAGUCUGCUACAUGGAGAAAUUAAUCACCCUCUGGCUUGUUCAAAGUGCAGCGUAGUUUCUUUAAUUUCUCCACGAUCGUAGCCAUGGUGUCCCUGGAAGAUGGCGGUGACUUUAAGCAUUUCAUUGCUAAUGUUAGAAUCACCUCUGCGUCAUCCCAGUUAUAAUUCAGAUUUUGAUCGACGAGUUCCAUUAAAGUUCCAUUCUCAUUCUUUAUUUGUGCCUAUAGUAGUUGAUAAAAUUAACCAAUGACUUUGUCGAGUUUCCUAAAUUAAUGUACACAACUAUUGCAGCUAGUUGAGUUUUACUCACCUCAUCCACGAGGUAUCCAGUUUGAGCACCUACCCUCAGGGUCUUUAUUUUCCUUCCGCUGAAAAGUACAAGCAUGACAACUCCAAAGCUAUACACAUCUGCGCUAGCUUCUAAGGGGCGAUCAUUAACUUCUGGCGCUGUGUAUGACCUGCAAAAAUCUUCCAUUAGUGAGAAAUGCAAUUGUGGAAGCCAAUGUAUAAGGUAUUACUCCCACCGUUUAAUUUGUUUGUCUGGGCUUGUGGUCUUAAACAUGCCAUGCGGAAAGUUAGAUUUAAAGAGUUGUCAAAAAACGAGAGACAUUCUUUUGAAACGGACUAAAAAGAAAAGUAAGACAAACAAAUUGAAACAGCGGGCCGGGAGUACUAAUUUGUCUCUAAAACAUAAUUUGUUUGGGUGUUUACUUACAUUGUUCCUUCUGACUUUUGCUUGUGAUAAAGCUUUGCGAAUCCAAAAUCGUAUAUCCUUGGAUUUAAAUCGUUGUCAAGAAAAAUGUUUUCUGGGUUAAUAUCUCCAUGUAUAAUUUCCUGUUUGGACACCUUGUGAAGAAAAGAUAAACCUUCUGCUAGACCAAGACAUAUUUUACAUCUCGUUUGCCAAUCUAGUCUUUUUCUAAGUUCUUCGUCUGAACCUGUAAGUAAACAAAGCUCAAGUUUUAUUUGUACAACUACGGAGGCUUAACAAAGAGAUUUUUCAUAAACGGAAGACGUUACCAAAUAAUGCAUCUUCAAGAGACGUAGUUCCAAUGAACUCAUAGAUAAGCAGAAGUUGGUUCUUUCCUGCACAGCAUCCCAUUAGAGUUACAAGAUUUGGACGUUUUAUGCCAGCAAUUGCACGCCUUUUUUCUGCAAAUUCGUGCAUUCCUUCUUUUGGUGCCGAAAGUUUUUUAACUGCGACGACAAGCCCAUUCAAAAGAGUGCCCUGGAUGUUGGUUAAGUGUUUCAGAUGAUGAACUUAUGAAUCAGAAAAACAAACGAAUUACUCCCUCCGUUUCAAUUUGUUAGUUUAAUUUUCCUUUUCUUAGUCCACUUAAAAAAAGAACUCUUUGAUUCUAACUUUCCACAUGGCGUGUUUAAGACCACCAGAUUGAAGGACAUUUUGGUAUAUUCAAUAUAUCUUUAGUGUAAAACCACAAUUACAAAAAUCUUCUUUAUUUUCUUAAACUCCAUAUCAAGUCAAAACCAAACAAACAAAUUGAAACGGCGUGAGUAUAUAUCUAGGUUAGAGGUCAUCCAGCUAGCAAAGGGAGAAAACACAAUACUAGUACUGCAACUUUUGUCAUGAGAUAAUAUCUUUUCCGAAAGAAAAUGAAGAUAUGAAGGCGGAAAAAUGCCCUUGAGUGAUAAAACAAAAUUCUUUUAACUGACGAAAACUGUAAAAGAUAAAUCACAAAGAACACAAAAUUCAUAACCUAUAAUUAGUUAAAAUUCUAACCUACCUUAUAAAUUGUCCCAAAACCUCCCUCGCCAAGCCGGUUCUCGAUAUCAAAAUUCUUUGUGGAAGCUUUAAUUUCCCGGUAGUAGUAAAGUCCUCCAGGGUACAAUUCAACAAGUUCUAGCUCCAUAUCAACACAUUAGAAAAGAAACAUCAACAGAGUGGAAAAGAGAGACAGUAAAGAAGCUUACUACAAGUUACAAGACGUAUGAUUCAAAUGAUGGUAAUUUAAUCCGAUAACUAUAAGAAAUGUAUCUUGGGCUUAACCCGAAAAAAAUCUAGCUAAAAUCAUACCGACUUAACUCAAUAGCUAACCUCAUUUGAGGAGACCGAUGCCGCAUUCCACAAGUCCACGGAACCACAACCAAUGUUGGGAAACAUAACAUCCCUCCAGCCUACGCCCAAGCUUACCAACUGGAGCGUAGACAACAAAAUAUGGGGGUCCAACAUUGAGUAUUUGACAUUUUUAAUUUAGUAAAAAAUCUCAUUAGUUCCUCACUAACUAUCUUUUUCAUGCCAAACAUAUUUAGCCAGCAGAUGGAAAAAAUUGAAACUUGAAAAAAAAAAGAGUUUUUGACGUUGUGUUGGAAAAUAAUUUUUCCAAGCGGAGGUGAAAUUUCACCCCAAAAUUGAUCUGAGCAAGUUUUUGAAACUUGAAAAUGGACCAAAUUUAAAUUCACGAACAACAUUUUCAAAUUAUUAUUUUUUUUUUUAAAAAAAAAAUGUACUCCCAAAAACUAUGGCCAAACAGGAGCUUAAUACCUUGAAAUUCAGAUGUUUCCAUCAAAGAAAAUAUUUUCCACCAAAGGCCAAAAAAACAUAUUAAAAACUUUUAAUUUACCAAAGAUCACCAAAAUAUUAUCCUCAUCAUUUUUCCAAUUCCAUAAGGUCGCACAACCACUUUACAUAACUAGCAAGCAGGCAGAUUCGAGAUUUAAAUUUUGCAGUAACGACUUCAAGAGCUAGUAACUGGACUCUAAAUUUAAAAUUUGUACAUAUUCAGUGAAUCUCAUAACACAAAUACAAGAUUAAGGACAAAAAUACUACUUAAAGGGCAGCCCAGUGCAUUAAAGCUACCGCUAUUCGCGGUGUCCGGGGAAGGGCCCCACCACAAGGGUAUAUCGUACGCAACCUUACCUUGCAUUUCUGCAAGAGGCUGUUUCCAAGGCUUGAACCCAUGCCCUCCUGGUCACAUGACAGCAACUUUACCAGUUACUCCAAGGCUCCGUGCUAGAUCAAGCACAUUGUUAAAUGAAAAUAUGAUAAUCCAAUACUACAGUAUGGUACAUGGAGAACUCACCCGCAUUGGUCAAAAUGGUCUGGAUUGAGUGUCCCUUCUUUAAUUUCUUCACGAUUGCAGACAUGGUUGGUCUGUAUGGCGGUGAAUCUAUGCAAUGCAUUACUAAUCGUAGAAUCAUCUCCGCUUCUUCCCAGUCAUAACUCAGCUUAGGAUCGACUAGUUCCAUUAGAGUUCCCCUCCGAUCCAUUUUUUCGGCCUACAGUAGUCGAUAAGAUUAACCAAUAACUUUGUCUAGUUUCCUCAAUUGAUGUACAUAACUGUUGCAGGUAGUUGAGUUUUACUCACCUCAUCCACGAGGUAUAUAGUUUCACCACCUGCCCUCGGGGUCUUGAUUUUCCUUCCACUGAAAAGUAUAAGCAUGACAACUCCAAAGCUAUACACAUCCGUUCUAGCUUCUAAGGGGCGAAAUGUAACUUCUGGCGCUGUGUAUAACCUGCUAAAGGCUUCCAAUAGUGAGAAGUGCAACUGUGAUAGCCAAUGUAUACAAAGUUCUAACAAUUUGAAAGCAAAAUCAGUUUUACUCCCUCUGUUUCAAUUUGUCUGUCUGGUUCUGACUUGACAUGGAGUUUAAAAAAUAAUGAAGACUUUUAUAUCUUGUGGUCUUAAACAUGUCUCGUGGAAAGUUUGGAUAAAAGAGUUGUGAAGAACAGACAAGAUGCAUUCUUUUACUAAUAUGUCUCUGGAACAUAAUCUGCUGGGGCAUUUCCUUACAUUGAUCCUUCUGAUUUUUGCUUGUGAUAGAGCUUCGCAAAUCCGAAACCAUGUAUCUUCGGAUUCAGAUCAUCAUCAAGAAUAAUGUUUGCUGGUUUAAUGUCCCCGUGUAUAGUUUCCUGUUUGGAGCCCUCGUGAAGAAAAGCUAAACCUUCUGCUAGACCAAGACAUAUUCUAUAUCUUGUUGGCCAAUCGAGUCUUGCUCUAAGUUCAUCGUCUGAACCUGUACGUAAUCAAAGCUGUAAGUUCUUUACUACAAGUGUGGAGGCUUAACGAAGAAAUCAUUCAUAAAUGGAAGAUGUUACCAAAUAAGGCAUCUUCAAGAGACGUAGUUCCAAUGAACUCAUAGAUAAGCAGAAGUUGGUUCUUUCCUGCACAGCAUCCCAUUAGUGUUAAAAGAUUUGGAUGUUUUAUGCCAGCAAUUGCACGACUCUUUUCCGCAAACUCCCACAUUCCUUCUUUUGUCGCCGAAAGCUUUUUAACUGUGAUGGCAGUCCCAUUCGAAAGAGUGCCCUGAACAUUGGUUAAGUGUUUCAGAUGAUGAAAUUGUCUAUUUGAAAACCAAAAUAAGUACUCCCUCUGUUUCAAUUUGUUUGAAGACUCACGAGAAUGAAGGGCAUUUCGGUACAUUCGAUAUAUCAUUGGUUCAAGACCCCACGGGUCAAAAGUCUUUUCUAUUUUCUUAACGUUCGAGCCAAAUCAAUACCAGAAAAAACAAAUUGAAAUGGGGGGAGUAUAUAUCUAGGUCGGAGGUCACCCAGCAAGCAAAAGAAAAAAGGUUGUGCACAGAAGGGAGCGGCGUCCCGACAACACAAUACUAAUACUGCAACUAUUUUCAUGAGAGAGUAUCUUCUCCAAAAGAAAAUGAAGAAUACGAAGACAGAAAAUGAACAAAAUUUAUUUAACUGAAGAUAUCUGUAAAAGAUAUAUCGAAAAACAUCGUAACCUAUAAUGAGUUAAGAUUCUAGCUAACCUUAUAGACAGUCCCAAAACCUCCCUCGCCAAUCCGGUUCGCAACAUGAAAAUUAUUUGUGGCAGCUUUAAUUUUCCGGUAGUUGUAAAGCCCUCCAGGGUACAAUUGAACGGGUUCUAGCUCUAUAUUUACACAUUAGUAAAUAUAUAUCAGAGUAAUUUGAAACGUAAAUUAAGUAAACAAGCUUACAACAAAUAAAAAAACCUAUGAUUCAAAUGAUGGCCGGUGACUAUAACCGAUAACUACAAGAAAUGGAUCUUACGCUUAACUCAACCCUAAAAGCUAAUGACGAAUAUGGAACAAUUUAACUUUCAGCCAACCUAAACCCAAGCUUAUACACACACACACACACACACACACACACACAUAGUAGUCUAUAAUACGUGUGUUGCACGUGUAUUUAAUGUUAAAUAAGAAAGAUGCAUGUAUGCAAAGAACAAACUCAUUAUAUUCGAAUUAAUAAAUAUACGACUUUAAAAAUAUAUAUAUGUCCAGACCUCUCUUUAAUAACCUGUCAUUAUAAUGGUAUUUAUCCAAAUAGACCUAAGAAUUGUAUUGUACGUUGAAUUUUUACUUCGUUCAUGUAUACUUUUGAAGAAACGCUUAUCAACUCGUUCCUAUUGUGAAUACUUUUGAAGAAACGUUCCCUCGUUCUUUCUUUAUCUCUUGAUGUGUCUCUUUAUUGCAUUGUUAUAAGGAGAUGUCAAUGUAUUUCACAUGAAAAGAAUAAUAAUGAAUAGCUAUAAUAAUUUAUAUCAUUCAAAAUUAAAAAUUGUCACACGAAAUUAAUCACCUUUCAAAGUUCGGAUCAUCAACUGUCUGUAUAUAUUAUAAUCAUCAUCCAUCUUCAGGAUACCAACAAAAUCAAUGCACCUCAAAGUAAAUUAAAUAUUACAAAAACAUUUUCUGAAGUGAAGAAUGAUCUAAGACGAAAAGGAAAUAAUUUUGUUUUCUAUGUUCAUCGAAGAUGUUAUUGUAUUAUUGUAGAAGGAUUGUCAAUUUAUAGAAGUCCAAAAGCUUUUCAAAUUAUCUAAAUAUGGUAAAUUUAUACUCCCUCACCACCAUAAAUAACUACCAAUAUUAGAAGAGUAAGUAUUCCAACAAUAAUAAAUUACCACAAAUAGAUACUGUACAUUUUUUAUAGUUUUUUUUUUUUAGACUUAGGCUUCAUUGUCUUAUUUUUUUAAAAGAAAUUAAAAAAUCAUAUACACAUGUGAUUUCUAAAACUUAAAGAGUUUAGUAGUUUUUUUCUCUAAUUUCUCUAACCGUAAUAUUUGUAUAAUAUCAUAUAUUUUAGUGCUCUUAAUUUUUUCUUUCCAUAUAUAUUUUAGGAUUCAAUAUUACAGUUAAUAUUAUUAAAAUAAUUAACUAAUAAUUUGAGAAAAUAGUGAAAAGACAAUUUCGUCUAUUGUGGAGUGUUUUAAUGAAGGUCAAAAAGUUCAAAUCACAUAUAUAUAUAUAUAUAUAAAAUCAGUGUUACCUUCGCGACGUAAUUUGUCUAUAUUUGUUACAUUUAUAAUCGAUCUGUCCAUAUUCAGGAUUUGAAUUUUACAGUAAUGACUUCAAGCGCUAAUAACUGGACUCUAAAUUUAAAAUUUGUACAUAUUUAGUGAAUUUUACGAUACAAAUCCAAGAUUUAUGACAGACAAACUAUUGGGUUCUACUGAACUCGUAGGUUGCCUUCUAGCUCCGCCCCAGGUCAAGCACAUUGUUAAAGCAAAUAUGAUACUCCUAUAGUAGAAUAUGCUACAUGGAGAACUCACCCUCUGGCGUAGGCGCAUUGAUCAAAAGGGUUUGGAUUGAGCAUUCACCCUCUGGUCUAGCCGCAUUGAUCAAAAUGGUCUCGAUUGAGCAUUCUUUCUUUAAAAUCUUCACGAUUGCAGACAUGGUUGGUCUGAAUGACGGUGAAUCUAUGCAAUGCAUUGCUAAUCGUAGAAUCAUCUCCGCUUCUUCCCGGUCAUAACUCAGCUUGUGAUCGACUAGCUCCAUUAGAGUUCCCCUCCGAUCCAUUAUUUGUGCCUACAGUAGUCGAUAAGAUUAACCAAUAACUUUGUCUAGUUUCCUAAAUUGAUGUACAUAACUGUUGCAGGUAGUUGAGUUUUACUCACCUCAUCCACGAGGUAUAUAGUUUCACCACCUGCCCUCGGGGUCUUGAUUUUCCUUCCACUGACAAGUAUAAGCAUGACAACUCCAAAGCUAUACACAUCCGCGCUAGCUUCUACGGGGCGAUCUUUAACUUCUGGCGCCGUGUAUAACCUACUAAAGGCUUCCAAUAGUGAGAAGUGCAACUGUGAAAGCCAAUGUAUACAAAGUUCUAACAAAUUUGAAAGCAAAAUCAGUUUUACUCCCUCUGUUUCAAUUUGUCUGUCUGGUUCUGACUUGACACGGAGUUUAAGAAAGUAAUGAAGACUUUUAUAUCUUGUGAUCUUAAACAUGUCACGUGGAAAGUUAGGAAAAAAGAGUUGUGAAGAACAGGCAAGAUGCACUCUUUUACUAAUAUAAUGUGUUGGGGUAUUUCUUUACAUUGUUCGUUCUGAUUUUUGCUUGUGAUAGAGCUUUGCAAAUCCAAAAUCAUAUAGCUUCGGAUUCAGAUCAUCAUCAAGAAUAAUGUUUGCUGGUUUAAUAUCCCCGUGUAUAAUUUCCUGUUUGGAUCCCUUGUGAAGAAAACAUAAACCUUCUGCUAGACCAACACAAAUUCUAUAUCUUGUGGCCCAAUCGAGUCUUCCAUUUUUUUCAUUGUCUGAACCUGUUAUGUAACCAAAGCUCAACUUAUCAUUAGUACAACUAUGAAGGCAUAGCAAAGAAAUCAUUCAUAAACGGAAGACCUUACCAAAUAAUGCAUCUUCAAGAGAUGUAGUUCCAAUGAACUCAUAGAUAAGCAGAAGUUGGUUCUUUCCUGCACAGCAUCCCAUUAGUGUCACGAGAUUUGGAUGUUUCAUGCCAGCAAUUGCACGACUCUUUUCCGCAAACUCCCACAUUCCUUCUUUUGUUGCCGAAAGCUUUUUAACUGCGAUGGCAGUCCCAUUCGAAAGAGUGCCCUGAACAUUGGUUAAGUGUUUCAGAUGAUGAAAUUGUCUAUUUGAAAACCAAAAUAAGUACUCCCUCUGUUUCAAUUUGUUUGAAGACUCACGAGAAUGAAGGGCAUUUCGGUACAUUCGAUAUAUCAUUGGUUCAAGACCACACGUGUCAAAAGUCUUUUCUAUUUUCUUAACGUUCGUGCCAAAUCAAUACCAGAAAAAACAAAUUGAAAUGGGGGGAGUAUAUAUCUAGGUCGGAGGUCACCCAGCAAGCAAAAGAAAAAAGGUUGUGCACAGAAGGGAGCGGCGUCCCGACAACACAAUACUAAUACUGCAACUAUUUUCAUGAGAGAGUAUCUUCUCCAAAAGAAAAUGAAGAAUACGAAGAUAGAAAAUGAACAAAAUUUAUUUAACUGAAGAUAUCUGUAAAAGAUAUAUCGAAAAACAUCGUAACCUAUAAUGAGUUAAGAUUCUAGCUAACCUUAUAGACAGUCCCAAAACCUCCCUCGCCAAUCCGGUUCGCAACAUGAAAAUUAUUUGUGGCAGCUUUAAUUUUCCGGUAGUUGUAAAGCCCUCCAGGGUACAAUUGAACGGGUUCUAGCUCUAUAUUUACACAUUAGUAAAUAUAUAUCAGAGGAACUUGAAACAUAAAUUAAGUAAAGAAGCUAACAACAAAUAAAAAAACCUAUGAUUCACAUGAUGGCCGGUGAUUAUAACCGAUAACUACAAAUCCCAAUGGAAACCAAAUAAAAUAUAUAAUAAGGUAGUGUCACCUCCCCGCCAUAUUUCUUUGAAUUUCCAGGAAAAACCUAUGAACAAUAUAUAUAUAUAUAUAUAUAUAUAUAUAUAUAAAAGCAGUGUUACCUUUGCGACCUAACAUUGAUAAUCGAUUUGUGUAUAUCUGUCGGAUCAAUAAUCUAUCUGUCCAUAUAUUCGGAUUGAUAAUCGAUCUGUCCAUGGAAAUCAUGUCUUCGGGUUAGCUUUCACAUACCUCGACUAAAUUCGGAAUACUUUGACACCUACAAAGAUAUAAGUUAACUAUAUCCACCAAGGUUCGGACAAAUGGGAAGAAUCACCUGGUGUUUUUUCGUCUUUAUUGGAACUUGAACAUAAAACUUCGAAUUCUCGACCCCUUCACUAGGCCACUGUACUCAUCUUACAGGUCUUUUUACAGCAAAAAGAUGAAAUUUUUCCACAAUCCAUUGCUAAUGGUCUUUGUUUAUUGAGAAAAAGAAAGAAAGUAACAUCCCUACUCUGCUGCUGCAGUCUUUUUUAAUUGAAUACUCUUUCAGUCAUUUAAUCAAACACCUUCCAUGCUAAUCACGAGUUGCUUUAAUUUUCACAUAACAAUAUGCCUUUUUUUGUUAGUGGAUUUGUGGUACUGAAUCUUUUCCUCACUUUUUCAUUUUUCCCCACUUCUGGGCCCUUACAGCAUAGCAUAGCAUAGCUUAUCUUAUACAAAAAAAGUUAAAAGAUCAAUCAUUUUCUUGUCACUUUCCUUCUUAAAAAAUUCUACUUUAUAAAGCUGAAACCUCCAAUAAUGCUUCACAGAGUCCUUGACACAUUUCUAUCUCAUAUACCUUAGGUAUAAUAUACUUCAUUGAAUCCACUACUUUCAAAGUGGAGCAUAAAUUCAUUGAAAUUGGAUCUUUAUUUAAAUUAUAUACCUUAAAUAUAGGCUUUUAAAACUAAUUAAAAUUUUACUUAAAAGUAAAUAUUUAGAAAAAAUAUUAAUUGGAAGCUUGGCACGUUAGUACAUAAGAAGUACUACUCUAAACAUUAGAUGAACUUUUUGAAUUAAUUUUGUAUGAAAAUUGCUAAGUAACAUCCAAUUGUAUUUUUAAUUGACAAAUUAUUUUUAAAAAAAAAAUUAAAUUUUAAAAAUUCUAUGUUUUAUAAUAUUUAAAAUUAAUAAAUUCUAAAUAUAUGGGAAGAGAUAAAAUAUAUGUAGAGUUCUAUGGUCUUGUUUUAUUAAAUUUUCUUUCAGUCAUUUCAUCAAACACCUUCCAUGCAAAUCAUGAGUUGCUUUAAUUUUCACAUAUAAUAUGCCUUUUUUGUUGGUGGAUUUGUGGUAGUGAACUGAUUCCCUGUAAAGGGUAUUGUGUCAAGUACUAUAUGAAGUUUCAGCUUUAUUAAAGUAGAAUUUUCAAGUAAGACGUAAUCAUGAAAUAUCUAACCUUUAUCUCGUGGACCAAAAGAAUCCGCUUUUGCAAUGUACAGGUAAUCAGCCCAAUACCACAAAGCCACUACAAAAGUAGCAUAGUCAAGUGAUUUGUGAUGAAAUGACAAAAAGAGAAUUCAAUUAAAAAAAGAUUCUAAUAUCGACCUGACACAUAAAUUUACGAAGGCGUUAUCCGAAACGGCCCUCUAAUAUAUGAGGUAAGAUGUAAUGUCUGCAUAUACCUACCCUCUUGCGAAAUUACUCUAAAUAUGUUAUUGUUGUUGAUAAUCAUGAUAUAUGAACCAGCUUAUUCGAACCUCGACUAAUUUCACUGAAUAACUUCCACCUCCAACCUGCAAUAGGUACUAAAUAACCCUAUCCACCAAAGCUAAGACAUAAUAUCAGGUUCAUCUGAACUCAAUAUUUUCGAUCGACGAAGCAUAAAUCUAUGUGCCCCCCCAAACUAAGCCAAAGUUGUUAAAACACACCUCCAACAUCACAGCGGUCCUAUUACCCUCGAAACUCAAAUUUAGCAUACUUUUGUUACUCUGUUGUGCUGAUGUAACAUCUUUAUUACAUAAAAAUAGACCCUACAUCAGAGAUGUCUCUUCAGCUAAAAAGGAUGAUAAAAGAGGCCACAUCAGCUAAAAAUGAUGACAAAAACACUCUAAAACUUAAUUCUGAGAGGUAAUAGAUUAUAGUUCAGGAGGGUGCUGGGUGCUUUAUUCUUAUCACUGUAGAAGUAAGAAACCUUAAUGAUUGAACUCAUAAAAUUGAGCAACAAGAUUCUAACUCAAAAAGCCAACACAACCAUGAAUUUUACAUAAACCUGUCAAGCCCCUUAAAUAUCAAGCACAGAGGCAUAUCUAGGAUUUGAAUUUUACGACUUCCGAAUUUACAAUAACUGGAUUCUAAAUUGAAAAUAUGUACAUAUUCAAUGACUCUCAUCACACAAAUAUACACGAUUUAGGACAAAUAUACGACUUGGUUCAUCUGAACAAGUAAGUCAACUCCUAGUUCCGCCCCCGGUCAAGCACACUGUUAAAGCAAAUAUGAUACUUCUUUACUUCUCUCUUAGAUAAGACAUAAUUUUGUAACCUUCUUCAUCGAGAUGGCGAAGUUGGUCACAAGCAGCCAAUAGGAGCAAAUCGUUUCCCACAUUUGAAUCUGCUACAUGGAGAACUUAAUCACCCUCUAGCUUGAUCAAAGUGGAGUUUAGUUUCUUUAAUUCCUCCACGAUUGUAGACAUGGUGUCUCUGGAUGACGGCGGUGAAUUUAUGCAUUUCAUUGCUAAUGUUAGAAUCACCGCUGCGUCGUGCCCGUCGUAAUUCAGAUUUUGAUCGAUGAGUUCCAUUAAAAUGCCUUUCUCAUUCAUUAUUUGUGCCUAUAGUAGUCGAUAAAAUUAACCAAUAACUUUGUCUAGUUUCCUGAAUUAAUGUACACAACUAUUGCAGCUAGUUGAGUUGUACUCACCUCAUCCACCAGGUAUACAGUUUCAGCACCUGCCCUCGGGGUCUUUAUUUUCCUUCCGCUGAAAAGUACAAGCAUGACAACUGCAAAGCUAUACACAUCCGCGCUAGCUUCUAAGGGGCGAUCUUUAACUUCUGGCGCUGUGUAUGACCUGCAAAAUGCUUUCAUUAGUGAGAAAUACAAUUGUGGAAGCCAAUGUAUAAGCUAUUACUCCCUCUGUUUAAUUUGUUUGUCUGGUUUGGACUUGACACGAAGUUUAAGAAAGUAAAAGACUUUGAGGGCUUAAACAUGCCAUGUGAAAAGUUAGAUUUAAAGAAUUUUCAAAAGGGGGAGAGAGAUUCUUUUUGAAACGGACUAAAGAGAAAAGUAAGACAAACGAAUUGAACCAGAGGGAGUACUAAUUUGUCUCUAAAAUAUAAUUUGUUUGGGUGUUUACAUACGAUGUUCCUUCUGACUUUUGCUUGUGAUAAAGCCUUGCGAAUCCAAAAUUGUCUAUCUUUGGAUUUAAAUCAUCGUCAAGAAGAAUGUUUUCUGGUUUGAUAUCUCCAUGUAUAAUAUCCAGUUUGGACCCCUCGUGAAGAAAAGAUAAACCUUCUGCUAGACCGAGACAUAUUUUGCAUCUCGUUUGCCAAUCUAGUCUAGCUCUAAGUUCGUCGUCUGAACCUGUAAGUAACCAAAGCUCAAGUUCUAUUUGUACAACUACAGAUGCUUAACAAAGAAAUUUUACAUAAAUGGAAGACGUUACCAAAUAACGCAUCUUCAAGAGACGUAGUUCCAAUGUACUCAUAGAUAAGCAAAAGUUGGUUCUUUCCUGCACAGCAUCCCAUUAGAGUUACAAGGUUUGGAUGUUUUAUGCCAGCAAUUGUGCCACUCGUUUCCGCAAAUUCGCGCAUUCCUUCUUUUGUUUCCGAAAGUUUUUUAACUGCGACGGGAAUCCCAUCCGAAAGAGUGCCCUGGAUGUUGGUUACGUGUCUCAAAUGAUCAAAUUAUGAAAAGAAAAACAAAGGCAAACAAAAUAAUUACUCUCACUGCUCCAAUUUUUUGUCUUCCCGUUUUAGUAUGUUACAAAAGAAUGUCUCCGUCCCCUUUUUGGUAACUAUUUAAUUCUAACUUUCCACAUAGCAUAUUUAAGACCACAACCUUCUAUAUAAGCAUAAUACAUAAACAUGCCCUUUAACUUACCCUCAAAUCACAUUUAUGACCUCCAACUUUGAGUGUGCACAAGUAGCUACUUAAAUUUGUAUGAAAUUGAAUAAGUAGACAUGCACAUCCUAUCUGGCAUAAUACACAUAGGAUUCCACGUAAGACAAGAAUUUGCCACGUAGGAUGCUACAUAGGACAUAUGUGUCUAUUUGUUCGACGUUAUACAAGUUUAAGUGCCUACAUGUGCACACUCAAAGUUGAAAGUCAUAGAUGUGAUCUGAAGUCAAGUUAAAGGGCAUAUUUAUGUAUUGUGCCUUCCAUACAUCUUUAGUUUAAGACCACAAAAUCCAAAAGUCUUUAUUUUCUUAAACUUCGUGUCAAGUCAAAACCAGACAAACAAAUACUGAAGGAGUAUAUAUUUAGGUCGGAGGUCAUCCUGCUAACAAAAGGAAAAAGGUCACGCACAAAGGGAGAGCAGCAUCAAGAAAACACAAUACUAGUACUGCAACUUUUUUCAUGAGAGAAUAUCUUUUCCAAAAGAAAGUGAAGAAUAUGAAGGCGGAAAAGAUGCCCUCAAGCUAAGUUGCUAGGACUCUUCAAGAAUAUCUACGGGUGCGUGUUGGAUCCUCCAAGAAAUAGUAUAUUUCUGAAGGAUCUGAUACGGGUGCGGCAACAUUUUUGGAGUAUCUGAGCAACUUAGCCCUCAAGUGAUAAACAAAAUUUAUUUAAGGAAAUUUUAAAAAAGAAAUAGCACAAAGAACACACAAAAUCAUAACCUAUAAUGAGUAAGAUUCUAGCUAACCUUAUAGACUGUCCCGGAAACUCCCCCACAAAGCCGGUUCGCAAUAUCAAAAUUCUUUGUGGCAGCUCUAAUUUUCUUGUAGUUGUAAAGUCCUCCAGGGUACAAUUCAACAAGUUCUAGCUCUACAUCAACACAUUAGUAAAAGAAAUAUAAGCGGAGUGGAAAACAGAAUGACAAUAAAGAAGCUUACUACAAGUAACAAGACGUAUGAUUCACAUGAUGGUAAUUAAAUCUGAUAACUAUAAGAAAUGUAUCUUGGGCUUAACCCGAAAAAAAGUUAGCUAGAAUCCUACGGACUUAACUCACUAGCUAACCUCAUUUGAGGAGACCGAUGCCACAUUCCACAACUAAUGUGGAACAACAUAAUAUCCCUCCAGCCCACGCGCAAGCUUGUCAGGAUUUUCGUUAAGGGGGUUUAGAAGUAAACAUACGAACUAAUCGAAGGAGAUUUAACAUCUACUGUAUAUACAUAAAAAAUAAUUUUAACUAUGUAUAAAUAGUAAAAAUUUUCGCCGAAGGGGAUUCGGAUGAACCCCCUGCCAAGUGUAGCUCCGCCCCCUGGGGUGGGGGUUCCAACAUUGAGUAAAUCAAGAAAUAGAUGGUUCUGGUUCUAAUAUCAUGAUAAGAAAUGAAGCAUAGGCCUCGCUCAAGCCCUAAAACUACCCCAUGAGGUUAGAAUUGUCGAAAACCAUAUAAAUACACCAAUAUGUGGGGCAACCUUUAAAAAAGAAAAAAUACAACCACAACUUUGAAGAUGGAGAGGCAAAAAUAUCACAAUAUCAGAAGGAAUAUUCCGUUAAUUCCUUCCGCUAAAUGAUGAAAUAAUCUAAUUUAUCAAAGUGAUUGAGGUGCAGUCCGGCCUGCUAUGUUGUAUGGAGCAGAGUGUUGGCCAGUUAAGAAUUCUCGUAUCCAAAAGUUGAAGGAAGCGGAAAUGAGGAUGUUGCGCUGGAUGUGUGGAUUCACAAAGGCUAAUAGGGUUAGGAAUGAUAUUAUUCGAUAGAAGGUGGGAGUGGUGUCAGUGAAGGAUAAAAUGCGGGAAGUAAGGUUGAGAUGGGCUGGUCAUGUGAUGAGAAGGGGGCACGGAUGCCCCAGUUCGUAGGUGUGAGAGGUUGGCCUUGAAUGGUUUCAAGCGGGGUAAGGGCAGACAGAAGAAAUAUUAGAGAGAAGUGAUUAAACGUGACAUGGAGUUGUUACAGUUGACUGAGGUCACAACCAUGGAUAGGAACGUAUGGAGGAAAAGCAUUAGAAUAGAGGGCUAAGGGUGUGGAUGAGUCGUAGUCAGUAAUUAGGUGGAUUUGGUGUCCUUGGUUUGGCAUUGUAACAUUUUUUUUUUUGGAUGUCGUACCUGUGUUAUCUAAUCCUAUUCUAUGCCUUGCAUGCUUCUGUAUACUGCCUCUUAUCUUGAGUCAGGGGUCUAUCGAAAACAGCCUCUCUAUCUCUUUUGAGGUAGUGGUAUGGACUGCGUACACUCUACCCUCGCCAGACCCCACUAUGUAGGAAUAUACUGGGUUUGUUGUUGUUGUUGUAGAGUAAUUGAGGUUUGCUAUGUCCCACUAUGCUUUAACGAAAAAAGUAAAGCAUUUAGUAUCCCCUGAACAACGGUCAAAUUUGCUAUGACACACUCUAAUUUCACAGGGUUUCUAUUACACCCCUUAACUCGAUUUUAGUGUAUUUUUGUCACCCUUUUGUGCUGAUGUGGCACCUUUUGUUAGUCUAUUUAGCUGAUGUGGCACUUUUGAUGUGGGCCUUAUUUUAUGUAAUAAAAGUGUCACCUCGGCGCAAAAAGGUGACAAAAAUAUGCUAAAAUUAAGUUACAUGGGGUAAUAGGACCCUGUGAAGUUGGAAUGUAUCAUAGCAAUUUGGUCAUAGUUCGAGGGGGUAUUGGAUGCUUAUCUCAACUAAAAAAAUAGUGAUCACUACAAAUAUAAUUUGACUUAUGAGUCUUGGGUCAUUUAAAAUUAUUUGGAAUGUGAAGGAUUUAUAUAAUUUUAAAACUUCAAGAAUAUUAAUACAUUUUUCUUUUCAAAUUAAAUGGUAGAUUUAUUUUUAUUUGAGCAAGUGUAAAAUUUGAUUUAAUUACUAUAAAAGACCAAUUGAAUGGUUUUGGUAAGUAAAUAUGUUCCAUCAAAUUAUACAGUUCAUGAAUUUCAUGUAGUAUAUUACAUUAUUCACCUAUUUUUAUUUUAAAAUAUCAUGAUAUUCAUUGAUGUUACUAUAAAACACAGAUAAUGAAUAUCAAAUUUAAUAUAAAUUUUCUACUAUAAUUUGGCUAGAAAUUUAAUGACCAUUGUGAAAAAUAUGUAUAUAUAUAUCCCUCAUACUUCAUUUUUUUUGUAAGUCACAUUUCUUGCAUGGAGGGUAAGAAAACAACAGGACGCCGAAAAAUUCCAUUGAUGAAGAUAGAAAAAGAUGUUGAUCGAUAUUCUACAUUCUCUAAACGACGUUCUGGCUUAUAUAAAAAAGCUAGUGAACUCGUGAGAGAACAUGAUGUCGAUCUUGAAAUUGUUCUAUCUUCACCAAGUGAUAAACCAUAUGCUUUUGUCCACCCAACUCAUAAUGCAGUCAUUGAUCGUUUUAUGAACUUGAAAACAGAUUUAGGUGAUCAAAUUGCUGCUGAAAAAUCACGUAAAAAGUGAAUCAACUCAAUGAUAGGCUAAAUGAACUUGAUAAAAGAGGAGAAAUUGCAAAAGAGAGACUUCUUGCUUUAAAUGAAAUGAAUAAAACUAGAGAGAAAAGUCGUUGGGAGUCUAUCGAUCAGUUAAAUGAAGAUGAUAUAAUGAAGUUUCAAGCUUGGUUAGAUGUUGGAGAAAUUAUGCUGAAGGAUCAAUUACUUGAAGCUUCGUCCUCGUCGCAGUCUCCAUCGGAAGAUGCAGAUAUCUAGUUUAUAAGUGCUUCUUAAAUGAAUCGUAUUUGUAUAAUAUUAUUUAUCGAAGUUCUAUACAACGAAGUGAAUCUAUAGAUUCACUCUAUUUAAGUAUGCUUUCAUCUUUCAUUUUUGUUAUUUUGUUUCAAUAAUGGUACAUAUUAUAUGUACUUUGCAAUAAUUUCUAUUAAUGAUAUUUAUGUUUAUUAGUGUUUGUUGUCUCCUACAUGUUAGGUCAUUUGAUAUUGAAUUAUUAGUUUAAAUUGUACUCAUUGAAAAUUUAGAGUUGUAUGACCUCUUAACACGUAAGUGGUGGAUUCUGAAAUUGAACUUAUGCCUAUAGCGGCAUUAGUUCUGUAGGAACUAAGCUAUGUCUUGUAAGGCAUAACUUGUGAGUUUUGGACAUCAUGGCAUAACGUUCUGAAACUGAAUUUAUGCCCUUAUCGUCAUAAGUACUUUAAAAACUAAGCUAUAUCUUACAACUUGUCGAUUACGAAAUGAACUUAUACCUCUAAUGGCAUAUGUUCUGAAGGAAUUAAGCGGAGAGACAACAAUUUCAGAUUUUGGGGAUCUAGAAGGAAUAUUCAAAAUCGUAAGGUAUCCUGAAACAUCCUCAUAAAGGUGGCUUCACUUCAAUCCCAAUGAAACCAAAUAAUAUAUAUAAUAAAGUAGUGUUACCUUCCCGACGUAAUUUGUCUUCGAAUCUCCACCAAAAACCGAUGAACAAUAUUAGAAGAAAUAAUGCAAAUCCUGAAAUUCCAGCAAGCACUCCCCUCGGCAGUUCUGAUUCACGAACUGGUUCAUAAGUUGUUACCGGGAAAUAUUAGUCACAAAAUAGAAAACAAAACCACGUAAAAUCGUAAACAAUCAGGGGUAUCCCGGUGCUCCAAGGCUCCCCUUCGUAAAAUAGUGAACAAUCCGACAUAAAAUGAAUACCUGGAGUUACUGUAAUUGCAGAUAUAAGGGGUCCAUAGUACACCGAUGGGUAUGAGACAGACCCUUUCCCGGACCAGUAUAAGUGAAUCUCCAGCUGACUAUUAUUUACAUUAGCUUUAAACGGUUUUGUUAUAGCGGUAUCCACAUCUUUUGCUUCCGUUUCUAUGUUGAAGUUUCUCAGCACAUUUUCUCCCUGCAUGAAUAUUAUCUAAAAUCUUUAAUAUUUUCGCAUAUGGAUCGACAACUUGAUGGUUUUAGUACCUUACCUGGAUAUCUACAUCAAAGAGACGCCCUGCUUUGCUAUGCGAAUCUUUAUUCUCGCUACCAGAUAUUUCAGCAAAAUGAAGAUUCACGUCGUAUGUACCAUUUUUCAAACAAAAUCCAUAAUAUUUCAAGGAGAUUGAGGAUAAACGUGCUGUACGAUACAAUUGGGCAUCACCAGCAUGAAUUUGGCAGGUAUCAUUUAGAAUGUACUUAUUACCACUUGCCCAUAAGAAGUUCCCCAUACUACUAUAGCCCCAAUUUGAUCUCUUACUCUUGAAGAAAGUUGAUUGACCAUGUGGCUGUAUAUCAGCUUCAUAUUCAGUUCCGUUAACUGUUACGGACUCACCACCGCAGUUUAUAUACAAACGGUCAUCUACAAAUGGUUAUCAUAUUUUAGUACAUGGUGCAUUUAUAAUCUUAAAAUGAGAGCAACUUUAUCUAGAUCGGAAACACUCCAGAAAUAUACAGUGAAGAUCUACAGCUCCCUCUCAGUCUGAGUUAGCAACAUGACAUUGUGAAAAGACAAACUAGCAAAUAGCAAUAGUAUCAUGAGUCAUGACACAAACACUUAACUGUAAAAAUAAUGUCCAUCAGAAUUUUUUUGUGUAGUCACAUUUUUGAGACAAAAGAAUUACUCCCUCCAUUUCAAUUUGUUUGUCUUACUUUCCUCUUUUAGUUCGUUUGAAAAAGAUUGCAUCUCCUUUUUGAGAUAAGCAUCCAGUAUCCCCUCGAACUAUGGCCAAAGUUGCUACGACACACUCCAACUUCACAUGGGUCCUAUUAACCCCUGAACUCAAUUUUAACAUAUUUUUGUCACCCUUUUGUGCUGACAUGAUACCUUUAUUACAUAAAAAUGGGGCUCAUAUCAAAGGUGUCACGUCAGCUAAAAAGGUGCUACAUCAGCUAAAAAGGGUACAAAAAUAUGCUAAAAAAUUGAGUUCAGGGGUAAUAGGAUCCUUGUGAAGUUGGAGUGUGUCGUAGCAAAUUUGGUCAUAGUUCAGGGGGAUACUAGAUGCUUUACUCUUCUUUUUGUGACAAUUUCUUAAUUUCAACUUUCCAAAUGACAUGUUUAAAAUCGCAAGAUUAAAGGGCAUUUUGAUACAAUUACAUAUUUUUAGUUUAGAACCACAAGAUUCAAAAGUCUUCUUUAUUACUUUCUUAAACUUCUUGCCAAGUUAAAACUGGACAACCAAUUAUUGAAACGGAGGGAGUAUCUAUGAAGCUAGCCAUAAGGAACAUAACAUAAGACGUAUGCUAAAAUCACUUCACGUCUAAAGUUGUUAGUACUUACAAAUCUGAGUUCCAUUCUUACAAUCAAAAUCAACUUGGUCCCGCUUUGUAACCCUGCAUUCAAAUUUACUCACAAAGUUAAGUAUACAACUCAGAUCAAUUUUCUUACGAGACCAAAUUAUUUCUUUUUUUUUUUUUUCCUCUUUGUGGAGAUACAGGUGGAAGAGCUUACUCAUCCGUUUCCCUGCAGCACUUGAACAGAUUCCUGGGGAAGGGCAAUAUAAUUGGAUUCAGAAAUAGGAAAGCUACUAAAAAGCUAUGUUGCUCGAACUCUUCAAAAAUGUCAACGGAGGUGUUGGAUAUUCCAAAAGUUGUAGAUUGUAAUGCCCCGUAUGUUUGAAUGUCUUAUUAGAGAAAAAAAAUAGGCCUAUAUGACCCUUCGAGUAGAAAUAGUUUGGGAUGAGUUUGAGUAUGUCAUAUGAAGUUUAUACAUCGAAAAGAGGUCCCCCAUGUCACGCCGUCACUUGGAGGGGCCAAUGUUUUGGUUCCGCGGUGAGGCCCGCUCUGCGCGGCUAUUGGGUUUGCUAUUGGGGGCACACCGCGCAGCCCCUGGGGCUGACAGGAUUUCAUUUUCUUUCAUUUUAAGGGCUUUUUGGUCUUUUCCAUGAUUAGAAACCGUCCCCACUUAUACUAAACUGUCAUAAACCCCUAUUCCGUAAUUCAUUCCCCAAAAACACAUUCUAUUCCUCCCCAACCCACAGAGAGAAUUCAGCUAGGGUUCAAGCUUCAAGGCUAAGGGAUUCAAGCUUUAUUUCAAACUCCUUCCAUCAAAAAGAAAUGUUGAACACUCAACUACUUUUAUAAAAAGUGAACUUAAUUAUUAUUUAUGUAUAUUUUGUUGAUGCUUUCAAGCUAGCGUUGAGAAUUUUGUUUUGAAAAGCUUGAUAUAAAAUUCCUCUUCUUUAUGAAUGGAUGAUUAAAUCGUUAUUUGGGGUUUUGAGACUAAAGUGGCUAUUUAAAAAUGAUGAAUCUUUAUGUCUUGAAAUUUGAAUAUUAAAUGGAUGAAUAUUUAAGCCAUGAUUUUUAAGUCUCUUGAAAGCUUUGAGUUGCACAAGAAAUAAAUGUUUUUCCCGUCUUUUGUAUCAUUGGUCAUAUGGUAUUGUGAGAAUGUUUGAAAUGGAUAAGGAAAACUCAACUAUGAUUUUGUUAUGAUUUUAAAAAAAAAUUUAUGAUAAUGAUUUUGGCAUGAUAUGAAUGACUUGCAAGUCUUGGUAUGACGAUACUAAAACGUAAAUGUCUUUAUGAAUGAAUGUUAUGAUUAAUGUUUUGAUUGGCAAUUAAGAGAAAUGUGUAGUUCACUAUGUCCUCAUGACCAACGCUCAAAAACCUAUGUUUUACCCGACAUAAGGAUGCUCGUUCCCUAAUUGGACGGCGGAUGCUUUCAUUAAUAUGAGGAUAAAAAUGGUGACUUUAGCCCAAUCUCAGUUCUUGCGGCAAACAUGAACUGAUGCCUCACUAGCUGGGUAUGGACCGGACCCUAUAGGCCGUGGGUUACUUAAAGCCGGUGAAAACUACAUAGUUCAGAACUAAGUUUUUAAAUGGUCAUGUCUUUAUGUUUUGCAUCCACUGCCCAUGCUUUUCUAUCAUGAAUGAUGAAUCGAGUUUUGUGAAUUCUUUUAUAAAAAUGCUUUGUCCUUUCCCCUAGGUCGCAUACAGUACUCAUCGUACUGACCAUCCUGAACGCUACAUCGUUUCAUCAUGUAGGUUCGAAGGCAUUUUCCCGUGGUUCUGUGCAGCACUACGACACUCUCCUCCCCCUCUCUCUCUCUCUUUCGGGACAGCUGGUAGCAAGUGAUGAACCCUCUAUCCUUCGGAAGACAUUUGGUCUUUUCAUCCAAAUUUUGAUUUCUUCUUGUUUUAUGGUAUAGCUAGGGCCAUGUUCCGGCUUAGGAGUUUUUAUUCUUAAUGUUAGAGGCUUUGUAGACUGGUUUAGACAAAUGGUUAUGUCGUAUUUUCAGAGUUGAUUUCCCAGUUCUUAUUUAAGUUGAACCUUGUAUUUUUUGGCUCUAUUUCCGCACUUUAUUAAUGAGUAUGAUUAUGAUGAAAUGCUAAGGGAUUUUCUCGGUCCUGCUUUGGUCUGGGAUGCCAGUCACGUCCCGGGCCUGCGCUCGGGUCGUGACAUGGAUUUUGGAGAAUCUGACAUAGGUUCAGUAACAAUUUUAAGGAGUUCGAGCAACAUAGCUAAGAAGCACAUAAAUACGAUUUUUCAAGAUAUGUGAAAAUCACCCUUACAAGUCAGGGUUUAGCUUCUUUUCGGGGCUAAUGUUCACAAAUUUGAUAAGGUUUUCAGAAACAUCCCUGCACUUUGACUUGGAUGAGUGAGUGGCAGAAUACAUUGUAGAAAUUAAUGAAAUGAGGAAGUCGGCGAAGAAAAUCAUGUUAAAUCAAACUUCAAUUGGAAGAAAUUAAAUACCAUGAUUUCUAUUAUAAUCGAAUUAUAACAUAAUCUUCCAUGUAAUUUCUGUACGACAAUUCUACCAAAGUAAUGGAUAGAAGGGUAAAAAAACAAAAGCAAAGAAACAAAAUGUUUUCUCUAAGAAUAUAUGGUAGUUUAACCGAAAGAAUAAUGACCAAAACAACGCAAAAACAUACUGUAUUCGUUAACUGAAAAAAUUAGAAGAAAACCAGAAAACAAGUUUGGAACAGUUAAAAGAUGGACCUAAAGAUGAACUAAACCGCAAAAGCUAGUUCAUGAGAUGAGAAUUGUCUAAUGUGAAAGGCAUAUAAUUUUGGACAAAAUACUUUUCUUAGCUUGAUCAGCGUACAAGUUUAUCAAUAUUUUUACCAUAAUAGUAGACAAAAUAAAUUUCCUAUGAGCUGCUAGUAAUGUCUGAAUUUAAAACCAAAAAAGUAAUAUACUAAUGCAAAAAGCACUUACACAAAUGGAGUAUCAUUCAUCCAAGCUGGAAUUAUCUGAUUGAGCUUAUUUUUUCUUAGAAAUCUGGAAACAACGCAUCAGAUCAUGAAACUUAAUAACGAGACAGGAAAAUUAAAAAAUGUGAUAAUAAUCAAUGUUUCGACAUAAAUAGAUGGCAUAAUACAUAAAUGUGCCCUUUAACUUGGCUUCAACUUUCACCUAUGCCCUUCAAUUUUGGGUGGCAUGUAGGCAUUUAAACUUGUAUAAAGUUGAACAAGUAGAUACAUGAGUCCUAUGUGGAUCCUACGAAGCCAAUUUGUGUCCUAGGUGGCGUCCUAUGUGUAGUAAACCACAUAGUACGCGUGUGUCUACUUGUUCAGUUUUAUACAAGUUUAAGUGUCUACUUGUGCACAUCCAAAGUUGGAGGUAAUAUAUGCGAGCUUGAAGCCACAUUAAAGCAUCACACAAUGGCCAACAUUCUGUUAUAUAGUGAAAUCACCUUUCGCAUUUAAUCGUUAGAAAAGCAAGAUCGCUUACAUAUAAUUCAGCGAGUUGUCAACUUCUUCUGGAAUUCCACCAAACAAACUGUUGAAACUCAAGUCCCUGUAUCAGGAGAAAAGAAAGUAGAAUUACUUUACAUAUUUGUUCAGGAAACAUGUAAUAGCCUAUUCAGUGACAGGUAUACACUCAAUUACGUCGUUUUCUCACUUUGUUCCACGCACUUCAACUAUUUUUUUUUUUGGUAUACUGUAUGAUGUCAAACAGAACGGGAGCAAAACAAAGAUAGCGCACUUUAAGAGUUCAGCCUGACGGAGCUCUUCUAUCCACAAACGACUUAUUUUCUCAUAAACCUCAUAAUAUUACAACAACAACAACAUACUCAAUGUAAUCCCACAAGUAGGUCUAGGAGGUAGUGUGUACGCAUAUCUUACCCCUACCUUGGGAGGUAGAGAGGUUGCUUCCAAUAGACCCUCAGCUCAAGAAAAAAACAUAACAAAGCAGUCACAUAAGUGAAGAAGCCAUGACAAGACACUAAAGAUAGAAUGGCAAAGCAUUCUGAAAAAAAAAAAAAAAAAGGACCAGUAUCUACAAGAAAAUAAUACUUCUGUUACGUCAGGAUAAGUGAAACAACACUCAAUUACCUACUAGCCUUCUAUCCUAAUCUUUGUCCUCCAUAGCCUCCUAUCUGAGGCCGCGUCCUCGGUAAGCUGAGGUUGUAUCAUGUCUUGUCUAAUCACCUCUCCUCAAUACUUAUUUGGCCUACCUCUACCUCUCCUGAAUCCAUCCAUAGCUGACCUCUCACACCUUCGCACUAAGGCAUCCAUGCAUCUCUCUUCUUGACAUGCCCGAACCAUCCAUAAUACUAGAUAGGGGAGAUAGGGAAGAUGAUUACAAUCAACCGAGCUAUUACGAUUCCCCUCAUAAUAGUAGAUGUUAAAACACGGGAUCAAGGAGACUUUAACAUGAAGGGUUUGAUCAUGAAGAGUCUCAUAUGAAAAAGGAACAAUUGGAGAGGAGAACAUUUGAACUAUCAACUUUCUCCUAUCAAAUAAGCACACACAUUUUUCUUCGUAAAGUAAAUGUAUAUAGAGAUAUUUACUGCAGAAGCGGUCUAACAGAUACUGUAGGCCAGAUAGAUUCCAUAUCCACUUAGGGAUGCGGUCAGCUAUUGAACAAUUCCUCAAUGUCCUAGAUAAACAACAAAUCAGAAAAAUAAAACUGCAUUUUAGGAGAAGAAUAAAAGAAAAAUUAUUACUCAAUAUACAUGAAAGUUUGGGUUCCAGGGAACUCACAAAAUUCUUAAAAAUUUCAUUCCGGAUAAAUCUGGAAAUGAGGAGCUUUCUCCGACUACAUCAGUGAUAUACCUGAAAGUAGAUAUUGUCUAAUCCAUAAUAAUUCAAUGUUUGGGAGAGAGUAAAGCAUCUAGUACCCCCCGAACUAUGAUCAAAUUUGGAUGCACUCCAACUUCACGAGGGUCCUAUUACCCCCGAACUAAAUUUUAGCAUAUUUUCAUCAUUCUUCUUAGCUGAUGUGGCACCUUUUGUCAGCUUUUUUAGCUGACGUGGCAACUUUGAUGUGGGCCUCAUUUUAUGUAAUAAAGGUGCCACAUCAGCACUAAAGGGUGACAAAAAUAUGUUAAAACUGAGUUCAGGGGGUAAUAGGACCCUUGUGAAGUUGGAGUGUGUCAUAGCAACUUCGGCCAUGGUUCAGAGGGUUACUAGAUACUUAUCUCUUUGGUAGAACUCCGUUCAAGGAUGUGUAUGGCAAAAAAGUUACAGGAUUUUACAGUUCGGUUAGACUCUUCAGCUUUGGGAAUUGGUCAUGGAAAGGUGAAGAAAUACGAUUCCCCAUCAGAUUCCUUCUCAACGCGUGCAGAAAAAAAAUCAAUAGCCUCAAUAAAAACAUGCAUAGAUAGUAUAAAAUUGUACAGUUACUUUGCGAGUUUUACAUGAUACGCAGAUCUUGCCACUGUUUGAAAAUAUCCAGCUUUAUUUCACCGAGGCUGUUCCCUCGCACAUUGCUACAGAGAAAGAAGAAUAAUCAAUUGAUUAAAAGUAUAAUCUGAAGAUCUAUAUUAUCUCCCUCUCUCUCGCUCUUCGUGUUUCAAUUCUAUGGUAAUGAGAAUGAAAGAUAAGACAGUAGAUACUUACAAGUACGUCAGUUUCUUCAAACUCUUGAAAGUCGACGGCAAGGGACCAAUAAAUUCAUUGUUCUGCAAGUUCCUGAAAUCAUUUACUACAUAAUAAUAAGUAUCCAUGUAUUCUUUGUUAAACCUUGAAUUAAACUCUAUCCAGUACGAUAAGGGUCAAAUUUAGCAGCUUCUGCGUCCCUAUAAUUACAGCCCGCUUUAAAAACAAUGCAAGGAAUGAGUAGAAUUGUUUUGGUUUGGAUAUAUUUUUACUUCGACAGACAGCUGUAAGUCGGGAAUGUUGAAAGCCAGCUCUCCAGGACCACGGCAUAGACCAAAAAACACAUCUUUAGCCCACUGUACCCAGCUAAGUACACAAAGUUUUGUGUUCUAUUACUUAGAAAUAGAAUCUCAAAAAGUCUUCAGUCAAAAGCCAACGCGAUUUUUACUCAAACAAUCACCCAUUUAUUGUCAAUUUAAAGAACUUAAUCAAGAAAGUUUACUCAACCCAGAGAAGAAGAAAAAACUAUCUUAGGAAUAACCAACAAAAAUAUACUUACAACUCUUCAAGAUUCACAAGAUUCCCAAGCUGGUCGGGGAGUUUAUCCGACAGUUUAUUAUCUAUGAGGUACCUAAUUGUGAAGGCAAAUAGAUGGGGAUUCAAAUUUGCAUUAAACCAAAUGGAAAGUGAGAUAAAGUAGAAGUAUGGAUCUUAUCAAGGAUUUUACAAUCCCAGGAGGCUCUUAAUAUUUCCCAGCUGAUCCGGAAUUUUCCCCGAUAAGAAAUUAUAGCUCAAGUCCCUGAAAGGACAAGAAGAAGGAGAAAAAAGAACUAAGAUAACUCGAUAGUAAUAAUUUACUACAGAAUAGAAAGGACAAUAUAAGAUGCAGUUUUAGACUUACAAAUAUUCAAGAGAUGGAAGAGAACCCAAUUCUGGAGGAAUUGUUUGGUCGAAGAAGUUUUUGCACAGGUAUCUGUAGUAGCAAAAAGGUUAGAUUUGAAUGAUUAAACACAAUCCCACGAUACAACUUUGAGUGAUUUUUCCUUAUGAUGGUUGCUAGCCGUCUUCAAUGUUAACUCUGCAUUAGUUGGCAUGUUAGAAUGCAGAAGAACUGCAGACAAUUGUCUUACAUUUAAAGGGCAGCUCGGUGCACUAAAGGCCCCUCUAUGCCCGGGGUUGGGGGAAGGGCUGAAUCUUAUAGUUCUUUCUGUGUGUCAAGUUAACGCCUCGUAGAGUCACUUACGAUCUCUUCGUUUCCAUUUUUCUUCUUGUUAAAGAAUGAACUUGGGUCUAACCCAAACAUCAAAGCUAGGUCAUAAGGUGAGGAUUGACCAAGACUAUACAAGGAGACAAACAACCAUCCCUCAACUAACGUGGGACACUUAACAAUCUACCGCACACCCAGGCCCGCCUACUAGAGCGUGGACGAAAUAAUGAGGGCCCUACAUGGAGACGCACAGUAAGAGGGAUGAGUCUGGCUCUGACCAUGUGCCUAAAUCAAUCCUAAAAGCUAUCUCAUGAAGUGAGGAUUGACCACGACCAUACAACAAGCUACAAACAAGCCAUCCCUCAACCAAUAUGGGACAUUAAACACUUCUUAAGUUCCAACUUAUAAGUGUUGUCUUGAAGGAUUGAGCAAGUGUCAAACAAGUAAACAGUUUUGUCACAACUUUGCAAUGAACAAAGGGAUGAUCAACAUCCUUCCCAUUUCCUUGCAUACAUAGGACAACUGGCAUGAAAUCUUCUCUAAUUCUAUGGACGAUAAUUUGUUUGAACAACACCCCAAAUGGCUGUUCGUUAAAGAAAAAUACUUUUUCCUAAGUGUCUUAACACUCCAUAUUGCCUAGAAAGGCGAAUUUAUAUUGAUAUUCCUGCAAAGUCCCAGUAUCAAAUUGUAUAUAAACGAGAUUAGGACCUAGAUGAAGAUAUGACUUUGGUAAGCAUCAUGCUAUCACAUAGCACCAGAUAACACUUCUCCAUUUCAAGUUUCAACCAUUCAUAUGUUACUUGAUGUACAACAUCAUCAUCUAUCAUUUCAUUCAUGUUACAAUAAACCUAGAUAUCUGAAUUGCUUGCAACAGUAUGUUCCCUGUCAUCAACUACGAUUAGGAUGUCAUAACAUUGUUACAACACCUAGCAUUCAAACUCAUAUGAGAACAAUUUCUUUAUGAUUAUUCUAUUGCCAAAAAAGAAUUUCUACUUUUGUAAAGCAGUCAAGGUGAAGUUAUUCCAUUUUUCUUGCCUGAUGGAAAUUAGUGGAGCAAUAUUAUUCCUUCUUUUUUAUUUCAAAAUUUGCAGGAAGUUAAUUCAUCAAGUUUGACAAAGUUAAUUUAACAAAUACAUAGAAAUUGUGCGUAGGUAGAAUCGUAAAAGCUGAUACCAAAAGGUAAGCCAAUGACUUACAUGCUUCUUAAAGAUGGCAUCUGACCAAGGAAAGUUGGAAUGCGUCCUUUCAAUGAGUUAUCACAGAGAGAACUGUCAGAUAAAACAUCAUAACUAUCACAGGUAAUUCAAGAAAAACAAUUCCUUACUUAGCUUCAGCGUAUGCAUGGUAAUGAAAGACUUUAAAAACAGAUAAAUAAGUUUCUAACGGACACAGUAAAGGAUGGAGAGUGUAAUGAAACGUUUGCAGCCGAAGUUAUGAAACUACUCACAAGUACAAUAGACUCUUCAGAUGUUGAAAUGAUCCAGGAAUUGAUCCGCGCAACUUGUUUCCAUUCAAAUAACUGUGAUCAACCAAAAUAGAUGAAAGGUCCAUAAAGGAUAUUACAUUAUCGAAUCUUGGAUAUGAUGUAAGUUUAUUUUUAGACUUUUUUGAUCCUUCUAGACUUCGAAUACCUCUUAUUUAGUGAUUUAGAUUCCAAAAUGCAACUGGAAUCUAAAAUACGGAAUGAUACAUAAAUGCAAAAUCUUCAGGUAUGAUUAUGAUCUGUAAAUAGUUUAAUCCCUCUGGCAUGUGAAUCUAAACUGAAAAGCACAAUACAAAUUAGAAUAGAUUGUUUAGGUAUCCUUACAGGCUUGUUAAAUAUUGAAGGUUUCCAAUCUUCUCAGGGAUCUCACCUUCUAAUCGUCUAUUAGAGAAAUCACUGCAGUUCAUUAGGUUGCAAAAAAAUCAAUCAGAAAUCUCAAACUUGCAUAGUUAAAAACAAGGCAAGCAAAUGCGACAAAUUUUAACUCCCUUGAGACCACAACUUCAAAUUAUAAAGAACAUAAAACAAGGAUGACCUGCACAUUUUUGGCAUGAACACUACUAACUCAAAAUGUCUCGUAAGUUGUUUUAAACUUUUGUGGUGAAAUUGAGCAGACAUUGCUAUUAUUAUAGUGAAUUUAUUUUAAAUCAUUUCUGGUCGAGUAAGCAAAGAUGAAUAUUCCUGCUUCAUGGAAAACCUUAUAGUGAAGGGGAGCUUUGGAGUAACUGGUAAAGUUGUUGUCAUGUUGUGACCUGGACAUCACGGGUUUAAGCCGUGGAAACAGCCUCUUGCAGAGACCCUUCUGGUCAGGCCCUUCCCCGAACCCGCGCAUAGCGGGAGCUUUAGUGCACCGAGCUGCCCUCUUUUUUUUUAUGGAAAACCUUAUAGUACAAACAGACUUUAUUAAUCAACAUAUAUAGAAAUGUAAAAAAGGCAUAAUUUUAGAGGAAUGAAGGGUGAAAGAAGAGGGCAGCCCAAUGCACUAAAGCUCCCGUUAUGUGGGGGGUUCGGGAAAGGGCCAAGACCACAAGGGACUAUUGUACGAAGCCUUUCCCUGCAUUUCAAGAUGUUUCACGGUUUGAACCCGUGACCUCCACUUUGUCAGUUAGGCCAAGGCUCCCCACAGGUGAACAGUGGAAUUUAAUGCUAAACACAGUUUAAAACAAACCUCUAACACUUCAACAUCAUGAAUAAGGCGUACUAUUCAAAAUUUCUAGUAAUAUGAAUCAAUCACACGAGUAAACUUUUCCUUUAUCAGCAUAAGAACCGUCAUUAGAAUCCUAAUUCCCAGAUAUAUGUAAUGUACUGCAAAAACUUCAAGUAGCAAUAGUGGUCAAUAAUUUGGGUGGAAAACCACGAGGCCUCAGGUUUAAAUCCCAGCAGAGCCAAAAACAUUAGGUGAUCUCUUCCCAUCUAUCAUAGUCUUGGUGAGGGCGGGAGGUGGCAAGUAUCACAUGGAAUUAGCCGAGGUGCGUGAAAGAUGGCUCGCACACCACGGUUAUAAAGAGAAAAAAGCAUCAUGAGCACUGCUUGUCUUCAUAUAGUCAAACGACAACCACAAAGAAUAUUAGAAUAGCAAAGUGCCUAAGAGCACAAGCAUAUAUUGCUCCCUGUGAACAAAUCCCUCUUAUGUCUCCAGAUCAUGCUAUCAAAGGACUUGUAAAUAUUUCCAAAUAAGUAUUAGCAAAUCAAUUAACAAGAAGGACAGUUGAGAAAAAUACCAAAAAAACAAAAAAAAAAAAAAAAAAAAAAAAACAGCAACAGUAACAGUAAAUAACUAGGAGUAGAAGCGAUACAUGCGCACCACUCGACAUCUUUUGUGGUUCUCAAGAUAACAAUCGCAGGUAACAGCAUCUGUAAAUCCAAUAGAACAACUUGGCGGUAAUAAUAUUCCCUUAGAACACCCAAGCAGAGCAUUGAUGACAUCCUCUGGCAUCCACGUGCAGAAAUUUGCAUCAGUACAGAAAAAAAAAAAUUAGAACGGAUAACAUGUGAUGUCAUGAAGAAUGUAACAGCAAAUAACAAGCUCAUCUAAACUCUAGAUAAAAAAUAAUUCCACCCUUACAAUGCCUGCAUUACUAAUCUUUACAUUACGAACUCCUGCAUAACUUGUUUUUAAAGCAAACGAACUCCUCAGGAUUGCAACGCCAAUUAUUACCGAUGAGCAUGUGAAAUAAGUUCAUGAGGGAAAGUGUAAUUUCUUUAUACUGUCGUCCAAGUUCAAUCUCACCCCUGAUCAAAUGGAGGAAACUAAAAAUACAGAAUCUUUUUGCACAGUGCGACUGUCUUUCUAUGAAUGGUGAUCUCUAUGUUACUUUCCGUGUACAAAAUAACCCGUAAAGGCGCAGCUUUCAUUUCAAUCUUACUACAGUUAUAGCUGAUGCAUCAUUACGAUAAACAAAGCAAGCUAUAACUUUUUUGGUGAUUACAUCUGAUGAAGACAUAAAAACCAUAUGCCAAAGAGUCCGAACAACACCAACAGGACAAAGUCAAUAAAUCCGUCAAUAAAUCCAUGUCUGCAGACAAUUUGGCCAAAUAAAAGAAUUUAAACAAAAAACGGAGGGGUGUUUUGAAGAAAUAAAGUAGCAGAGAAACAGAUGUUAGCUUAUUUAACACUUUUAGAAUCUCUAUAUAAACAUUACAGAUAGAGACUGUUACAUUUUUAAUCAUAUUAGUAUAAGAAACAAGCAGCAAAUACGUUUACACAUAACUUGAGUUCAAUAUCUCAAUGGGGGAGUAGCCAUAAAGACUAAGACAGCCGCAAUCUUACCAUCUUCUUCGGCAAGACGAGGAGCUGUAGGCAUUAAUUUGGUAUUAAACCAAGUUGUUGUACAGAUUUUGAGUAGAGGGCCAUGCGUAGCUUGUUCCACGGUCACCUCACAAUAGACCAAAAGUAGCACAACAGAAAUGAAUAUCCUGUAAACAUACAUGAACGUUGCCAUAUUAGCUCACAAGAAAUGCUAUAAUACUUCUUUAGUUUUAACCAUGCAGUUCCUCAAAUAUGUGCCCAUACCUUUAUAAUAGCAUCCUUUUUGCAAGUUUACAACAACAACAAACCCAGUAUAAUCCUAAAAGUGGGUCCGGGGAGGUAGAGUGUAUGCAGGCCUUACCUCUACCUCGUAGAUAGCAUCCUUUUUUCAAGUUUACCCAAUAAUAUUGUGUGUGCCGCAAACUUAAAAGGAACAGUAACCUCAAACUUAAAAGGAACAGUAACUACAACAAAAUAAGACAAUAAUAGGGGUACAAAUAUCCGCCCCUACUGCGUGAGUUACUCCCUCCGUCCCAAAAUAAGUGUCACCUUACCUCAAAAAAAAAAAAUGUCCCAAAAUAAGCGUCACCUUAGGAAUCCAAGGGAAAAAUUAGUAUGUUUUGUUUUCAACUAUAUCUUUAUACUCCAUCGUCUAAUAAUGUUCAAUUUUCAAGAGACAUUUAUUUAAUAGCGAUAGUUAAGUAAAGGCAUAAUAUAUAAAUGUGCCCUUUAACUUGGCCUCGGGUGGCAUUUAUUCCCUCCAACUGUGGGUGAGCACAAGUAGGCACUUACACUUGAAUAACGUUGAACAAGUAUACACACGCGUCCUACAUGGCAAUUCCGUAAGAUUGCCACGUAGAUGCUACGUAGGACGCGUGUCUACUUGCUCAACUUUAUACAUAAUCAUGUCUUUUAACUUGGCCUCAGCUGGCAUAUAAUGCCCUCCAACUCUGGGUAUGCACAAGUAGGUACUUAAACUUGUAUAAAGUUGAACAAGUAGAAACACGUCCUACGUAGCAUCUACGUGGCAAUUCACGUGAGAUUGUCAUAUAGAUGUCACGUAGAUUCCACGAAGGGCAUGUGUGUCUACUUAUUCUAACUCUAUAUAAGUUUAAGUGUCCACUUGUACACAAAAGCUGGAGGUCAUAUAUGUCAGCUGAGACGAAUUUAAAAGGCAUAGUUACGUAUUAUGGACGAUGGACAUGAUUUUUGCUUAUUUCGAGACAGAGGGGGUGUAAAAAAGAAGAAUCUUUUCUUUAAUUGGGGCCUAACAACAUAACAUAAAUUAUCUUUUUCAUAAAAGGUAAAAAAGAUGCACUAUUUUCUUUGUCACCUACUUGAAAUUCUACUUUACUAAAGCUGAAACUUCCAAUAAUGCUUCAUAUAGUACUUGACUCAAUACCCUCUACAGGGAAUCAGUUCACUGCCACAAAUCCACUAACAAAAAGGCAUAUUCUUAUGUGAAAAUUAAAGUAACUCAUGAUUUGCAUGGAAGGUGUUUGAUGAAAUGAUUGAAAGAAAAUUCAAUUAAAAAAGACCAUAGCAAUAGAGUAGGGAUAUUAACUUCUUUCUUCUCAUCAGUAAACAAAGACCAUAGUAAUGGAUUGUGGAAUAAUUUCAUCUUUUUGCUGAAAUAGACAUGCAAUGAGCAUGCACAGUGGUUAAUGAAGCGGGUCGAGAAUCCGAGGUUUCACGGUUUAAAUUUCAGCGGAGACAAAAAACAUGGUGAUUCUUCUCAUUUGUUCUAACAUUAACGGACAUAUGUAGUUAACUUAUAUAUUUCGAGGUGUCAAGUAUUUCGUAAAUUCAGUCGAGGUGUGCAAAAGCUGACAUGGAGAUCACGGUUAUCGAAAACAAAAAAAGACAUGUAAAAUGAUCUUUAUAUGAUUGCACGAAAAAUUGUGGACGGAGUCACCUGAUAUCUUAGGAGGUGGUAGGUAUCUCAUAAAUUUAGUCGAGGUGCACGAAAGCGGCAGGUGGCAUUUACGUCCUCCAAUAUUUCGUGUGCACAAGUAGGCACUUAAACUUGUAUAAAGUUGAACAAGUAGACACAUGUGUCCUACGCAGCAAUUCGCGUGCGAUUGCCGUAUAGAUGCCACAGAGAACGUGUCUACUUGUUUAACUUUAUAUAAGUUUAAGUAUCUACUUGUACACACUCAAAGUUGGAAAGCAUAUAUGUCAACUGAGGUCAAGUUAAAAGGUAUGAGUACGUUAUACGUAUAACGAACGUGAUUUUCGCUAAGGUAGUGUAAAAAAACAAUCUUUUCGCAGUGUGUAACCUAGUGAUCAAUGAAGUCGGUUGAGAUCCUAUCGUCUCAAGUUCAAAUUUCAGCGUAGACAAAAAACACUAGGUAAUUCAUCCCAUCUAUGUUCUAGCUUUAAUGGACAAAGUUAUCUGAUGUUAUCAAAAAGAACUUUUUUUUUUUUUUUUCAUUUUUUCAUAUUGUUUCCACUUUAUGGCCCUUAAAAAACAUAACAUAAAUUAUCUUUUCAUAAAAAGGUAAAAAAGAUGCACUAUUUUCUUUGUCACUUUCUUUAUAAUUUCUACUUUAUAAAGCUGAAGACUCCAAUAAUACUUCAUAUAGUACUUGACUCAAUACACUUUACAUUGAAUCAGUUCACUGCCACAAAUCCACUAACAAAAAAGGCAUAUUCUAUGUGAAGAUUAAAGCAACUCGUGAUUAGCAUGGAAGGUGUUUGAUUAAAUGACUGAAAGAGAAUUCAAUUAAAAAAGACUGCAGCAGCAGAGUAGGGAUGUUACCUUCUUUCUUCUUCUCAAUAAACAAUAACUAUAGCAAUGGAUUGUGGAAAAAUUUCAUCUUUUUGCUGUAAAAAGACGUGCAAAAUGAGUUCUACGUUCGAUUCGGUUUUACUUAUUACACAUUCGGUUUAUCGAUUUUUGGUUUUUAAAUAUACUAAAUCAAUAACCAAAUCAAUAAGAUAUUUUUUAUCGGUUUUUGGUUUAUCGAUUUUUAGUCCUUAACGGUUUGAUUUUCGAUUUAACCGAUAAAAAAAUAGUUAUAAAAUAUAAAUAGUAGUAACUAACCUGAAAAAUAAUCGAAUCUUAGUUGCAAAUAAAAAUACUACAUAAUGUGUUUUAAUUUAUAAGAAUCUUCAAGUUUGAACUAAAUAUUGUUAAGAUAAAUUAAUAUAUAUAUAUAUAUAUAUAUUCUUAUUGGGUUAUCGGUUUACCCAAUAACCCUAUAAAAAAAAUCGAACCGAACCAAUAAUUCAAUAAUUUUUUUUUUAUAAAAUCACUAAAAAAUCAUUAACCCAAUCACCCAAUAAAAAUAAACCAAUAAUAUUUUUAUCGAUCGGUUCAAUUUUUGCACAACCCUAAUUCGACGUGACUACAAAUUAAUAGCAAAAUUUCAUAUAUUACUUUACUUUUACUACAAAUAAUAAAGGGCAAUUAACAGCACGCCUUCGACCCGACUACUUACUUAAAUGUCCAUUCGAACUAGCCUACAUAAGCUUUGAAUUUGAUUGGUCAGACCGUCUCAACAAAAUAAUGGGCAAAAAAUAUCAAGUCCACACCAUUACUUAUAGGCUGCGGGUCUAACGGAUUAGCCCACUUUUAAAAAAAAAUAAAUUAUAGAGAAAAUACCUUAUUUCACCCUUGAACUAUACUCAAAACGGCUGAGACACACCUCAAUUUAAUGGGAUUCUAUUAUCCUUGAACUAAUUAAAAGUGUAAUUUUGACAUCCUAAUUGUCUAUGUGCCUAUGUGGAUCCUCCAGUGUGUUGUGCCACGUGGGCAUUAUGGGUGUCAAAAUUACACUUUUAAUUAGUUCGGGAUAAUAGGACCUCCUUUAAGUUGAGGUGUAUGUCAGUCAUUUUGGAUAUAGUUCAAGAAUGAAAUAGAGCAUUAUCUCUAUUUUAUAAUUUAAUUUUAGAAUAUUAAUAAAUAUAAAUAUUAUCAGAUAAUAUUACAUAAUGUUAAUCUAUAAUCAAUAAUAUAUAUCUGUAUGUAUAUUUAUAAUAUAUAUCUAUAAUAUAUUAAAAAUAUGAAUACACUUAGAAAAUUGAUUUGAAUUUUUUGUGCUUCAUUAAAAAUCUCUUCUUUAGAUAAAAUUAUCUUUUUACUAUACAUUUAAUACUUUAAGAAUAAAAGUUUAAAAUUAUAUAUAAAAUUUUUCCGUAUUCAAAUUGUGUAACUAAAAUUUAGGAGCUCGAAACUAAUUAGAAUUUUACCUUUUAUUAAUUCUUUCCUUAGUAAAACACAUGAAUCAUAUAAUAUUAAUUUCAUAAUACACGUACAUUUUACUCUUUUUUUUCAAAUAUUCCAUCACUAUAUUUAUAAUAUUUAAAAUAAAAGAGUCCUAAAAUAUAUGAUAAAAAAAAUUGUCAAAAAAUUAAGAAGUCCUCAAAUAUAUGAAAAGAAAGAAAAAUAUAUGAUAAAAGUUAUUUUUAACUCGAAUAAUUUUAUUCAUUAUUCAAAUAGAAUUGAAUAAAAUACUUUAAGACUCCAAGUUAUAUUACACCUUUGCAUAUUCAGACUCUUUAUUAUAAUUUUAAUAAGAUUCAAAUUCUAUAAAAAUAUAUCGUGUACAUAUUUUUUAAUGAGUGAUAUUCCUUAAAUUUAGCAUCAUAACUACAAUUUUCUUGCUCAGGUUAAUUUUUAUAAGAAUACAUAUUAAGAUAAUAUUCAUGCUCUUCUUCUCCCUUCAUGUUUCUCUCUUCUCCAGUAAUUUUUUGAUUGUUGAUAUUUUUUUUUACUAGUCAAGUAUACGUGUUUUGCAUGUGUAUAUAAAGAUAAUAAUAAGUGUAUAUAAAAGAAUAAAUUUAUAUCGAACAAUAUACUCGAUCUGCCUUUAAAAAUCUUGUUUUUAUGAAUCGGAUUCAUUUAAAGUAACGUAGACUAAUUUCUUGAUAAAGAAAAGCUUACCCUUCAAAAGAUCUCCUAUUUCUCUCUUUUCAUACUGCUCAUGUCAAUGCACGUAAAAUCACAUUCCAUUUUAUGCGUCUUCUCAUUCAAGACAAAUAAUUAUAAAUUAUAAAAUAAAGAUAUGGACAAAAAAUAAAAAUAAAAUAUGACAUAUUGAAAUAUCAAUUAUUUAAUAUUAUACUUUGAAAGGAAAAAUAUACUUUAGAGUUUUGAUGACGUUACUAAAACGUAAAAUGAGCAGUUCAAAUUAUCCCUGAUGGAAGAAUGAAAUCGGUUAUAAAUUUGAUUUACUAACGCAUGAAAUCUCUAAUUACUAUUAUGUUUUAUCUUCUAGUCAACUAAUGACUUUGUUUAAUACUUGUUUGACACUCUGAUUAUGUUUGCUAUUAUGAGAAAUCACAAUUUUUACUUUAUUUUUAUCUCAAUAUUUUUUUUUUUAUGUAAGUAUGACUUUGACAAAAGAGUAUUAACAUGAAUUACGCCUGAAUAAGAAGUAGAACUAAUAUGAAUAAAAAAAUAAAAUUUAGAAUAGAAAAAAACAUACCUUAAAUUCACUUGUAAUCGAUACGAAGUUUUGUCCACAUGUUUCACAUAAAUCUUUCUUCAUCUACAUAAACAUAUUAAACAAUCAAUCAGUAAUGAUUUAUUUAUAAAGACAAAUACAAAUAAUAAAAGAUUAUGAAAAAAUCAUCUUAGAAGUUAAUGGAUCUUUAAUUUUGUUAAGCCUAAGUUAAAGUGACAGUAAAAAAAAUGAACUUAUUUUGAAGGUAAAUGUAAACAAACAAACAAACAAAAGCAUCAAAUAUAGAAGCUUAAAAUGCAGACGAACUUAUAAAACGUUGAAAAAGGUAAAAAGAAUUUAAUGUGAUUCUUUACAUAUAUUAUUUUAGGGCUGUUAAUUUAUUUUUAUAUAUUUUAGGAUUCAUAAAUAUUUUAGGAUUCUUAUAUUUUAUAUAGUUUAGGAUUCUUAAUCUUUACACAUAUUUAUUUUAUCAGGGUUUCCCCAUAUAUUUUAGGAGUAUUUAAUUUAAUAAUAUAAUAAUUGGAGGAAGGUGAAAAGACAAUUUAUCUAUUGCAGAGUGUUUUAAUGAAGGACAAAAAGUUCGAAUCACUUUUCUAAAGGUCUUUACACUUUUAAUAUAUUAUAGAUUAUAGAUAAUUUAUGAUUAUGUUAGUGAAACUUAACUCUCAAUUGACUUAUUUUUACUUUUCUCUUUUGCUUUUUUUUUUUUGUAGGAUAAAUACAACAACAACAACAACAACAACAGGCCUAGUGUAUUCCCACAAAGUGAGGUUUGGGGAGGGUAAGAUGUACGCAGUCCAUACCACUAUCUCCUAAUUAAUGAAAGUUAGGAGUCGCAGUCGGCUUGAAUCGGGAGUUGAGAAUGGGUUUUAAAUAUGUAGUCGAAGUAGAUUCUCGUGUAGCAAAAAUAACAUAAUUUACCAUAAAAUUCUUUAUUUGUUGGAUGUAUUUCUUUUUAUUUAUGCGUUUGAUGAAAACAUCUCGAUGUUAUCUUUACUGUAAGUGAUGUGCUAUUAGUUAUGUAUGGAAGCAUAUCACUGAACAAUUAAGUAUGCGGGUUGAUGAUUCGUAAUUAUCUGAUUCGUGUUAUGCAAACAAAGAGAUGAACUACAUAUAUGAGAUUGUAUUGAAAAGAGAAAAUACAUCAAAUCCCCCCUCAACUUAAAGCCAAAACUUACUUUAGACCCUAAACUAAUCGGACAAUUAUUUACCCCACUUAACAACUUUAAAGUGAAUUAAUUUCAACCUCAAAAUCAAAAUCAUACUCUCACAAUGGAGAGUGCACUACACACGCGUCAUGUCAUGCCAAAUAAGUGUUACAUCAGUGUCAUGUCAUUGCCACGUAAGAUAUUAUAAUAUUUAAAAUAAAAGUAAUCUCACACACAUACUUUUUAUAUAUUUUAAUAUAUAUAUCUUCUUCAUCAGCCCCUCCUCUCUUCUUCUUCUUCUUCAUCAGCCCCCCGCACCCCCCUUUCUCUUUCUUCUUCUUCUUCCUUUCUUUGAUAUACAUAAGAUUUGCAGCUUGAGCAAAUCGAAUAACGGACUAAAUACAAAUACAUGAUCUCAAAAAUAAACUACUACACAAAAUUUCAAAUCCAAAACAUAAAUAAAAUUGCACAAUCCGAUAUGACAAAAUAAAAGCAAUAAUAGCAUUUGCUUUCUCAGCCUUUUUCUUUUGACAAAAUUGGAAAGAAGAACACUAAUCUUAACUUUACUUCCAAGCUCUUCCAAAUUGGGAAGAGAAACUUGCACUAAAAUCCCAAUUGAAAAAGCUCAAUUUCAUUUCCAUCAAAUACACAAAUUCAAUCAAAAUCACUUCCCCUACAAUUAAAAUAACCUCCUCAGAUCUAUCCAAAACCAGCUCUUCUUUGCCAAAGAAUAAAAUAACCAAAGAAACACCACCAUUAAAGAACUCAAUGAAUUCAAAUCCAAAAAUCGAUCUUCCACAAAUAAAAAUGCUAAGAAAGAAACACACCAAUACAUAAAGAAACGGGUGUGGGGGUUCGAAGAAGAUUAAAAAAUCGAGUGGGGGUCGGGGUGGGGUAAGGUUGUGUUAGGAAGAAGAUGAAGUUGGAUGCCCUUUUUUAAAAAAAAAAAAACUCACGUGUUUUUUUUUUUUUGCCACGUCAGCCGUAAGGGUUGAAAUUAAUUCACUUUAAAGUUGUUAAGGAGGGUAAAUAAUUGCCCGAUUAGUUUAGGGUCUAAAGUAAGUUUUGGCUACAAAUUUAGGGGGGAUUUGAUGUAUUUUCUCUAUUGAAAACUAUCUUCAGAUUGAAGACAUAACCUUUGAGCUGAGAGCCUCUUGAAAACAAUCUUUGUAUCCUACAAAGAUAAUGAUAAGGCAUGUAUUCUAUCCUACAUAGACUCCACAUAUGAGAUUCUAUUAAAAAUUAUCUUAAAAUUGAAUGUAUAACUGUUUGAAUCAUAAUUUUAUGAGUGUACCGAAGGUCUACCAAAAACAGUCUCUCUAUCCUAAAAAAGAUAGUGAUAACGAAUGCAUUCUAUCCGGAUCCAAGAGGGUCGAUGCCCGAUUCCCCAACUCAUUACUCAUUCCUUCCCCACUCGAUAGGAAUUGCAAUAUCGAGAGAGGGAGCAACAGUUGACCUCCUACAAUAGGUAGAUGCGGUAGGCAUAGAUGGACACAGUGAAAUCAAUCUUUAUUCCGCACUCCCUCUCACCGGCCUGAAACAUAUAUAAAUCAUGAAUUCUUCAGAGCGGGUCGGCAGUCCGAGCGUAUGGGGACCGUCGAAGAAGUUCCUCAACGCGCCGUAACCACUACUUUGGCUCUUUUUAUGCAAUUAGGAACUCCACGGAACUUAAAGACUACACAUAUGAAAUUAUAUUGAAAAUUUUUCUUUUAUCUCUUGGGAUUCGUGUGAGAUAAAAGUCUCAUGCACGAUUUUGAAUGAGAGAAGGAAGUGAGGAAUCCUCGUUUUGAGCUUUUUUCCCUUUAUUAAAAGUCUUUGUUUUAGACAAAAUUGUCUUUUCACUAUUUUUUUCAAAUAUUUAAGAGUUGAAAAUUAAUUAAAUAUAUUUAUGAUAAAAACUUUACCUUAUUAAAAGUCAUCAGAAUUAAUGACAAUUAAUAUUUUUUUCAUCAAUCUAAGAAUUUUAAAUCAACUAGAAGAUUUUAAAAGUCUAUAAAUCUACAUCUAUAGACAAAAUCGUCGAAUUUUAAAUAAUCAAAAAUUACACGUACGAGGCACGUGCGGCUAAACUAGUACUUGUUAAUAAAGUCUCCAACACUCCAAAAAAUACUCCUAAUAGCGAAAUUAAAUAACUUUUAACAUGAUAUCCUUUGAAUCAAAUAAAAAUACUAAUAAGCAAUCUAAAUAGUUGCAUGUAUUUGAAUUACGGGUUGACCUACGGGUUAGGCCAACCCACAUUGCUCAAGCCCCACGGGCCACAGGCUUAUACGGGCCGGGCUAAAAAGCUCUAUUCUUAAAUGGGCUGCAAAAAAUGAAGCCCAACUCCAUCAAAUUACAAGCCGAGUUGGGCGGCCCAACGGGUCUGACCCAUAUUGACGGCUCUAGCCGCUUUAAUUGUAAUUUUAUUAUAUUAUCUCUAAUUUUACUUUUACUUUAUUACUAAUAAUAAAGGGCAACAAGCAGACACGUCUUCGACAUGACUACUUGUGCAGUUGUGUUGCUUUAAUCUAAUUCUAUUAUAUUAUCCCUAAUUAAUUAGUAUAAAUUAUUUAAUUAUUAAAAAAUUAAUAAUAUUUAAUAAAUAAUAUAAAAUAAAAAUUAAAUAAUAAAUUAACUCUAGAUGUUUUGUGUUACCUUAAUCAAAUACUUCAAUUGUAAUUUUACUAUAUCACCCAAGUUAAUUAUUACUAUAAGUCAUCUAAGCAUUAAAAAAUUAAUAAUAUUUAGUAAAAAAGAUAAAUUAGACAUAAAAUGAUAAAUCAACACUUGAUGGUUUAAAUUAAUUUGAUGUCUUUACUACUAAUAAUAAAGGGCAACAAGAAGGCACGUCUUUGACAUGGGUACUUGUGUUGCUUCAAUCCUAAUUUUAUUAUAUUAUCCCUAAUUAAUUAGUAUAAGUGAUUUAAUUAUUAAAAAAAUUAAUAAUAUUUAACAAAAAAUUCAAAAUAAAAUAAUAAAUUAAUUUUUUAUGUUUUGUGCUACCUUAUUCAGCUUCUUCAAUUGUAAUUUUACUAUAUCACCCAAGUUAAUUAUACUAUAAGUCAUCUAAAUAUUAAAAAAUUAAUAAUAUUUAAUAAAAAAAUAUUAAUUAGACAUAAAAUGAUAAAUCAACUCUUGAUGUUUUAAAUUAAUUUGAUGUCUUUACUACUAAUAAUAAAGGGCAACAAGCAGGCACGUCUUCGAUAUGGGUACUUGUGAUGCUUCAAUCGUAAUUUUACUAUAUUAUCCCUAGUUAAUUUAUAUAAGUCAUUUAAUUAUUAAAAAAAUUAAUAAUAAUUAAUGAAAAAUAUAAAAUAAAAAUAAAAUAAUAAAUUAAUUUUUGAUAUUUUGUGCUACCUUAUUCAGCUUCUUCAAUUGUAAUUUUAAUAUAUCACCCUAGUUAAUUAUUAAGUCAGCUAAGUAUUAAAAAAUUAAUAAUGUUUAAUAAAAAGGAUAAAUUGGAGAUAAAAUGAUAAAUCAUAUCUUGAUGUUUCAAAUAAAUUUAUAUGAGACCCAUUUAAAUUUUUUUUCACAAGUAUUUUUUAUAAUAAUUUUGUUAUCACCUAUAAUUAGUUGUUAUAAGUCAUUUAAGACAUGUCUGCUUCAUUGUUUCAAUUGCAAUUUUAUUAUAUCAACUCUAAUUAAUUUUUAUGGUCAUCUAAGCAUUAAAAAAUAAAUAAUAUGUCAUAAAAAGGAUAAAAUACGCACAAAAUGAUAUAUCAACAUAAAACAUUUGGUUGACUAUCCAAAUUAUAUUAGUGCCACAUAAAUUACGAUAGGACAGAGGGAGACAUAAAGUAAUAUACAUUAUUUAAAAAAGAGAAGACACGUAAACUGGGACGGAGAGAGUAUUAACAUCUUAUUUAAAAAUUAUGUUAAAAUCAUUAUAAAUCACAUAAUUAACAACUUAAAACAUAUAAAAUAUUAGAUUGACUCUCGAAAUUGUAUCGGUAUCACUUAAAUUAAAAUAGAAGAAAAAAUACUAUAAAUCACAAAAAUUAAAAAUUUAAAUUAUUUUAAUGAUUGAUUAUCUAAAUUAUAUUUGUGUCAAAUAAAUUGAGACAAGAAAAUAACAUAUAUUGAGCUCAUGCUAGCAUGGACCCUUCGAUGUCUAGUAGUUAACUUAUAUCUUUGGAGGUGUCAAGUAUUUCGUAAAUUUAGUCGAGGUGUGCAAAAGUUAAUCCAGAGAUCACGGUUAUCAAAAACAAAAAAAGACAUGUAAAAUGAUCUUUAUAUGAUUGCACGAACGGAGUUACAUGAUAUCUUGGGAGAUGCCAGGUAUCCUAUAAAUUUAGUCGAGGUGCACAAAAGCUGACCCUAGGACUACGUACGGUCGCUAAAAAGACAUGAUAAAUGAUCUUAAUAGUGUUCAAUUUUCAAGAGCACUUAUUAAAUAUUCUCCUUAACUUGGCCUCAGGUGACAUUUAUAGGUCGGAUCAAUAAUCGAUCUGUCUAUAUAUCGGUCGGAUAGAUAAUAGAUUUGCCUAAAAAUGGUUCAUUUCCCUAAAAGUAAAAACUUGUAGUCUAUUUAAUUAAAAAGAAGACUUGAAAAUGCCAUUUAACAAAGAGUUCCGUCAAAAAUUAAAAGUAAUUUAUAUGAUUGCACUAAAAAUUGUGGAAUAACCUGAUAUCUUGAGAGAGGACGGACCUAUAGCUAAACUUUUGGUGCUAUGACACCCAUUAAAUUUGAUGCAGAGCAGGUAUAAUUAUAUAAAAAAAAUGUAUAAAAUUUAGUAUAAGAUUUAGAAAAUCUCCCAGUAAGCCAGAAAAAUAGUCGAGUGCUUUAGUUUCCAGAUGGAACCUUAAAGCUUUGGAUAUCAAUAUGUGUACUCUAACCUUCCGUGCACCCACGACUCCUAAAUUCUGAAUCCUUCACUAUCUUGAGAGGUAGUAGGUAUUCUGUUCAUUUAGUUGAGGUGUGUAAAAAUUGAUUUGGACAUCAUAUUUAUCGUAAAAAAAAAAAGACACGUAAAACGAUCUUAAUAUGAUCUAAAAAUCGUGGAUAAAGUAAUCUGAUAUCUGAAAAGGUUUCACGAUCCGAAUUAGGGCCUGGCCGUGACGGACAUCCCAAACCGUGAAGGCCUGGACGUCCUUCUCUAUCUGAUCUAGUAAUCAUGCACAGCAUUCAUAUCAUAAAAGAAAAUGCGAAAAUAAAAUCUGAUACAGAAACAUGGUCAUUAACUCUGGGUUUCAAGACAUAAGAAAGAAAACCUGCAAUUCAAAACAUCUAAAUAAGAUCUGACUCAAUCUGCAAAAUCUCUACUACAUCUUAAAACUGUUCUGAAAACUGGGAUAAGGCCUCCAGUAGACCAAAACCAUAUCUAAUAAUAGUUUUCUGAAAGUAAACAGGCCUUCUGGAAUAAAGAAGGCUCAUCAACUGGACACUGCAACUCUGUCUGAACGAAUCUACUGCUUUUCUGGACCCCUAGACUGAGCCUCAGAACCUGGAGGGAGAAAGGGGGGUCAAUACAGAUGUACUGUUACUCAAAGUAAUCCAAAAAACUUUUAUAUAAGUAAAAUAAUGGAGAACAAUUUGUUAAAACAUCAUGCAUAAACAGUUCUUAAAACACAUGGGCACUUUCUGAAAAUCAUAAGUCACUCUUGUCAAUUCACUGUCUGUUCUUUGUAUUACUUCUGAGUUAGGUGGCAUUCCCCUACAACUCUGAUAUUCCAUGGGCUGUAUGGAAUCCGCCAUUGACUCCGCGGGGAAGUCCCUAACCCAAGUAUGCCGCAAGGGUUGGCGUCUCUGAUUCUGAUACGCCACACAACACUAGGCCAACGUAAUAUAAUAUACCCAGAUCAGUAAAUCACGGUUUUAGGCAAUGAGUUAUCUGAACUUGUGCCCUCUUUAGGGAACCACCUAACAUCUCUUUAUGCCCUAUUUUAGCCUUUUCUGAACAUGCAUCAUUUUGAAAUUUUAAAACAUGAAAGUCUGAUUUCUGUAUUAGUCUCUCUCUGUUAUGUCAUUGUCUGAGUUGGUAUCGUCAUACCAAGACUUGCAAGUCGAUAUUCUCAGCCAUAUAUGAUUAUUUCAUUCUAAAACAAUGUUCAGGCCACUUGAUCAUGCAUAUAGUGUAAGAAGAGUCACAUCUCAAAUCAUAAGUCAAAAAUUAUGCAAAGGCUUUCCAUUCAUUCAACAAUUUCACUAAGUAGUGGCCAACUUCUCAAAAACAUUCCUGAAGUUUCUUUGUUUAUCAAUCUCAACACUUAAAAUUAUUAAAGCAUUCCUCUCUCCCAUUCUUAAUCAUCAUGAAUUCACAUAAGAUAAAUAGUAUCUUGAAUCAUUCUGUAAACCAUGAAAUGUAAGGAUUCAUAACUUGUAAAUCAAAUAAUAAAGUAAUGGGAGAGGGAGAUUAUAUAUUUCAUGCUCUCGAUUCACAAUUCACGAUUUUCAAUGCAUACGUACAUAUAUACAAUUCAAAUCAAUUUGGGGAAGGCCUAAAGACCAAAACAAUAGUAUCGAAGCUUCUAAAACUUGAAUGUAUUCAUAAAUUCAAAAAAAAAAUCCUUUUCUUAAAAUCAUGAUUUCUAUACCCAUGAGAUUUUAGGAAAAUACCGCAUACCUCGAUUAUAAAAAAUAAUGGCUGAUCCUCGAAGCCUACAGUUUGGGGAUUCCAAAUCUCCGAUCAAUUUCGAAAAUCCACGGUUGAAUCUUGAGUUUCUUAUUGGAGAAGUAUAUGAACUAGGAUUUUUGUUUUAAGGGAAAUCUUAAGAAUGUCAUAUAUUAUGCUUGUAGAGGUCUAAAUCUCUUGUUUGGACGUUUUAAGAGACUUGGAAAAAAGUCCAAACUACCCUUGUUAACUUCUGAACUGUCUCACCCCUUUUUUCAUACUCCAAAAAGAUUUCGUUUUAAGUUCGAAAGGGCUUUUAUUAUUAAGUGACAAAAGAAAACGAUUUUUUCUUCGAAAAAUGAUUAUUUUUACAUUCAAACUCAGAGUCGCCACUUGGCAUAAUCAAGUGUGCCAAGUCACCUUUGAAAAAUCCUUUUCGAAAUGAUUUGACUCUUAAAAAGACUGGUUUGCAAACAGAGAUUCCGGCUAAGGAAUUCUGUUGACCAAGGGGAAGGUGUUAGGCACCCCUCGAUCCCGUGGUUUGACCAUGGUCGCUUGGUGGAGUGUAUUGGCUAUUUUGGCAUUACGAAUGUAUAAACCACACAAAAACAUAUAAAACAAUCAAACCAACAAACCAAACAAAACGAAUAAAAGUAUAGUGUUCAGUCCAAUUAUACAAUCCUAAAAUAAAUAAAAAUGCAAAAAUGAAUCCUAUCUAGCCUAUACUAAUCCUAACUAUGCUCCCAAGUUUUACCCGAUGCCUCGGGCCUUGAUCACGAGCAUCCUCCGAGUACAAGAUACCUCGGGGCAUUCCCCAGUAAAUAAAUACAUAAGACCUCGGGGCAUUUCCCGAUUAAAUGAAUACAUUUCUCAACCUUGUGCGCUAAAAAAUAGAAAGAACCAAUCACCAAAUAUUCACACAUUCAACAAAUCACCAAGAGUCCUAAAUUUUGCCUAUCCAAAACCUAUUUUGCCUAUUCAUUCCAACAUAUCAUAAUUCUAUCGCGUUCCAACAACAUUCAUGCGUGUUUCGAAUUUAACAAAAAACUACAAUAAACCAAAAUUGAUCCUAUUCAACCAUUUUUAUCAAGUUUCCAACUCUCACCCCAACUUCAUUUUUAACCACAUGAUUUAACCAAUUUCGAUGAAGAAUCAACAAGUGGAUAUCAACAACAUUCACGGUGGUCCAAAAUAUAUCAACAUCAACAAACAAGAAUUCACGCACAAUGAAUUUAACAAGCAAAAUAUCAAACAAUUAGAAAUUAAUAGAGAACGAGACCUCGACUUAAACCGAAUUCGAACAAAACCCAAUACCAAAAAUCCGAACAGCAGCUUCGAAGAAGAAACACGGACCAAACCUCGACAUGAGAACCAAAAAACCAAACCCAGAACGAUGACUAAUGAACUCAUAGUUCGAUUUUGAUCUCGAAUCACUAAAAUAGACGAACCCAAAGCUUCAUAAAUCUGGUAGAAAAUUAAAAAUCAACACGACUUGAAUUCCGGUGAGAUAACAGUGACCAAAACAGAUGGAAGUAAGUCAGAUUCCGGCGACGCAGAAUAUUUCCUAAACGGGGGUGCUUGAAAACAUUCAAAACGGACUGUUCUGGUGAGAUUAUCGUCUCCCUAUCGGAUUCGCCCAGAAGUCAAGAGAGAACGACGAGGUUCCGGCGAAGGAGUUGCCGGAACAGCUACCAAACCCACCGGAACCCGUUUUCAAGUAACCCGGAAUCAACCCCGUUUUAUUUUACGUUACAGAUCUCGACCUCGAAUCCCUCUCUCUCUCUCGAUGCUCUAUCUCUCUCACUCUUCGGCGUUCUCUCCCUCUCUCGUUUUUCUCUGUUUUUCCUCCUCCGGCCAGUUUUCUCUUUUCUCCCUAUAUCUCUCUCAAUCUAUCUCCCUCCAUCUUCUCCGAUCUAUGUGUGUCCGUGCGGUGAAGAGAGUGUGAAUCCGGUGAGUGUGUGCGUGAGUUUAUCUCGGUAGCAGCUGAAAAUGGAAGAUGAUGGUAAUGGUUUUGUGGUGAGUGUAUUCUUGUGUAUUUAGUGAAGGUGAAUGUUAUGUGUGUCGUGGAGAAGAAAAAGAAAGAUGGAGUUCAUCCAUGGCUACUGUCGUGUGCUUCCAGGAAGAAAUGAAAUUCUGUAUCUUCAAUAAUGGAAAGGGUCCCCUCUUUUUUUUAAUUUCCCGUGAAUCCCCACUGUAUAUAUUUCUUUUUUGUCCCAGGAAAAGGAGGGGGUCACGUGGGGUAGGGGUACGGUAGGUAGGUACAGGGUGGGGUGGUGAUGUGGUUUAUUUUGAUUGAUAGGUUGUUAGGAUAAAAUAAAAUAAGAUAAAAUUUUGUUAGGAGGUUUGUUAUUUUUUGUCAUUUUAUGGAGG